GAUGAGCACUUCGGCCGGGCCAAGAGGCGGCCACCAGUUAUGAAGGUUCCCUAUGCGCAUCCCGCAUAUUACUACGUUCAUCAGGCAAACCAAAUUCCUGCAACAAAACUAAUCGACAGCAACGAGGCAGCGCAACGCUACAAAUGGAGGGUUUAUAUCGAUUACCCUAAGGGGAAACCAGUUCCGUUUUAAAGACCUAUUGAUCAAUCACUUAGCUUUCUUGUAUGCAUAACCUCCUCCAGUACUUGUGUUACCUUUAGUCCUGUACGAUAUUCUCCCUCUGCUAAACGUAGAAGAGGAGAGGUUGCUAGAACUCGAGUCAGGAGCUUCUUCUUACUUCUUCAAAUAAAAUUUCUGUGAUUUAUAUAUCAUAAUUUUCUAUUUGGCUGGUCAAGUAUGUAUUGUCAUAGUUAUCUUUCUGACUUCCUAAUUAUCAUCUUAUUCACCUCUUACUUAGCAUGGAAUUGAAAGAUACACAAGUAAUUUGCUGUUGAAAUGCUUUGAAGCUCUUCAAGGUGUGAUUUCACCGACUUAUUUCGGAACUGUACAGAGCUCAAUGAUGAGCCAUGGGAAGCGUCUCUGAUUAUUGCACUGUAAAAGCACGAUGAAUAUAAACAGCAGAUCUGCUCUGUUAUUGCCAUAUGCUUAAAUAGAUCGCAGGAUCCGCAAACCACAAGUGAUGACAAGCUUCUUAAUAACUGUUACAGCCUAAUCUAAUAGUUUAAACCAAGGUUGUCAAUUCCGUUCCAUUCCGCCCGACAUAGCCGAAACAUUCCAUACCAAUUCAAAAAACGGAACAAAACGGAACAAAUUUCAUCUCAUUUUAAAUCUCGGUCCGUUCCGGAUUUUUCGGCUAAAUUCCGCCCGAAACGUUCCGGUUUCAUUCCACAUGUUCCGUCCCGUUCUUGAAAAGCCAUUGAAUCUUGCUCAAUUUCAUUAAUUAAACCACCCGAUUAUAAAAAGCUCUUUUUUAUUACUAUUUUCAAUGGCAAUGAUAUUAAUAAUAAUAUUAAAAAUUAUUAUUACUAUUUUCAUUAACAAUGAUAUUAAUUUUUUUAAAUUAGAUUUAUCACUAAUAUAUAUGGUUUAUAUUCAUGUUGUUUUUUUUCAUGUUUAUACUUUGUAGGAAUUUGAGCAAAAAUAAGGACGCUUUAGAUUUCAUUAGCCACUUGAUAAUGUUGACCUAACUUUAUAUUUAAAAUAUUUUUGUUAAAAUAUUUUACUUUCAUAAUACUUUGAUAUUUUGUUUAAGUUGAAUUACUUUAAGUUAAAGAUCUAUUUAAUCUUGACUAUUUAGAAAUAUUUUAAAUUUUGAAAUUAUAUUUGUUUGGCAUUGUGUUUGUAUUGCAUAAUUUAUAAUUAAAUUAUCUUGAAUUUGAAUUAUUUUUGUUGAGUAUAUAUAUAUAUAUAUAUAUAUAUAUAUAUAUAUAUAUAUAUACAGUAUAACCCCGAAACGGCACGCCGAAACACUUCGAAACUGAAACAUUUCAUUCCAAUUGAAAAAACGAAACACCUACCGAAACGGAAUUGACAACCUUGGUUUAAACUUUUAGGUGAAAAUGAUUAUUUGAUAUUGUAUCAGAGUCUGGAUGACCAAGUAGUCACGAGUUCGAAUCUUAUUAUUUUUAUUUAUUUAAUAAAAAUUAAGUAAAAGGUAAAGUGAGUUUGUACAAGUUUUAAAUUUAAAGGGUUUUCAUUCAGGAAGGUAUAUUAGAAAAUAAUAUAAAUUAUAUCCUAAAACUUCAUCUAACAAUUUAAAUUUUUUAAUUGAAAUGAUUUUUUUAAUAAUAACUUUUAUCCUGAUAUUAAUAUUGGAUUUAAGGAUAGAAAACCUGUACGUUGGUUUGUGGUUAAGGAGGUGGGCUCUCUUCCUUAUCUUUUUUAUCUCAAACUUUAAGAACAAUAAUCAUAUAAAUUUAUUUUUUUCUGAAUGAAACUUGUUAAUACAGGAGUUUCAUUUAAAUGAAAAAGAAAAAUCUUAUUUUUAUCCCAUCACACCCCACCUAAGAAAUUAUGUAAUUGGUUAUUUCUAUAAGCUGUUCCAGAGAAUAUAUUCUUAAAUCAUUAUAUUUUACAAUUCAUGAUUUUUUUUUUUAAUAUAGCAGGGCUAAGAAAGAAAAAUAAACGGAGUUCAAGGGUAAAACAAUAGCUUAGAAAAAAAAAAAUAAACAGUAGAAAUUUACAAUAUAUCUAAGAAUAUCAGCGAUCAUGACCAUGAUUGGAUCAUUUUUGAUCAAUUCUGUAACCGAAAUUUCCUUCACAGCUCUUUAACUAAUCUGAUAUAUAGUCGAUGAAGAGUUAAGGAAAAGCAUGAUUCCCAAUCCGAGCUAUGUGAGCAACUUUAUCCAGCAAAAAUAUCUUAUAUCCUUGUAGAUGUAAUUUUAAGCACCUAAACUUAAACGAGUACACAUAUAAAUAUAAAAUUUUAUUAAAUAUAUGACCGGAUCUAUAUCUAAAAUAUUAUUUCAAAAGAAUAAAACAAUCCUUUGAUUCUUUCUUUGAAUUUGAUAUAUAAUAACUUGAUUUAUUUGUGAUAUCAAUCUAAAAUUUAUACUUUGCAAGAACUCGAAUUUAGGCGUAUAUUGUGAAGCGAAAUUUGAUGAUUUCAUACUUUGAAGAGUAAAUUUGAUUUGUCUUCAAAGUAUUGUUAAAAACCUCUUAUGAAGUGUUUUAGGCUUAAUCCAACAUAGCUUUAUUUUUUGUAGACUUCAAGCGUAGAUAAAAAAAGCUUGAGAGCUUUUGAGAGAGUUUCCUUACUUGAAGAACUUGUCUUGAAGAAAAUUUGUAUCUCUUACGAAUUCCUUUUAUAUUUUUUUCUUUAGGUUGAGAAACUUUAUUUAUUGAGAUUUGUUAGGACUCUUAGGUCCUUUUCCAAGGCUACAUGAUAUAAUUUUAUUAGUGGAUCUUUAUUGAUAAAAUCUUGCAUUUAUAACAAAAUAUUUUAAAUAUCUCAUUCCAAGUGUCAACUUUUCAUUGAUAAAAAAAUAUAUAAAAAUUCAUUUAUUUUUAUGAAUAAAACUUAUUAAUACAAGAGAUGUGAUUGUGAUGAAAAUAUCUCAUCUCCCAAGAAAACGAGAUUAGUAAGCCUCCCUUUAAAGCUUUGCUUUACACAUGUCUUUUACAGAAAAAGGGAAAAAGGGGAAAUGCUUUGAGAUGUGCUUUAACCUCCUCCAUAUUUCAUCUUAGCCUAGAAGGAUAAACAAGAAUAUUAUUGCUUCAGAAACAUAGCGAUUGCAAGCAUCGCCUUUCGGUGAACUUUUGAUGACAUGAAACUUCCACAAAUUGGGUCCUAUCCGAGAGAGUUUUCUUUUUCUGCUCUGUUAUCGCAUAUAUACAACUGAAAUCUUUAAGUCCUCUUCAGGGUACCCCUGAAAGAAAAUGGUCUAUCAUGGAAAGUCCUGAGGAAUCUGAGGCAUGGAAUAUGAGAUUUAUAUCGUCCCAAGAUCAUGAAAAUGAUAAAUCUUAAUCUUAUCAGGUGUAGCCAUGAGGUGGGAUCAGAACCUAUUUUCCUAAUUUUAUUAACUAAGCCACAACUAAGUCUCUGUACUAUAUGAUUGUCCAUUAAUACAGAAUCUAGCCACAUCUUCACUGUUUAUUUUCUAAUAGUUUUGUUUUGUUAAAUUGCACUUGAAAAUACAGAACCUGUUCUUGAUAUUUCAUGGACAAUAUCUAUUCUAGUUGUGCAAGUAACAUAUACACCAAUACUUGUAAUAUUGCAUCAAAAUUCAAACUAACAACAGUAUGUGUAUACUUGUGGAUAUGGAAUCAGCCACAAGUGGAGAACCCCAAAAAGUAGAAAGCAAGUUACAAGCUGCCUGCUUUCUGCAAAUAUAUAUAAAGCUGCAUAUAUGACCUAUUUUGUACCAAGGCAAACCAUACAGUUUUAAUUGUUCUUUGAGUUACAGUGUUAAUUUCACAUAUGGCACGUCAGGUAGAUCGUCUCACAAGGAUUGGAAUGGAAGGCUUUGCUCUGAUUGAGAAUAGUUAUGGCUGGCCCGGAAGGUCUGGAAGACACCCCUCAACUCAGAUACAGCAAAAUCAUCAUCAUCAUCAUCAUCAAUACCAAGAUCAGCAAACAUUGGUUUAUCAGGGAACUCAAAUUACCACCGUGAGGAUGCCUGUGAUCAUUAGCAAUGAGGUAGUUCAAUACUAUGGUAACAUGGUGAAGAAGCCUGUUAUUUCUAGCAAUGAGGCAGCUCAAUAUCAAGGGGGUGUGGUGAAAGAGCCUGUUAUCACUAGCGAUGGGGCAGCUCAAUAGGAUGGUAGAAAGAAACGAUAUCGUUUAGAUUAUUAGGUUUCAUGAAUUUACUGAGCAUACUUAAUGUCAUGUAUGAGCAAUCUGAGUCACUUGGUUCUUAAAUCUCUUGGUUUCUUACUCAUAGAUAAAGCAACUUGGUCUGCUAAAAAACCUUGUAAAUUUUAUCUUUAGAGCUCCUGCUGUCACGCAGUUGUCUUAUGUCAGCUUUACUGUAACUCUUUAUGUCUCUCUCUCUCUAUUUCUGGGUGUGGGUUGUGAUGAACUGUCUUACUUCUGUAAGCCAAAUGAUUCUCAAGGCACACCUUGGAAAACAACAGCUAAGGAAAAGCGAAAUGAAAGCUAAAGCUAGGAAUUAAAGAACAAAACAACAUAGAAUAUGAAGGAAAAAAUGAAUUAAAAAACAAAACAACAGAAAAAAAUAAAAAAAUGAUAACAAAAAGAAAGUAGCCAAAAACAAUUGGAAGAAAAUUAGUAUGGUAGGAGUUUAUGUUAAAAGAAAGAUAGGUGUUGUAUAAUAUCAAAAAUAGCAAUGUAAAGUCAAAAACUCAAUAACAAGAAGAUUGAGAGAAAUGUAUACUUUUAUUAAGUGUUUCUCUCUAAACUAUUUUAGUUAUUUUCUUUGCUUUUAUUCUUCUUAAUAAUGCUGAAUUACAAGCCUUUUAUAGGUAUAAAGUCGUAGAUAAUCAAAGAAUUAAACUAAUAAAAGGAAAUUCUAAUUUGAACAGAAAUUGUAUUAUGCUUACUAAACCAGUCGACUAGUUCCCAACUAGUGGAUCGGUUCCUCUGUUCUUAAUAAAAACAAGAAAUCGAGUUCAAUUUUCAAAACCCCUUUUUAAACUUGAUUUCUUCAUAACUCCCUGCAAAUCUCUUAUUUUGGUAAAAACAUCAUAUUCAACUAGUUUUGUGAGAAUAUCUACAACUUGCUCUUGUGUCUUUACAUACUUGGCUUCAACUUCUUUGUUUGUAAUGCAAUCUCCUAGGUAAUGAAAUCUUGUGUCAAUGUGCUUACUUCUGCCAUGAAAAACUUGAGUUUUAGCUAAGGCAAUGGCUAAUGAGUUGUUAACAUAAGUCUAUGUAGACUUCUCUUAUGGGAUAUGUAAUACUUUCAAUAAUCUUAUUAGCCAUAUGAAAUGACAAACACAUGAUGUAGUAGUUAUAUAUUCAGCUUCACAUGUUGAUAAAGUGACUAUAGAUUGCUUUUUUAAACACUAUGUGAAUGUUGUGUCUUCCAUGUAAAAAACAAAACAAUAGUGCUCUUUUUAUCAUCCAUAUCUCUAGCUCAAUCACUAUCAUUAUAACCCACAAGAUCAAAGCUAUUAGAAUAUCCAUAAAACAAGCUAAAAUCAACAGUACCUUUAAUAUACCGAAGAACUCACUUCAAAGCUUUAAAGUGUGUCAUAGUUGGUGUAUCCAUAAACCUACUUCCAAGUCCUACUCUAAAAAGAAUAUAUGAACGAGUGCAUGUCAAUUAUCUCAAACUCCCAACUAGGCUUUUGAAUGUUGUAGAGUUUAUAUUCUCCUCUUCAUCAGUCUCUGUCAUCUUCACUCCACACUCAACUAGAGUAUUUUUUUUUUCGCACAAUCCUUCUUCUUGAACUUCUUGAGAAUCUCCUUUAUAAAUUUCUCUUGGCUUAUAAAGAUUCCAUCGUCUCCUUGUUUGAUCUCAAUCCCUAAGUAAUAUGUCAUAAGACCAAUGUCUAUCAUUUCAAACUCAUUGAUCAUUGUUUACUUGAAGUCUUUAAACAUCUUUAAAUUAUUUCCUAUAAAGAUUAAGUCAUCCAUAUACAAACAUAUAAUAAGAGUGUGUCACUACUCUCUUUGAUCUUUACAUAAAUAGCAUAUUCAUAGGGACAUUUAACAAAUCCAUUCUUUAAGAAAAAGCCAUCAAUGUGACUAUAGCAAGCCCUUAGGGUUUGCUUCAAUCCAUAUAAGACUUUGUUCAACUUUAGUACCUUGUCUUUAUGUCCCUUCACUUCAUAACUCAUAGGUUGCUUAAUGUAGACCCUCCUUCAUAAUAAAACCAUUAAGAAAGGCUAAUUUUCCAUCCAUUUGAUAGAUUCUCCAUCUAUGUUGGGUACCUUUGGCAAUGAUUAAUCGAAUGGUUUCCAAUCUAGCAACAAGUGCAAAAACCUAAUCAUAGUCAAUCUCAUACUUUUAGCUUUCACCUUUUUCCACUAACCUUUCUUUGUAUCUCUCCAUUUCUCCUUUGGCAUUCUUCUUUUCUUUACAGAUCCACUUGACACCUAUUAGCUUUUUUCCAUUUGGUCUAGGAAUCAAUUUCUAUGUGCCAUUCUUUUCAAUUGAUGCAAACUUCUCAUCCAUAGCAAUUCUCUAUUUUGCAUCCUUUAUUACUUCUUCAAACACUAUAGGAUCACAUGUAGCAAGGUGAAAAUAUAAUGUUACUUUAUCAUCAAUAGGAGUAGUUACCUCAUAUAGCUCAUCUAGGCUCCCCAUUCUUUUUAGUAGACUUGAUGGGUUGCCACUACUUGAACUUCCAUUAGAAAAAAAGAAAAAAGAAAAAAAGAUCAAGGUAAAGAUGACACCAUUGGUGACUGUGGAGGUGUAGUUUGUUCUUGAUGAUCUUCAUAUCUCUCCUUCCCUUUAUCAAGAACCGGUAGAAAAUAAUAUUUCUGACCAUCAUCUAUCUUCCAAUCUCAUGCUCCUUCUUCAUCGAACUUAUCGUAUCUACUAAUCAUCAUAUUUCCUUCAAUGGGGUUGUAAAGCUUAUAUCUUUUGGACAUUUGGUCAAAGCCCAUAAACAUGCCAAAGUCUCAUAUGUCAAAGCUAAGUCUCAUCAUUCACGCAUACUUGUAAGCAUUUAGGCGAAUCCGUCUAUAUGGUUAGCAAAAACAUUAAAUUAUUUGUCAUGAUUACUUUUGCGAUCAUAGCUCCAUGGGUAUCAAGUAAUGUGAAAGUACAAUCUUUCAUCUUAGUCUUAUAGCCUUUCUUCAAAAAUUGUUAAAAACUCAAUAUAUUGCCUUUUACAUUAAAAAUAUAAUAGAAAUCACUAAUAAAUAGUUGACUUCAUCUGUUUCUUUCUCCUCUUCCUCUACCUUGACCAUGCCCUCAACCUCUUUAGGUAUAUCCAGAACCAUCUUGCUUCUUUUUUUAAUAGUGUUUUGAAAAGAGUGCUUGUGCAUUCAUGUCUUCUUGAAUGUCACUGACUCUUUCUUUAAAGGCUUGUAGUUUUCCUAUAAGUUCUUGAACAAUUAAAAAGUCCAUAUUUUAUAAUUUUUUUAUCCCGACCACCAUAUCAGAGAAUUAUUUUUGCAGUGAGCAUAAAAUCUUUUCUAAUACAUGUAUUUCCUACAUCUUCUCCACAUAUCUCUUCAUUUGAUUGUUUAUAGCCAAUACUCCAACAAAGUAAUUUGAAAUACUCUCUCAUUCAAGUAUAUAUAACUUUCAAAAUCACCUCGUAAAUUUUAUAGGAGUACCUUUCUAGCAUUAUUAGCUCCUUAGUUUGAUUGUUGCAAAAUUUAUCAUGCUUGUUUUACAGUAGUUAUAUUACCACUAUCUUAGAAGUGGCAUCAUCCAGAAAUUGUUAAAUAAGUGUGAGUACUUAUUGAUCCUUUCUUCGUGCUUUUUGUAUAACAUCCCUGUAGGCUAAAGUCAAUGUUACUCCUUUUAUAGGCUCUUCAAAGUCUUUUUCAAUAGUUUCCAACACAUCUCGAGAACUUAACCAAGCUUUCACAUGGAUACACCAAAUUUCACAAUUGUUCUUUGUCAAAUGAGAAUAUUGAAGUGGGAAGUUUGUAUUGGCCAUGUCAAACAAUAAAAAACAAACUUUAAUAUCAAUUGUUGAAAAACAAUUAACGUGGUAGGAGUUUAUGGAAGGCAAAACAAUAAACAAAACUAAAGAAUAAGAAGAAGAUUUGAGAGGAAGGCAAUCUUAUUAAGUGUUUUUAUCUUCUGUAUUUGUAACAUCCUCAUAUCCGGGAUAAAAAAUAAAAUCUCAUGUCAAUCAAAAAUAGAGUAAUUAAAUUUACACACACACACACACAUGGUGUUCAUAUUAAAGUCUACUGAAAUUUCGAUGAAGUCUCCCCCCUAUACCGAAGGUCUCAAGUUAUCAAUAUUUAACCUGUUUACACUUCUAAUAACCCACAUCUCCUAACUCAAUCAUAACUCAAUCAUCCUGGGUCUCAAUCCCACAAAUAUCAUCAUAUAUCAACCACAAUAUUUAUGAUGUACAUUAUAUAACAAAUAUCAUUAUGGAUGGAUAAAAGAUAUAAAUACACAUACAUGGAACAUGGUUAUAUGAACUAUAGAGUUAAGUUCAUCAAAUCAAGUUUAAACAUUAAUUAUAUAAAUUAAGUUAUACAAAUGUUUCCAUGUUUACAAAAUGUAAGGUUAUCCAACCUAGACUACAUAACAAAAUGUGAAUAAAAGUUAACAUCUACUCCUGUCAUGUAUGCGAUGGUCCUAAAAAAAUAUAUUAUUAAAAUAUGAAUAUCACAAUAAGUACAGUAGCAUAAAUUUCCAAUAAUUAUUUUUAAAAAUAGAUAUGUAUUCUUAUUCUAUUCCUUUUCCCUAUUCAUUUUUGUUAUUCUUAUUCUAUUCCUUUUCCCUAUUCAUUUCCAUUAGAACUCCUUCUCAUUCAUCUACUAAAAAUUGUUUUAUCUCUCAUUUCUAACUUCCAAUCAAGAUUCCAUAAAAUCAAUCGUAACUAUCUCACCCCACAUUACUAAUACCCUUUUCAUCAGUAUCAUCAUCAUCCUAUUAGCAUUAACAUAUGGAGAUCCCCUUACCUGGGAUCCUAAAAUAUACUAAAUGUAUGCUAGUAAAAAAUUAUGGUGAUCCCCUUACACCGGGAUCCUAACAUACAUUAAAUGUAUACUAGUCAAAACAAGGUGAUAUCCUACCCGGGAUCCUAACUACAGUAAAUGUAUGCUAGUCAAAAACACGGUGAUCCCCUUACUUGGAAUCCUAACAUACACUAAAUAUAUGCUAGUUAAAACACAUAUCACACUUCUUAUAUUUUCUUUGUCAGUGGUACUCCCAUCACUUGGCAAUACACACAAAGGUAGUUCACCUUGAACACACAUACAUUCAUGAUAUUAUCCGAAAUAAUAACAUCAUUACACCAACUUCCAUCCUUUCACAUAAUAUCCAACGUUUGUAAGUUCAAAUCUCAUAUUAUUAACAUAUUAAAUUCUUGAAUUUAACUAAAAAGCUCAAGUGAGGAUCACAUCCCUGCAGUAGAAGCUCUACUCGUGCUCCCUUGCUAUUGCUACUACACCAUGUCUGUGGUCCCUCUUGAAAUCAUAAGCUUAUCUUAUAAAUUUUUCUCAUUCAAUGAUAUGUUUUAUAAUAAUCAUAUCAAUAGCUAAUAGGUCUUUCUUUCAAUAAUUAUUUUCUUUAUAUUUUAUGUUUUUCUCAUUACACCUGUUAGUAUUGUCAUCUUUAUCCAACCAUAGUUAUCAUUCCUUUCUUUAUAAUUGAACUAUUACUGUUUAAAUCUCGAAGUAUUGUUGUUUAGACCUUGAAUUAUUACUAUCCAACCGUUACUGUUUUGAACUGUUAUUGUAUUAAAUCGUUAUUGUCUUGAACUUUUACUAUUAUUCUAUUGAACCGUUAUUGUCUCAAACUUUUACUAUCUUGAACUGUUAUUAUAUUGAACCGUUAUUGUCUAGACAUUGGACUGUUACUGUCUUGGAUUGUUACUGUCUUGAAUUGUUACUGUCUGCAGAGGUCGCAUUCCUACCUCUUCUUAUAUUUUUUUGAUAUGUUUAAAAUAUAGGCCAAAUUCUCAUGGCUUUAAUAAAUUGUUAUUAAAUCCCAAAAUACAUGCAAAUACAUAUUUUUAUAUAUUUUUAAGAGACUUAGCCAUAUGCAAAUUAAAAUAAAAUAUUAUUUGUAUUUUUUUGAAGUGAGAAAAUUUCUAGAGAAGGUUUUUGGAAUUUCUUGAAAUUUCAACAAAAAAUAGGCAUUUUAAUAUCAAGUCAGUAUCUUAAAGUAUAAAUUCAUAGUCCUAAUAUGAAUUAUAAAAUUAAGAAAAUAUAUGAGAGACCCACAAAUAGAUUCAAAAUGAUCCAUGGAUUAUUUUUGGAAUUUUCUGAAGUUUUUUUUUAAUGGCUUGUUUUGCUGAAUUUUAAGAUAAAAACAAGUUUAAAACUAAAAGAAAGAUAUAAGGGUGUGUCUGACAAACACACCCUUAAUCUAAGGACUGGGUUGGUUGGGCCUAUCAAAGGCCCAACAAAACCCCUUUUUAGGGGCUGUGCUGAAGGUCCAGCCGAAAGCCAUCUGCCAGGUUACUUGGCUGAACCCAUUAACAAUUUGCUUGUUGCAAAACUAAAUUAAUCACAUUUUGCAUACAAGAAAAAUAACAGAAACAAACAAGGAACGAAAACUCAAAGAAAGAAGAAAAAAAUUACCUGGUCUAGGUCUAAUCUUGUUGCUGGUGCCAGAAAUGGAAAAUUGUUACUAAACAGUAGGAGAAGUUUAUGCUGCUACUAUUGAGUGGCGAAAAUAGCUGGUACUAUUAGUGUUGUUGUGAAACCCUAGAAAAUUUAUUAUUUAAAUAUGCGGAUGUAUAACCUGCCAUGUAAACAUAAGACUGAAAGUGAUAUAUAAUGGAGGGGAUGACCUCCAUAAAAUGAAUUUUGUUUUAGAAUUCAUAAAGACAAAGAAACUCGUAACGUGUUUUGAUGAAUAAAAUAAUGAGAGAAAUGACAAAAUGAAUAUAUUCCAAAAUAAUAAAAUGACCUUAAAGGUUUAGAAGGAUAAUUGAUAUUAUUUUAUGUGAAGAUUGAACAAGAAAAUUUGGAUAGUUGACGAAAAGGAAAUGUCCUGGAAAACAAAAGGAAAUAUACUUGCAGGGCAGUUUUGGUCGCCGGCCGAUUUCUCUCUCAUCCACCGUUGGAUCGUGCCUAUUUUUGGAUAUGUGGUGCACCUAGAUGUGGCCUACAUUCUGGACGGUGAAGAUCGAAAACACACUCUCCGGAAAGGUUUGGUUCAUGUUGAACAGUGGCUCGUCCAUUUUCAGGUUAGUUCGGUUUUAUUCAAAUCUAUGAAGAUCCAACCGUUGGAUUAUUCUGAUUUUGAGAUAUAUUGUACAAAACACAAUGAUAUAUAUUCUGACCGUUGAGUUCAAGGAAAUAAUCAAAGGUGGAUGAGUUGUUGCUAUUUGAAGCUAUUGCUAGUCUUAGUAAAACAUUUAGGAAGCUUGAUUUAAUUACAUGUUUUGAUGAAAUUAGAAUUGUGUGGGUGUAGGGUUUAUGUAAGAUAUAAUGGUAAAAUGUGCUCUUGUUAUUAGUGUUGUUAUAGAUUAAUUGUGUUGUAAAAUGUGUUAGGGAAGUUUUGAAAUUUGGAUGAAGGGACAUUGAGUUCGUUGAUUUAAUGGAUAUAUGUUUUUAGGCAUUAAAAAGGAUUGGGUCUAGUGGAAUUGAAAGAAAACUUGAAGAAAACUUUAUCCUCCAUUUAAUGCAAAGAUUCGGCCUAGACAUAUAAAUGAGAGGAUGAGCUUAAUUGUUUUAAUUGCUAUGGAAUUUGAGUUGAAUGAGGUUAGAAUAGAUAUGAAAUGAAUUGGUAAAGGUUUAUAUGGAAUAAUUAAAAAGGGAUUCAUCCCUCACCAUGAAUGAAGGCAUUCGGCCAAAAUGAAGAAGAAAUAAGGAGAUAAGACUUUGAUUCAUUUUCUAUGAAAACUAGGUAUGGAUACAUAUAUUUGUAUAAAGAAAAUUAGGUAGAGUGUCAAUUGGAAGAAUUUUAAAAAGAUUCAAAUUCUCAUCAUAAUAUGGAAUCCAACCAAAAAUGAAAAUCUUGAACUUGAGUUUAUUCGACCUAAUGUUAUGGGGAUUUUUAUGGGAUUGUGGUUUGUUGAAUGCCAAAUGAAUUGUGUUAUGUUUGAAAUAAUAGAUUAAUGUGAGGAAAAUGUCAUUUUGUGGAAUUUUAACGCUGUCCAAAUGGAUAAUAAAAGAGGAGGAAAAGGUUAAAUUAAGGCGUACAUGGAAUUAUGAUGAAAAUAUGUUGUUAAAUUUACUUAAGAUGAAGUAAAGUGGACUUAUGAAAAAGAAUUGGAAAACUCAUCAUGAAAAUAAAUAAAUAAAAAAUAAGGUCAUUCGGCCAAGAGUUGGUUUGAUAAGGAAAAUGAAUUAGUUUCAAUGGUAUGAAUAAAUGCAAGGAUGUGAUGUUACUAAGUCUGUACAUGAGGGAUUGAGUAGACAAAAAUAAAAUAAAAUAAAUUAAGAUUGUUAGGUCAUGUUUAAAGAUACUCAGUCUGGAAAAACAAGUCAUGAAAAGAAAGGAAAUAAAUAAAUAAAUAUGCGAAUGCAUGUGUCAUGCGAUUCUAAAUUUAAAUGAAUUUUAGAAUGGAAUGUUCAAUUAUGGUGGAGCCACAUUUGAUAUGUAUCUUUAAUGAUACAGGAGAGAUUGCAAAAUAUGUUCAGUAGCAUGGGACUUUUGCGCGAGUUCAAGCAUUAGGUAGGUGACUUACUCCUUCCUUUUUCAUACGUUGAAUAAUGAAAUACUUUAACAUGAAUAUUACCAUAUUGUGUUAUAACCGAUAUUAGUUUGUUGAACGCUUAAAUGUUGGCAAAUGGUUGAUUAGCUUCGGCUAAUGGCAUCCGAAUGGAUGACCGGGAAGAAGGACUAAUUAGCUUCGGCUAAUGGCAUCCGGAUGGAUGGCCGGAACAAACGAAUGAUUAGCUUCGGCUAAUGGCAUCCGAAUGGAUGACCGGGAUGAAGGAUUGAUUAGCUUCGGCUAAUGGCAUCCGAAUGGAUGGUCGGGACAAAGAAUGAUUAGCUUCGGCUAAUGGCAUCCGAAGUGGAUGACCGGGGUGAGUGAACGGUUAACCUCAGCAAAUUAUGCCUUAAGAGGAUAGCCGGGUUUAAGAUUAUGGUUGAUUGUAAAACAAUUAGUGCAUCUAUAUGUACUACAAAUUGUUUAUACCAAGCACAUGAAGAAAUUAUAAACAUGGCUAACAAAAGAAGUUAGCCGGAUGUUGGGAAAUUCAUAUGAAAUUACCGGAUUGACUUUGGCAACCAAGAUGGGUUAGCCAAAUUUAUUUGGUAAUUAAGAGAAUUAUCGGGUUUAUUGGUUAACAAGGAAGUUAACUGGAUAUGGGGUAAUUCGUAUGGAAUUACCGGAUUAAUUGGCUAACAAAAGAGGUUAGCCGGAUAUUGGGUAAUUCAUAUGGAAUUACCAGAUUGACUUUGGCAACCAAGAUGGGUUAGCCAAAUUUAUUUGGUAAUUAAGAGAAUUAUCGGGUUUAUUGGUUAACAAGGAAGUUAACUGGAUAUGGGGUAAUUCGUAUGGAAUUACAGGAUUGAUUGACUAACAAAAGAAGUUAACUGGAGGCUGGGUAAUUCGUAUGGAAUUACCAGAUGAACUGGUAAUCUAGGAAGGUUAACAAAAAAUGUGGGUAAUUAUAUGAACUUACCAGAAUUAUUGGCAAUCGAGAUGAGUAAGGUUUUGAAAACAGUAUGUGAAUUAAUUGAUUGAAGUUAGAAAUAGUAAAUUCUAAAUGUUAUGAGCAAAAUAAUUAAUAUAGGACUAAGAUAUUGAGUAAAUUACAUAAUCACAAUUACUUGGAGAUUAGAAGGGAAUUGACAGAUAAUUGGUCACCAUAAUGAUGGUGGCUAAGGGUAUAAAUUGAUACUUGGCACUAUGAUGAGAGUGACCAAGGUUAUGUGAAGGAUGCUUAGUGACUGUAGUGUCGAUAACUAAGAUUGUAUGCAAAUAAUACUUGGCAACCGUGGUUACAAUGCAUAUGAUGUUAAUAAGAAAAAUAAAAGGGGUUCGGUACGAAUGGAAGAAUCAAAUGACAUUGAUUAGCUAUCCAGGUUUGGAUUGCUAAUGGUAUCAAUGAGGUUUCAUCGGUGCCGGUAUUUCUUAAAUUGAUUAGUCUAGCCCAAUAUUGGAAGACAAAUGAUGCUAAUGAGAUUUAUUAGUUUCGACGAUUACCUUCUAGCAACAGAUUCAGAAAAGGGAAAUAUUGAUUAGCUAUUCCAAAAGAAUGAGAUAAGCUAAUGAUAUUAAGAAAGGAAUAUUUUGUUAUCAAGUGAAAAUUGAUUUAUAAGAAGAUGGUGUUCGCAAACGGUUGAGUUGUGUUGAGAUUUCCAAGAUGGAAUUAUUCUUGGCAAAUGAAAUAGGAUAUUAGAUGAAUAUUGGUAAUAGAUGGAAAAUAUAUGUUGUAAAAGAGGUUUAUGAUGAAUUGUAUAUAUCAAAAGAAAUUCCAUAGAGAUUAUUAUCUGCCAUUGUUAUUACUUGUUACUAUCUUUUAUAUUUAUGUGUACAUGCAAGGUUGUCAAAAUCACGUUUUGACUCGUAAAAUCGUACGAUUUUACGAGUCAAAACAUGCAUUACGGGUUGAAUCGGUUGAAAAAAUCGAAAAUGGGUAAAAUCGGGUAAAAUCGCAAAAAUCGGAUGAAAUCGCGCAAAAUCGCGAUAUCAGGACCGAUUGUGCGAUUUCAACAAAAUGAGGCACUGAAAGCCCCCCCAUGUCCACCUGUCAGACGCUUAUUGGAAUUUGUUUUUCUCAUUCACGUGACUGUCUUGAGUCUUCGCCUCUUCAGUCUUCGCUUCGGUCUUCAGAUUAACAAAUCAAAACGCACAAAGCCACAAAUACAGAACAAUUAAGCUUUCUUUUGUCCUCGCAGUUACAACUUGUUUUCUACUAAUGGCUUCUAAUUGAGAGCAUGAUCUUCUGGGACCCUAAGCCCAAAUCGUGAUUUUAAGCAAUUAUGCAGAACCAUGUUUGAGGAUCUCUUCUUCAAGUCAUCAAACCAAGCAGCAACAGCAGGUACAUAUUCUCAAGCUUCUUUCUUCGCUUUUCCUUUUACUUCUCCAGGUUCACUGCUUUAUACCCUAGUUUUCUGGCUUGAUCUUCAUUUUAGCUUUCAUCUUAUUCAGAUUUCAACAUGUUCGAUAAAAUGCCUCAACCAAACUUUACCCUAUUUUCUGUUUAUUUUCAGCACUUGAGAGAAGUUUUUGUACUCUUUAUAUUCUUGGAGAAUCACUAAUAUCGAAUGUUGCUUAACCUCUGUGCAAUUUGUUUGUGGGGAAACUCUCUAUCAAUUGUUGAAGCACCAACAGUAAGAAUCCAUGGAGCAAUAUUAACAGCAGUGUAUGGACCUGGACCUGGUCCUGCAUUCCCAGCAGAGCAAGACACGACAACUCCAUGUUGUGAUGCACUGAAAGCCCCAAUCGCAAUCGAAUCAUGAUUAUAUUGAGGAGCAUGACCAGUAGCACCAACAGAUAAAGAAAUCACAUGGACUCCAUCAUAGAUAGCCUGAUCCAUCGCAGCAAGAAUAUCAGAGUCAUAACAACCUGAACUCCAACAAAUCUUGUAAGCAGCAAUUCUGGCUUUUGAGGCCAUACCACGAGCUUCUCCUGUUGCAUACUGGAGAAGGAUCGCGUUAUGAGCUAAAGAUCCAGCUGUAGUUGUUGUUGUGUGCGUGCCAUGACCUUCAGUAUCUCUUGGAGAUGCAGAUUCUUUUGAUUCAUCAAUAAGCCUCCCUUUAUGAGUUAUAUAGCCUUUAUGAAAAGCUGUGGCGCCAAUAAGUUUCUUGUUGCAAGAAGAGGCUGGAAAGUCAGGUCCUGUCUCGCAGAUCCCUUUCCAAUUAGUUUUGUCAAUUGUUAUGUAUAACAAAAUGGUAAUUAUAAUCAUAAAAUGUUUGGAUUGAUUGCAGGGUUGAUUUGAGUUGAUUCUUGAAUUGUUGAACACUUGAACAAUUUGGUGUUGGUACUAGUAGUAGCCAAUUUGGUGUUGAUUCUUGAAUUCAUGAAUUUUUAUUUGAAACAUGAAUUUUUUUUAAUGUAUUUCAAAAUUCCUUACAAUUUUACGAUUUUACGAUCCGUUUUUACGAUCCGAUUUUGUAAAGGGCUUUCCGUUUCGUUCUAAAAUCUCGAUUUUAACAACCUUGUGUACAUGUUAAUUUCUAUUUUCAGGUCCAUCAGGGUCGCGUCAAGAAUAAUACUAGUUUUAAUAUCUUUUGCUUUUGACCAUGUAAAUUAUUUGUAAAUUAAAAGACUAGUCUCCUAAAAAAAAAAAACUUGAGAUGUAAUAUUAAUCCGUAAAUUUGAAUGUAUGUCCUUACUCUAAUGGUUGAAGCUCUUAGUACCUAUUUGACCAUGCAUGUUUCUAGAUGGAAUUGAAUCUUUCAUUUGAACUACAUUGUAUGAUGUUAUUGAAUAAAUGUGUUUUGUGUUGUUGAUAAUGAGUUGGGUUGAGACCCAGGAUGAUUGGGUCGUGAUUUUGAGUUAUGAGAUGUGAGUUAUUAGAAGUGUAAACAGGGUUUAUGUCGAUAACUUGGGACCUACUAGUAUAGAGGAGACUUUGCUGAAAUUAUGGUGGAACCUGUAUAUAUAUAUAUAUAUAAAAAAAAAUUACCCAAAAUUUUUUUUUCCAAUGUAUCGCGAAAUUGGAUGUGGAAAAUCGGGGUUGUUACAGUUGUUGGGGUGGCUCACUAUGGUUGUGUUGCUACUGUUGAGUGGUGGAAACAGCUGGUACCACUGGUUGUUGGGGUGGCUCAUGGUGAUUCCAGGUGCUGUUUCAAAGCUGGCAAAGAUAGAAACUAGUUGUCGCUGCUGGUUAGGGAGAGAGAAGGAUUGUAGGGAGGGAGUUGCUGCUAGAGGAAGGACACUCUUCUUUGAGGGAGGAGCCAAAAAAAACUCUUUGGCAAACAUUAUAUCCACCAGUAGAUUUUUGAUCAUCAACACUCCCCGCCCAAUCAGCAACAAUGAACCCAUAAAGUGAUAAAGAGGAGCCACAAGUAAUUAAGGUGGAUGUUAUAAGAUGAUGUACCUUUCAAGUAGUGUAACAUACAUUUAACGGCAGCCCAAUGACUCUCAGUAGGAGCAUGCAUAAACUAACAGACCUUAUUGACAACAUGGAAGAUGUGUGAUCUAGUAAACGUGAGAUACUGAAGAGCACCAACAAUUUGUUGAAAGCGAGUGGGAUCCAAGAAUAAAAUAGUAGACGACAGAUCAAGCUUGGAAAUAAAGGUUGGUGUAUUGACAGGUUUACAUGAUGACAUACGAGCACGAUAGAGAAUAUAAAGAACAUACUUAUGUUGAUUCAGCAUGAGUCCCACACUGGUAAGAGUGACCUCAACUCCCAAAAAAUCAUGAGCAUUACCCAAGUCGCGGAGCUUAAAUUCUGAACUCAGUAUGGUAAUAAGGCGAUGAAUUAAGGUAGAGUUGUUACCAGUAAGUAGGAUGUUAUCGGCAUAGACAAGCAGGUAGCAAAUAUCAUGAUUCCUCGCCAAAAUAAAGAGAGAGGUAUCAACCUUGGAAGCACGAAAACCAAUACUCUGAAGGAUGUACUCAGACGGGUGUACUAAGCCCAAGGGGCUUGUUUUAGACCAUACAGAGACUUGUGAAGAAGAGAAACAUGAUUUGGCAUAGCAGAGUCUACAAAACCUGUGGGUUAUGCCAUGUAACAACCUCUCAAAGUGAACCAUUGAGGAAGGCAUUGUGGAUAUUAAGUUGUUGAAUCUGCCAUCCUUUGGUUAGUUUAACAACAGGACUAAAGGUUUCUGAGUAAUCAAUGCCUUUUUGUUGAGUGAACCCACGCGCAACCAAGCGAGCCUUAUAGCGGUUAAUAACACCAUCAACUUGGCGCUUUAUUUUAUACACCCAUCGGCAGCUAACUACAUUCAUGAAGGGAUCAAAAGGUACCAAGGACCAAGUACCAUUGGCAUGUGAAGAUGCAAUUUCAUACUUCAUGGCAGUUUGCGAGCACAUAAAACGGUCAGCCUCCUUAAAAGUAAGAGGUUUGAGAGUAGAGGGAGACAUUACUGGUGAAGAUGGAGGCAGUGAGGAAGAAGCAGCGACUGAAGUGAUGUUGGCAAUCCUGUUAUGUCUAGGACGCAACACCAUGGGGUGUUGUCGCUGUCCUGGAGGAGCAGGGCUUUGAACAGGGGAUAAUUGCCGCGGAAGAGUAUAACUUGACAGAUUAACACAGAGGUCCAAACCUGGUGAAGACACAACAAAUUAUUUGGAUGGAGAGGAAGAGUUGGAUGACUAUGCUGGAGAGGCAACAACUGGGAGACGUGAACAUAAACGCCAGCGUUACCCUGUACCUGCAAAAUGAUCAACAAAUAUGGAGGCAGAUGGUGAUAAAGGGACAACGGGGUUAGAGGAAGUGGGUGGUGGGGUUGAUGGUGUAAUGGAUGGAAAGAUGGUGAGCGAGGGAAGGUGUGUGACAGUGGUAAGCAGAUGGGUAUGGCUAGUAGGUGAAGGGAGAUGGGUAGACUCGAGAAACGGAAACACGUGUUCAUUAAAUCGAACAUGACAUGAGAUAUAGAGAAGCUUAGAUGAUAAGUCAAGACAACAAUACCCUAGAUGAGAUGAAUUAUAGCCUAAGAACACACAUAGAGUAUAGCGACAAUCUAACUUAUGAGAAUUAUAAGGUUGAAGGAAGGGAAAACAGAGACAUUUGAAAGUACAUAAAAAAUCAUAAUUAGGUGGUUGACGACACAGACAUUCAAAAGGAGAUUUGUUGCGCAAAAUCGGUGUGGGCAUACAAUUAAUGAGGUAAAUAGAGGUUUCAAAAGCCUAAGUCCAAAAUUUUAAAGGUGUCUUACACUGAUUAAGAAGGGUAAGACCAAUUUCAACAAUGUGACGAUGACGACACUUAACAAUACCAUUAUGUUCAUGCAUAUGUGAGCAUAUAAGGCGAUGAUGAACACCAAUGGUUUUGAAUAAUGAAUUUAAUUUACGAUAUUUACCACCCCUGUUAGUUUGAACAUAUUUAAUUUUUUGAGAGAAUUGUCAUUCGACAAAGACUUGAAAUUGAUGAAACACAUUGAAGACAUCAGAUUUGAGGACAAGAGGAUAAAACCAUAUAAAUUUCGUAUGAACAUCCACAAAAAUAACAAAAUAACGAAAACCAUCCAAAGAUAACAUAAGAGUAGAGCCCCACACAUCACUAAAAACAAGUUCAAGAAAAGUAGAUGUUUGAUGACCUAUAAGGCUUAAAGACAAACAAGAUGAUUUUUUUAAUGGACAAGAUUGACAUUGAAAAUUUAAAGGAAGAGAAGUACAAAUAACCUUUUUAUUAGACGCUAAGAGAUUCAGAACACGAGAGCUAGGAUGACCGAGGCGACGAUGCCAAACAUUGGUAAAGGUGGACAAAAAAGCCUUGGGAAGACAAGUGGUAGAGGACUCGGUAAGGAUAUAAAGGCCAUCUUUACUCUGACCAGAAAGAAGAAUUGCCUUGGUUAUGAGAUCCUUAAAAUAGAAAAAAGAAGAGUGAAACUAGAAGAAGAUACAAUUUUCACGACAAAAUUGUUGAGCAGAUAAGAGUCUUUUCUUAAUUUUUGGAACAUGUAGAAUAUUAGACAAAGUAAAGGUUUGUUUCGGAGUAUGCAAAAUUUUAUGAGCUGUAUUAGAUAUAAUAAGUCUCUUACCAUCACCAACAUACAAUUGAUCAUUACCAAGACAAGGGUCUUUAUGUGUCAUACCGGCAAUGUCUGGAGUAACAUGUUGAUUCACACAUGUAUCGAGGAACCAAGUGAUAGAAUUUGCCACUGAAGCAUCACUAAAGGAGAGGUUGGCUGAGGCUUGAUUCUCAUGAUGCACAAGUUGAGAGCAUUAUUAUGCAGAGUGUCUGAUGUUGUUGCAAAGUUGGCAUCUAAUCUGCCGAGGCCACUGGUGUUGCCCUUUUUGUUUUUGUUGUUGUCGUAGCUCCUGGUGCUCUGCUAGGAGGAGCUCCCUCUAUUUCCAUGGUAAGGCUGGCCAAGGUACUGGUUAUAAUUGAUGCGAGAGUUACCUCUCCAUCCUCCUCUUUUUCCUUUGCCCCGAUGAGAAGAGGAGCCAUUGCCAUUACAUCCAGCGAAGGCAGUUGUGCAACAUAUGUAGAGGGAGGGUGUGAGGGUGUGGGCAGCAACGGUGCAGUAGGUGGAAUGGAUUGAAGAGAGCUUCUGUGUAAAAAUUCAUAUGUAGACAAGUGACUAUGGAGCUUAGAAUACGCAAGAGGCUCAACAUUGGUUGACAGACUAGUAACCAAAUCUCGAAAUUCAUCGCAAAGACCCCCAAAAACAUAGAGAUUGAAGUUAGUAAGAGAGAUAGGUCUAUCUGUUGUGGCUAGUUCAUCAAAUAAGCCUUAAGUUUUUGCAGGUAUAGAGUGACAGUAUCAUCACCUUGAGGAAGAUCCUGGAGAGAGCCAUGUAAUUGCAUAAUCCUAGAGUUGGAUGGAGAGGCAAGGGCAUGUUUUAAGGUGCUCCAAACACUUGCCGAAGUUGGGCAGUCCACCACAAGGUGAAGAACAUCAAUGGAGAGGGAUGAGAGCAAAGCAUUGAGUAUGAGUUCAUGUUGUUGUUUCCAUGUGAGAAACGCUUGAUAAGGACAACAAUUAAUGUUAGCAGAGGCAGUAGUAGAGUGAGUGGACAGAUCAAGUGGAAAAGGGUAGGAAUGCGAGCCAUUAACAAAUGAGAACACCCCUUGGCCAAUUAGAUAUGGCUUCAUCUGCAUACAUCAAAAUAGAUAAUUGGAAUCGGUGAGUUUGGGGUUGAUGACCUGAUGUGUAUUUGAGAGGGGAAUAACAGUUGCUAUCGCAGCAAAGGGAAGCAUGAAUGCUGUUGUAACCCAAUUUUGGAUUCACUACGAUUUUCUUGAAUGUUAUUUUAUUUCUAUUAUUAUUUAUAAAAAUCCAAAAAAAUUAAGAAAAACUUUAAAAUUCAAAAAUAUAUUUUUUCUCGAGUCAACCCCAUCUUUUCCAUCAAAACCAAGUCCACUGGGUCAAACCAUGUCGACUAGGGUAAAAAAUGAGUUUCAAGUUGUUUCGCGUCAAAAUUUUCAUUUCCGACCAAAACCGAGUUCACCGGGUCAAUACGGGUCAAACCAUGUCGACUAGUGUAAAAAAUGAGUUUCGGGCUGUUUCGGGUCGAAAACGUCAUUUUCGACCAAAACCGAGUUCACCGGGUCAAUACGGGUCAAACCAUGUCGACCAGGGUAAAAAAUGAGUUUUCAUGACAUUUCGGGUCAAAACCGUCAUUUUUUAUAAAAAUUGAUUUCACCGGGUCCAUACAGGUCAAACCAUGUCGACCAGGGUAAAAAAAAACUUCAUAAAAAAAAACUGAUUUCACUGGGUCAAACCAUGUCGACCUGGGUAAAAAAUGAGUUUUCAUGACGUUUCCGAUCAAAACCGUCAUUUUUGGUCAAAACCAUCAUUUUUUAUCAAAACCGAGUCCACCAGGUCAAUACGGGUCAAACCAUGUCGACCAGGGUAAAAAAUGAGUUUUCAUGACGUUUCGAGUCGAAACUGUCAUUUUCAGGUCAAACCAUCAUUUUUGGGUCAAAACCCGGUUCACCGGGUUAAUACCCAUCAAAUGUUUUUUUGUGUUAGCGGUUGAAACAGGCUUUUUCUAAUACUGAUUUAAGUUUUUUAGUUUUACUUAUAUAAAUAUUUAUUAUUAUAUAUAAUAAAACAAAAUUAAUAAUUCAAAAAAUUAUUAUAUUAGGUAAGCUUAGUUGCAGCGGUGCAAAUUAUUUCUUUUGUCCCCUGCUCAUUGGCUAUAAAUAGCAACGAGAGCAGGGGGCAAUAGAGAAGAAAAAAAGAAGAGAAAGAAUUGAUUUGCCACUAUUCAUAUAUUUUUUUAGUUUUUCUUCGUGAGGGUAGGAUAUUGAUUUUUUAAAAAAACAAAUUGAAAAAUACCAAAAAUAUCCUAGCUGUUAGAUUUAAUAGUGUUAGUUGUGGAAAUUUGAUUUCAUAGGAUACAAUAGAGCUUACCACACUAGAUUAAAACCCAAACACAUCUCGACCCUUGAAAUAAUCGGCCCUUUGAUCCCGUUACGCCAUGUCACCCGGUGUACCGAGAUUUCGGUACACCGCGCCACACCAGAUCUAACCCUUGCUCAUCCGGAUCGUCCGAUCAACCUGCAGAUCAAGCCAAUCACAACCACAUGAUCUUUUCAUCGGAGAUUCAACGGCUCACUGACUUCAGUUGCACCGGUGUACCGUGCUAGAGUUCACACCGUAGUAAAACCCAGAGCCUCUCUCUCUUCUCUCGCCGAUGACUUUCUCUCUCCUCCGAUCUCCCAUCUCCGGCCGUCUCAAGCCUCCAAACCACCACAGAAAGGUCGUCAACCUCCUACAAAGCAAAACCCCGGCCUUUUUCAGCGUUUUCGCCGCCUCAUCUGGCCGGAAAAAGGCUGGGAUCGUCGCUGGCCACCGAAGCUUCAAGUCGUCGAUUCUGCCUCAUCAGCCAUCAACGACCGUCAAGACCACCACCAUCAUAAUCCUCGACCUCAGAUCUAUCAGGAUAGACCAUCGGUUGGCCAGAAAUCUCGCAGGAAAAUUUCACAGCCGCCAACAAUAACCGUGCGUGAGCCACACGCGCCGCCAGUGGCAUUUUCGUAAUUUUUUGAGAAAUCCGAGGGUAUUUCAGUCUUUUACCUAUACAGUGGCACUCAGGUAAUUUUUUGAGAUUUCUAACAUUUUCUUUAUUUUGUAUAUAAAUUUUCUUGCAUGUAAAAAUAAAUUAAAAAACAACGUGGGUCCAACACCUAUCCAAUCAUGUUAUCGUUCGUGGGUCCAAAGCCCAAUUAUCAAAUAUGGUUAUAACCAUUUCCCAACGAUAUCACAAUAAUUUUUGUUUUUAUAAACGAAUAUUGUUUGUCAACACCUCUCUUUUUACAGAAAAUGACAGAUGUCAAAAGUUUAAAUAUCAAAUAUGGAUUCUGUCCAUAAUUUCAUUUUGGUAACUCAGACGUAAUUCUCCUUUUAUAGGGUUAAACGUCAAUAUUUUAGAUGAGUUUUCUAUUUUUAGGAACUGAUGUCAUUAAUUUUUUUUUGACGCGUCUCUUUUUACAGAAAAGGACCGAUGUCAAGGGUAUUUAAAUACCAAAUAUGGAUCAUGUCCAUAAUGUUUUUUUUAACUCAGACGUAAUUCUCCUUUUUUAGGGUUAAACGUCGAUAUUUUAGACAAAUCUCCUAUUUUUAGGGACUGAUGUCAGUUUUAAUGUGUCUUCUAUUUUUAGGGACCGACGUUAACUAUUAAAAAUGAAACAAAAUUGCAAAUAAGCUCAAAAUAUAAUAGCAUUUGAAACAAAUAUAAAAGCACACAAGUAAGAGUAACCUUUCUUUUGAAAGGAUGUUUUAAGGGUGGUGUCUACCUUCCCUUAAUCAUAACUAACCCAGUACCCGAAUCUCUGGGACCAGUGUCUAAUUUGGGAUUUCUAGUUCCCUCAAAUUACUAGAUGGCGACUCCAAUAAAAUCUUAUUUCCCCCAAAAAAAAAUCUUUUUUGUUAAAUAAACAAAAAAAAAGCGGAGCCGUCGCCCGACGUCGUGUAUCGACAGAAUGGCGACUCCACUGGGGAUAGGGUUGAACCAACUGCUUGUGUGUGCUUUUCAUUUUUUUUAUUGCUAUUAUUUUUUUUGAGAUUUAUUUUAUUUGCACUAUUUAUUUUAUGCAAUAUCAAUUGUAAAUCAUUUCAUUUUUUUUAAUUACACAUGCAUGCAUGUUAUUUAUUUGUGUAUUCACACACUUCACAGUGAACCCAUAAAAGCUCUGGACCCGAGCUCGUCCUUUUUAAGAUUAGAAAAGAAAGAUUCAGGUGGCAAGUGUGACUUAUGUCCACUGAUGCUCAUUUGGACUUUCGCUUGGAUUGUAACUCACCCUAUGCAACGGGUAUUGUGGAAUUUUCUUCCCAUACUCAUGUUGUAUAAGGUUAAGAGGCCGACUACCCCAUGGGUAAUUCGGGCAAUCUAAGAACCAAAGAAAUAUCUUUAGGGAUUAGACUAAACUGAGCCAAAUCUUAUGAGCUAGAUCCUAUCAAUUAGGAUAUACCUUUUAGGACACAAACAAAUGUCAAUGCAUUAACAUACAUGUUCAUACAUUUCAUAUUCUCAUUAAAUCUCCACCGAUCCUUAUAGGAAGUGUGAGAUAAAAAACCAUUACUAUUGAGGAAUUUUUGACCAGAUAAAUUGAACCAACAUGAUAAAGGGGAUUGUUUGCCAUCAGAACAUGGCAUCAAAUUUCUCCCCUAAAUCGGUUCAAGUCCCUGUAGGUUUGGAGUCCUCAGUGAGAACUUUCUUAAGAGAAUCUGAUCUGGUCUGUUCCUCGUCAUAAGUUAAAAAAAAAAAUAUAUAUUUGAAACCAAUAACAAGCAUGCAUAAAGCAUAUGGCAUUUUGCAUCCAUUUGUGCAUUUCAUUUAGUUUACUUGCAUUCACUCAGGUUGAAAUAUAGGUCCCCCAAAAGGCCGUAAAAUUCAUUACACUCGACAACAAAGGAAGAUAAUGGAGAACGAAGAAAGGGCCACCUGGAGGCUCAUUAUCAAAGAGAGUUGGAGAACAUGAAAAAUGAUAUAGCACGACUUACAAGUCUACUCGAGCAGGCCCUAGUAUCCAAGUCUGGGGAAGGACCUCUACUCAGCCGGCAGUUGCAACUCCAUCUAUAUCUAUGCCAUCAGCUCCUUUGUAUUCCCGCCUCAAAAUUUAGGGGCAAAUCCCUCUUCAUUUGAACAACAGUUCACUGCCAAUGUUCCACCAGCACAAGUGCCAGUUAUGUAAACCUGGCAACUGAUGACCCACAAAGGAUGAAAUUCUCUAAAAUGUCGAUUAUGAUAAAUUGACCGCUCUGGAAGAAAGAUUGAAGGCAGUAGAAGGGGCAGACUUAUAUGAUCCUGUUUAUGCUGCAGAAAUGUGUUUAGUUCCAAAUGUAGUUGUACCAAAAAUUUAGGGUACCAGAAUUCAUCAAGUAUACUGGAACUGAAUGCCCAGUCACUCAUCUUAAAUCUUACUGCAAUAAGAUGGCAGAAGUAGUGAAUGAUGAGAAACUUCUCAUCCAUUUCUUUCAAGACAGUCUUUCUGGAUCGGCAUUAAGCUGGUAUACAAGGCUGGAUAAUACUAAGAUCAGAAAGUGGAAAGAUUUGGUAAAAGCCUUUGUGGAGCAGUAUAAAUUCAACAUGGAGGUAGCCCCGGACAGGUCAAGCUUGUUAGUCAUGAAGAAGGGCAGCAAAGAGACUGUCAGAGAAUACGCUUUGAGAUGGCAUGAAAAAGCAUCUCAUGUGCAACCCUCUUUGUUAGAAAAAGAAAUGGUCACUCUGUUUUCUAACGCUUUUAAAUCUCCAUACUUUGAACACCUGGUGGGUAGUUCAACUCAGCAUUUCUAUGAUGCUGUAACUAUCGCUGAGAGAAUAGAACAAGCGAUAAGAGCGGGGAGAAUGUCAGAGCAUACUGAGAAGAAAGGCUUUACUGGGAAAAAGAAGGAUCCUGAUGUGAAUAAUGUGGAAGGACUGUAUAGGGGUAAGAAAAAAAAUUACCAUCAUUAUAACUUCCAAAUACCUACCCAACAAGUUGCAAGUGUCAACUUCACUAAACCUUUCCCUACCAACCAACAAAGCUAACCAAAUGACCAACAAAGUAACCAGAUUGUUAAUCCUCCAAGAAGGAAUUUUCAAAGAACCCAAGAACGAUUGCCACCAUUACCACUUCCCCUGGGAGAAAUGUACUCAAAGUUGUUGAGUAUUGGGCAAGUAGCCCCUGUUCCCUUAACCCCACUGCAACCUCCAUACCCAAAUUGGUAUAAGCCAGAUCUGAAAUGUGAGUAUCAUGCUGGCGUUGCUGGGCAUAACAUUGAAAGCUGUAAUGCAUUUAAAAACAAGCUUCUGCAAUUGAUAAAGGCUGGAUGGAUAACUUUUGAUGAUGCACCGAAUGUGAAGUCCAACCCUUUGCCCAAUCAUGCUACAAGCAGUGGGGGAGUGAAUGCUGUAGGAGUGGAGGACAAGAAGGAAAGAGUUUUGAAGGUUUCCAUGGAAAGACUAUAUGGUAUGUUGGUACAGUUUGGAUAUUUAUCUAAGGUUGAACCAGUGAUGGAUGGAAAUAACUACUGUAAGUUUCAUGGUAAGGUAGGACAUCACAUUGAUGAUUGUGAAGAAUUUCACUAAGAAGUGAAAAGGAUGCUGACUUUCGGCAUGAUAAGGAUAAAGAGUGAAGAAGGGAGCAGUGAAGUUGGGAUGAUAGGCCGUCAGGUGACAAAAAUGGAAGUUUGUAGACUUUAACCAACUGUGGGUGGUCCACCAAAACUAAUCCUGACCAAGCAUGUAUGCACAAACAGUGAGAGUUAUGGCACAAUGCCUUACAAUUACGGGUAUUCUUUCAACAUUACGAAUCCUACUCCUAUCUUUCACACUGAAAUCGACGGUUUAACUCGAAGUGGUCGGUGUUUUACACCAGAAGAAUUAGAGAGGCAGAGGAAAGCUAAAGGAAAAGAAAUAGUUGAUACUUUUAAAGGCAUGGAAGUGAACAAACCCAUAAGUGAAGACGAGUCUAAUGAAUUUCUGAAGUUGAUGAAGCAUAGUGAGUAUAGUGUGGUGGAUCAGUUGAAGAAAACUCCUGCUAGAAUCUCCUUAAUGUCACUUAUCUUGAGUUCUGAGUUACACCGUAAAGCGCUGCAAAAGGUGUUGAAUGAAGCAUAUGUGCCACAGGAUAUUACUCAAGACACGAUGGAACAUUUGGUGGGAAGAAUUCAAGCCUCUAAUUACUUAUACUUCACAGAAGAUGAGCUAGACCGGAAGGGACUGGGCAUAACAAGCCUUUAUAUAUCACCGUGAAAUGUAAAGACUAUUUGAUCGGCAAAGUGCUUGUGGAUAAUGGUUCAGCGUUGAAUGUGCUACCAAGGCAUAUGCUAGAUGAGAUGCCAAUUGAUGCUACCUAUAUGAGACCAAGCACGAUGACAGCUAGAGCAUAUGAUGGUUCUCCUAGACAGGUGAUCGGGACCAUUGACAUUGAAUUGUUUAUAGGGCCUCAGAUGUUUUUGAUAACCUUACAAGUGAUGGAUAUCCAUCCUUCGUAUAGCAUGUUACUAGGAAGGCCAUGGAUACACGCCGCUGGGGCUGUGACAUCAUCUCUACACCAAUGUCUGAAGUACAUUAUCAAUGGUACUCUAGUGAAAGUUAAGGUAGAAGAAACCUUAUCCAUGAUAAGGAAUGUGUCGGUCCCUUAUAUUGAAGCAGAAGAUUGCAAAGAUGGAAAUCUCCAUGCCUUUGAGAUUGUGAACACUGAAUGGGUACCAGAGAAUAUAGUGUUAAGAAGACCAAUGAUUUCUGAUACUGCCAAAAUGAUAGCUAUUGAAAGCAUGUGAGCUUAUAAAGAAAGUCUGACAACAAAGAAUUCAAUAAAAUUCCAAACAAUUAAGAGAAUUCCUGACAAAUAUGGGAAUAACAAAAGAAAACAGAAGUUCCUCAUUUGGAAUAUUUAGUAUCAUUUUUGUUGUCAAGGUAGCAAAAAAAAUACCAAGACAAGAUAAUAGUGAUCUAUAGUUUAUAAGCCCUUAAACAAUUUUUGAGCUUAUGGAAUACUCUUUCUUUUAUAGCCUUGAGCCAUAAAAUACAUUACGUGCCUUUGAAGUCCUUUCUAAUCAAGUAAGCAACCUGAAUUAAUAAACGAUGUUCUCAAAAUAUAAGAGACUUUUCCAUAAAGAGUCAUGGUGUAACAAAUAAUUACUCAUUAUUAUUCAUGUUGUUAAAAAGAGUGUUUCUAAAGAUAAAAAGACAAAUUGUUUCUUUUCUCUCAAAAUACCUUCAAGCAAUCGCUUGCAUACUUUGAAAACCAAAGCAGAAGGUCAUCUCAUCACUUACCUUCAUCUUAGAUUACUUUUACUAAGAGAUUUGACAUAAAGCCCCAGAAUGGCCUGAACAUUGUUAUAAAUAGACAUUGAGAGUUUCAGUUUUCGAGAACAAAACAGAUCUUUUGAAAAAUCAUUUUUGGAAAAAGGUUUUCUUUGUAAGAAAAAUGAAUAUAUGGCACAUUACAAGGCACCAGAGAUUCUAAUGACAACAAGAGCAAAGGAGGAAAUGAAAUGAGGCAGUUAAUUCUCCCAAGGGGUAGAGAAGCAGUUACCAGAUCCUUAAUGGCACAAAGAAAUUUGUUUCCCUUGUGGAAAAUACACAUGAUAAAAUUAUGGACUUCUUCUAGCAUGUGGACUGAAAUAGUAUGAUUUGCAGUAUCCAUAAAAGGAGAUUGUUGACUCUCACAAUAUGAUCAGUUAGACUACAAGAUAACUGAUGCAUCUUCAGUAAGAGAAAUACAUGAAAUCCCAGGUGAAGCGGGAUAACCCUCUUAUAUUGACCAUAUAAAUUGGUUAAAGAAUCUUCAACAAUGGAAAUGUUGCCUAUAGAAUAAUGUCGGGCCAGGGAGAAGUUAAUUCUUUGUGAAGUUACCAAUAGAGAAAAGUGCAGUGACUAUUGGGAAACUCAAACAAAGCUUAUCUUAGAAAAAUGAACAACAUGGGUCGGCUUGAGUAGAUUUGAAGGAUGCGUGAAUCAAAAGAGCUCACUAAAAGUCAAGAUCCUCAAACAAGAUGAACGAGGAUCUACAUUUCAAAAACAUGGUAAGAUGCACUGCAUAUCAUCUAACUUCAUGAGCAUUGCAUAUUUGUUUUGCAGAUAUUUCACGAAGCAAACUUCCUAAUGGAAUCCAACUAGAUUUAGAUGAAAUGAAGUUCUUCUAAAUCGCAUCAAAUAUGGAAAUUCUACAAAAGCAAAAUUCAUGAAUGAAGAUGAGAAAGAUGGAUUUUUAUUCAUGGGAAAAGGGUUUACAAGUACAAACAUUAAACACUAUGAGGAUGAUUAGGGAUAUUUUGGUUUUGAUGAUCCAUCAUUACUCGAAAUUCCUCAAAUUGGUUAAUUAUGCGCUCCAUCUGUUCCUCGAACUCGAGGUGUCGUGUGUUAACAUGGUCCCUCCAAAAGUCAACACGAGCGUUGAGCUCUUGGUUUCUCCUCUCCAAGUCGUUUCUGUGAUGUCUUUCAUCACAGAGUCUUUUCAUUUAAUUCUCAAUUUGAUGAUGGAGCUCAGGAAUUUGAGUAUUCAACUUAAGUCUUCUGGCAUGAAGAUGCUCCGCCAUGUUCACCAUAGACGAAGUAGCUCUAAUACUUAGAGUAAGUGACUGAUUCACUGCUUCAAUAUCGGUUCUGGCUGCCAGGAUUAUUUCAUCACGAGGAAGGAUCACGUCUCUAGCCACGGCUACAACAAUAUCUUCAUUGUCCAUCACAGUAUCCUCUAUUGUAACUGGACGGCCAUUCACUUCAAAGGUAGUACGCCAAACUACAGGCUCUGCCGCAGGAACAAGGUUUGGAUUAGCAUUGGAAGAAGAGGAAGACAUGGUUUUGAAAGUAUUGAAAAUACGAGAAGUUGAUGAUGUCUUUUGCCAAAUACUGCAUGAUUUAUAGGGAAUUUGCUCUUGCCAUCAUUUUGAAUAGAAGCUCAAAUCUUAGCCGUACAUAUAAGACUUUCUUAAGAAGCUUUCAUAAUCUUUGAGAUCGAUUUGCAAAUCAAAUCUCAACCGUACAUAUAAGACUUUCUUGAGAAGCUUUCAUCAUCUUUGAGAUCGAUUUGCAAAUCAGAUCUCAACCGUACAUACAAGACUUUCUUGAGAGCUUUCCUAAUCCACUUACAAAUCAAAUCCCAAUCGUACAUACAAGACUUUCUUAAGAAGCUUUCAUCAUCUCUGAGAUUGAUUUACAAAUCAGAUCUCAACCAUACAUGUAUGACUUCCAAGUGGUCUAAUUGCUCCAGGUUACCUACCUGAUAGUGAAGAAGAAAGCAAAGAAUUUUGCUAGUGGUCUAAUUAUUCCAGGCGACCUGCUCGAUGAUAAAAUGCGAAGAAACUCGCAAGUGGUCUAAUUGUUCCAGGCGACCUGCCCGAUAGUGAAGAAGAGAGCAAAGAAUUUUGCGAGUGGUCUAAUUGUUCCAGGCAACCUACUCGACGAUAAAAUACGAAGAAACUCGCAAGUGGUCUAAUUGUUCCAGGCGACCUGCCCGAUGAUAAAAUGCGAGGAAACUCGCAAGUGAUCUAAUUGUUCUAGGCGACCUGCCCGAUAGUGAAAUACUUGAAAGUGAUUUCAAUAUAGGUUUUGUGAAAUACAUGAAAAUGAUUUCGGCAAUAAGCUUCAGGGUUGAUUAAAGUGUCAUUUUCGGUCAAAACCAUCAUUUUUUAUCAAAACCGAGUCCACCGGGUCAAUACGGGUCAAACCAUGUCGACCAGGGUAAAAAAUGAGUUUUCAUGACGUUUCAGGUCGAAACCGUCAUUUUCGAGUCAAACCAUCAUUUUUGGGACAAAACCCGGUUCACCGGGUUAAUACCCAUCAAAUGUUUUUUUUGUGUUAGCGGUUGAAAUAGGCUUUCUCUAAUAAUGAUUUAAGUUUUUUAGUUUUACCUAUAUAAAUAUUUAUUAUUAUAUAUAAUAAAAUAAAAUUAAUAAUUUAAAAAUUUAUUAUAUUAGGUAAGGUUAGUUGCAGCUAGCGGUGCAAAUUAUUUCUUCAUAAUUAAAUUUGUUGUCCCCUGCUCAUAUAUAAAUAGCCACGAUAGCAGAGGGCAACAAAGAAGAAAAAAAGAAGAGAAAUAAUUGAUUUGCCACUAUUCAUAUUUUUUUUAUUUUUUCUUCGUGAGAGUAGGGUAUUGAUUUUUUUUAAAAAAAAUUGAAAAAUACCAAAAAUAUCCUAGCCGUUAGAUUUAAUAGUGUUAGUUGUGGACCUUUGAUUUAAUAGGAUACAAUAGAGCUUACCACACUAGAUUAAAACCCAAACACAUCUCGGCCCUUGAAAUAAUCUGCCCUUUGAUCUCGUUGCGCCAUGUCACCCGGUGUACCGAGAUUUCAGUACACCGUGCCACACCAGAUCUAAACCUUGCUCAUCCGGACCGUCCGAUCAACCUGCAGAUCGAGCCAAUCAUAGCCGCAUGAUCUUUUCAUCGGAGAUCCAACGGCUCACUGACUUCAGCUGCACCGGUGUACCGUGCUAGCGUUCACACCGUAGUAAAACCCAGAGCCUUCUCUCACCGGCGACUUUCUCUCUCCUUCGAUCUCCCAUCUCCGGCCGUCUCAAGCCUCCAAACCACCACAGAAAGGUCGUCAACCUCCUACAAAGCAAAACCUCGGCCUUUUUCAGCGUUUUCGCCGCCUCAUCUGGCAGGAAAAAGGCCGCGAUCGUCGCCGGCCACUGAAGCUUCAAGUCAUCGAUUCUCCCUCAUCAUCCAUCAACGACCGUCAAGACCACCACCAUCAUAAUUGAUACGGUUCAGCCCUGUGAUACGACCCAAGUAAGGUCAGAUUCGGAUUUUGGUGUAAAAUGCGCAACAGUCCAGGUUUACGGCAACAGUCAUAAUUCUCAAUCCGACCGUUUGAUCGGGCUAAUAUUUUAUGUGGACUCUCCAGACAUAUCUUACUACCUUGGGUUAAAAUUGCAGGUCAAUCGGAGUUCGGGAAGGCACCCCAAUACUGGUCAACAGAGGCUGUACGGAUUUUGUUAUUUACUUCCAUUUGACUUGUGGACUUCCUAUUUGAUUAGGAUUCUUUUCCUCCAAGGAUGUGGGAGCUGGUUUUGGGAAUUUCCUAGUUCCACAAGGAUCUUUAAUGAGUUGCAAUAUAAUCUCCUAGUGUGGCAAGGAUUCAUUAAUGUUUCAUAAUCCUUCUCUUAUAAGGAUUCCUUAUUCAUCCUAGCUACACAAGGAAAGAAGGGGUGGUGGUAUUUAAUGACAAGUUACUUAUUUUUAUUAUUUUCUUUCAUGUUUGGGCUUAAUUAAUACUUUGUUUUCAGCUAGGAUUCAAGGCUUGUUUGGAUCAGGUUAUGGGCUUUUUAGUUUAGGGUUUUGGGCCAGUUUUGAGUGGACCUCAUAUAAGUCCACAUAAGAGGUCCAUUAGGGUUAAUUUUUCAAGAACUAUUUAAACUCAUGUAAGCCAUAAUUUCGGCAGCUUUGAUGAUAAUUACUUCUGAAUUUUUCAGUUUUAACGUGUGAGAGUGAUUCUUGCAUUCUUCAGUUCUUGAACGAACUGAAUCUGACUUAUCGAAGAUUAACUGGCUUCGUGGCGUCAUUCUACUCAUUCCAAUAGUGUAGGUGCCUUGGGGCAGGUUUCCAUUGUGUCGCACUCAUAUCAGACCUAUUUCGGCUUUUCGGGAUCAGAUCUCAAUCUUGAUUGUGGGUUGCGUGACCACGUGAUCACGAGGUUUGCAUCAAUAAUCCUCGACCUCAGAUCUAUCACGUGGCCAAAAAUCUCGCCGGAAAAUUUCGCCACAGCCAACAGUAACCGCGCGUGAGCCACAAGCGUCGCCAGUGGCAUUUUCAUAAUUUUUUGAGAAAUCCGAGGGAAUUUCAGUCUUUUACCUAUACAGUGGCACUCAGGUAAUUUUUUUUGAGAUUUCUAACAUUGUUUUUAUUUUUGAGUCCAACACCUAUCCUAUCAUGUUAUCGUUCGUGGGUCCAAAGCCCAAUUAUCAAAUAUGGUUAUAACCAUUUCCCAAUGAUAUCACAAUAAUUUUUGUUUUUAUAAACGAAUAUUGUUUGUCAACAUGUCUUUUUUUUACAGAAAAUGACCGAUGUCAAAAGUUUAAAUACCAAAUAUGGAUUAUGUCCAUAAUUUCGUUUUGGUAACUCAAACAUAAUUCUCCUUUUAUAGGGUUAAAUGCCAAUAUUUUAGACGAGUUUCCUAUUUUUAGGAACUGAUGUCAUUAAUAUUUUUUUUGACGCGUCUCCUAUGAACGUUGUUUGUCGACACGUCUCUUUUUACAGAAAAGGACCGAUGUCAAGGGUAUUUAAAUACCAAAUAUGGAUCAUGUCCAUAAUUUUUUUUUAACUCAGACGUAAUUCUCUUUUUUAGGGUUAAACGUCGAUAUUUUAGACAAAUCUUCUAUUUUUAGGGACCGAUGUCAGUUUUAACGUGUCUCCUAUUUUUAGGGACCGACGUUAACUAUUAAAAAUGAAACAAAAUUGCAAAUAAGCUCAAAAUAUAAUAACAUUUGAAACAAAUAUAAAAGCACACAAGUAAGGGUAACCUUUCUCUUGAAAGGAUGUUUUAAGGGUGGUGUCUACCUUCCCUUAAUCAUAACUAACUCAGUACCCGAAUCUCUGGGACCAGUGUUUAAUUUGGGAUUUCUAGUUUCCUCAUAUUACUAGAUGGCGACUCCAAUAAAAUCUUCAUUUUCCCCAACAAAAAAAAAUCUUUUUUAUUAAAUAAGUAAAAAAAAAAAAAACCGUCGCCCGACGUCGUAUAUCAAAAACUGCAUUGAUGUUGGAAUAAAAAGCGCUGACACUGGUGUUGGGAGAAGAAGGACCGUCAGUGGUGCCAGCUGCAGCAAAAACCGAAGGAUCCAUAUUGUAGCAGAUGAGUAGAAAAUAGAAGCUGACAGCAGAUAAUUGCAGGGAAGCCGAAAGAGUAGCAAAGAAAACAGCAGAAAACGUUGACUUCGGAGCAGAAACAGUAAUAAAAAAUCAGUAAUAACACGCUGAUGGCUGAAGCAGAGAAGCAUUAUCAAUCAGAAAUCAACAGAAGAAGCAGAAUCAACGUUGCAGAUCGUGAGGCUAAUUAACAGUAGCACAAUGAAGCAAGUAAUUAGCUAAUUAGAGGGGCUGCCAUUUGAAGAAUAAUUAGCUGAUGGAGUCGCAAUUAGAUUUUGUUGAAUAGAAACAAUAGAGGGGCUGCCAUUUGAAGAAUAAUUAGCUGAUGGAGUCGCAAUUAGAUUUUGUUGAAUAGAAACAAUAGAGGGGCUGCCAUUUGAAGAAUAUAUCUGUUAAAGAUAAAUUGGUUUUGAUACAAGUUAAAAUAAUAUUUGUGCUAAUUGAGAGGCUUAAUCUAAUGAUAGCCACCUCUUCUAUUUAUAUAAUUACAGUAGUGUAUAUGUUAUGGUGUAGCAUAUUAUACACAAUAAAUCAAUAUAUUAAUAAUAUAAUAUUUUCUAUAUUAACCCAUUCCAUAAUAAAUGUGCACUGCCAAGUCUUCAUUUUUUUUUUUUAAUGCAGCAAGUUGUUAAAAUUGAUAAUGACAUGAUUUAAAAGAAAACAUAUAUAUAUAUAUAUAUAUAAGUCAUCAUUUGAGUCAACGUAUUUUGAUGGGGAAGCAGGUGUUGGCCAGCCAGUUGCUUUCUAGGAGUGGAUCAACUGCUUUAGCAGAUGGGCCCAUCACUGCAGAGUAAUUUUAUAUUCUCACUCCCAUUGUGGGAUUUUUCUUUAUAUUUCUUGUACCGUCAAUCUUUCUAAUUUCAUUUCAUUUCAUCUUCAUUCAAGAACUUUCAAACCACUUUCUCUCUUCUUCACUGUCUCCAAAACAAAAUGGCUACAGAGUUUUUUCUUACAGUUAGUUUCAUUUCCAUGUUCUGAGGGUAAUAUUCCUUAAUUAGUUGACUGGCUGACUUGCUAAGAAUUUGCUCGAAAGCAAAUCCCUUGGUUGAUUCUUCAGCUAACCUUUCUCUCCAAGAACUGAAAUUUCAUAGGUGGUGGAAUCCAACCAACCCUUUUCCUUCUAUAUAGGUAUAACUAACUCUUCUUUGCUUUUUUCUUGUUUUGAUUUCAUGAAUUUACUGAUAGCAAUAAUUUGAAAGCUUUAUGUUCAGAUAGAUCAUUGAUCAGUUUAUGUCUUCUAGUACAAGAUUAUUGUCCAAUCAUCCCAUCACAGUUAGUUCCUUUUCAUUAUCUUUUUCAUGUUCGUAGACUUUCUGCCUGUGAUGUGUUGCUAGUUAGCCAAAGAUCUUGUUGUUCAAUCAUCCAUUUGAUUUUACUUUGGACAAUCUUGUUGUUCUUGAUAUGCAAUACAGUAACCUCAGAGAAUUAUGGAAAGGGGAAAAGGUGCGAAACAAACUACAAUCCAUAAUUUAUAUUUACAUGUUAUGACUUUAUAUGAUUACUUUUCAUUGUUUUUCUCUCUAUUUUGACAGAUUCUCAACAAGCUGAAAAUCUUUAAUCUCAGUCAUUCUCAGUUCCUAGUUAAAACACCAAACUUACAUAGUUCAAGUCUACAAAAACUAAGGUUGGAAGGUUGCUCGAGUUUAGUUGAGCUGCAUCAAUCUGUUGGAAAUUUGAAGAGCCUCAUUUUCUUGAAUCUAAAGAGAUGUCGGAGCCUAAAGAUUCUUCCCGAAAGCAUUGGUGAUGUAAAGUCUCUUAAACGUUUGAAUAUUUCUGGAUGUUCAGAACUUGAGAAGUUGCCAUAAUGCAUGGGUGAUAUGGAAUCCUUAACUGAGCUGCUAGCAGAUGGAAUUAAAAAUGAACUUCUACCUUCAUUUGUACAUUUAAAGUAUGUCAGAAAGUUAUCAUUGUGUGGAUACAGUUUCUGUCGGGACUCACCAUCACCUACAUCCUGGGUUUCCCAAAUUUCAUCAUCGUCUACAUCCUGGCCUCUACCAGUUUCAUCUUCGAUCAUAGCAAGUACUGUUUUAAAUCGGAAAUGUUUGCUGCCAACAUCUUUCGAAUGGAGAUCAAUGAAAUGUCUUAAGUUUUCUAAUAGUGGUUUGUCUGAUCACACAACUAACUGUGUUGAUUUCAGGGGUUUGUCCUCUCUAGAAGAAUUGGAUCUAUCACAAAACAAUUUCUCUAGCCUGCCUUCCGGGAUCGGCUUCCUUCCCAUGCUUUCGAUUUUGAGUGUUCAGGAAUGCAUCAAGCUUGUAUCAAUCUCAGAUCUUCCCUCAAAUUACUCUGUUUGGAUGCCUUUCGUUGCAGUUCAUUGAAAAGUAAGAAUUCCAAUCCAGUCAAAAAACUCACCAUAUAUGUUCAAUAAAUGUUAUAUGUUAGAAGAGAUUCAGGGCAUCGAAGGUCCAAGUAAUAAUUACUGGUAUAUUGACGUUGAUUUCCCCAGUGAUUCAUCAAAUAAUUUCCUGAAGAGUCUUGCUGAGGUACUAUCUCUGUCUCUCCAGCACACAAAUAUACACAUUAAUCAAUUAGUUUCUAAAAUUUCAGCAUUUCUUGAAAUCAAUAUAUAUAUAUAUAUAUAUAUAUAUAUAUAUAUAUAUAUACAGGCAUUGUGCAAUGGUGAUUAUGGGUAUUUUACUUGGUCCGUUCCUGCUAACAUGCCAAAUUGGUUAAGCUACCGUGGAGAAGGAUGUUCAUUAUCAUUUCAUAUACCUCCAGUUUUCCAAGGCUUGGUUGUCUGGGUUGUUUCUCCAUUUGAGGUUGGUAGUAGUGGGAAUGACGCCAUCAAAUACACGGUUAUUAUAAAAAAUAAAAACAACGGUGUUCAAUUGUUUGAAGAUACACUAACAGUACAUGUAGGCAGAUACCCCUUUAAAUGGGUAAGAUACAUAAGUAUAAUUGAUAUGGCAAUGGAAGAAUACUGUGGAGAUGAGGAAUUGGAACUGUAUCUGGGGAGCCAGUCCAUUGAUGGAAGCAAAGUGGUACAGUGUGGGAUUCAUGUGAUAGUAGAAGAGACAGAUUCAUUUGAAGGGUCAGAGUGGGAUCGGGAGAUUACUGUGACAAGAGAUGAGGAGUUGGAACUGCACUUGAAUUCGGGGAGAAAAGACAUUAAUGUGACAGAAUGUGAAGUUCAUGUGAUCAAAGAGUUAGAAGUGGGAAGAGAUAGAGUGAUGCCUGCAUCACGGCCAUAUCGUCUGCUUCCUCAUCAUCCCAAUUAUGGUCUUAUAAGAGCGUCUACAACUGCGCAGUGGAAAGCUUAUUUGAUGCAAAAAAAACCUCGCGAAGUAAUAAUUGUUGGUCAGAAUAAAUAUUCCCUUUAGUUUUAUUUAAUUCUAUUUAAUUUAUGAAAUUAAAUAUUAUCUUUAAUGAUUUUAUAUUUUUCUUAUUUAAUUUUAAAAACAUCAAUUAAUUAUUAGCUAUAAAAAUCCCCCAAAAUGCAUUAGUUGAAUCACUUAAGCUGAUAUCAAACAAUCCAUCGAAUCGCACUUAAUUAAACCAUUAUUUUUAUUGGUAGCAACUCGUGUGUCUUUUAAGGCAAAAGAAUAGCAGGAAGAGCUAAAAUUAGAAAUAUUUAGAGACGGUUUGAUUUUAUUUUUUUAUGAUAAUAUUUUUAAAUUUCUUAAAACAUGAAUUGAAAACUUGUAUGUUUUGAUAUUCUUGUGUAAAAAAGAAAAGCCAACAAUGACUAACAUAAAUUUAUAAAAUCACUUUAGUUGAUUUGGAAAUUUUUUAAUAUUGAUUUUUGUUUUUAUAUUUUAGAUUUUUUGUUAGGAUGAGGUGGUCAGGUUGCGUCACAUUGAUUAUGUCAUGAAGUUAACUAGAGUAAGAUAUAAAGAUAUCAAGCUUCGGAGAGAAUCAAGAUCAGUUAAAGCAAAAAAAAAAAAAAAACAUAUUAAUUAUGAAUAUAAAUUGGAAAGGAAAAGUUUAGUUAUAAGGAAUCAGAUUCACAAAGAAAUUUGAGUCUCAUCGAUUCUAGGAAACAAGUUGGAAGGAAUCAAUUUUACAAUAAUUGAACUUGGCACUAGCUAGAGAGAACCUUCGUGCCACUAAGUACUGAAUCGUUAUUCAAAUGUACUGAAGGCCAUUUGUUUGCCAUUUGUGCUAAUUAAGAACAUAAUUCUAUUCUUUUAUAGUUUUUUGGAAGAAGAAAAAACUGGGGUGAGUUAAUAUUCUGUAAAAUAAGCUUGGAAUAGCUUGCGGGGGCCGGUUGGCUCAGAGAUCAAUUUUGUUUUUACUACAAAUUGCCUUUUAAUUGGACUGGGAUUCGGUAAGUUUCCCUUUUGUUUACAUAUGAGGUUCCGAGACAACAGUGCUUGCUGUUCUUGAACAGACAUUGCUUGGGAUUGUGCUUAUUGCCAUUAAUUAAACUGAGAUUAUUCUGAUUAGAGAACAGAAGGAAUCUUCUUUCAUAAUUGGCUUUCGAGAAAAUUUAGUGUUUUUGCUUCCUCUGCUUUUGGACCUGACUUGAUUCCUGACCGGUAGAAACAGCAUUAGUCCAAAAGAAGGGAAGCUUUUGUUUUCUUUAAUCACAUGAUCUGAUAUUCUCAUUAAUUUAUGCCCAACACAAAUUCAUAAAAGUGGCUCUAAUGAUUGGAUGACAACAGUUGUUAAUGAGCAGUGUUUGCGUCCCUUAUUUUCCGUUUACUAAGUAUUUAGAACAAUAUUCAAUUCUAAUCCAAAGUCGAUAGUAAUAAACUCUUGGUGAUGGUUUUGUCAUCGAUGGUGGUCGGACAACAAAAAAACCAGUAAAAUCAAACGAUUUUUAAUGUUUUUGUGUUUAAAUUUGAUAUCAAUAAACUUUUGAUGAUAAUUUUUUUUUCAUUUUAUGGUGGUUUUAUCGUCAGUAGUGAUAAGAUGAAAGAAAGCUAUUGAUUUUUCUCUCUGCAGUGGUUAGUAUUAUAAUAUUUAAACUUGAUAUUACAGUUUAAAGCAAUACACAAAUGUCGGGUGCUUUUAUUUACAAAAAGGAGUGCUGUCUAACAUUAUUCAUUUGACAGCUGUUGUCAACCAAACCUUUCCUAUCUAUAUAAAGGUUGGCUUGGCCUCCUACAUAUUAGCCAAAGCAAGAAAACAAACAAAACCUAUAUAUUUCACAGCUACUUGUCUUAGUGUGUUGAUUAGUUGUAGUUAACAUGGCACGUCAGGCAGAUCGUCUUGUUAAGAUUGGGCAGGAGGGUUUUGCAGCCAUUGAUGAGCACUUCGGCCGGGCCAAGAGGCGGCCACCAGUUAUGAAGGUUCCCUAUGCCCAUCCCGCAUAUUACUACGUUCAUCAGGCAAACCAAAUUCCUGCAACAAAACUAAUCGACAGCAACGAGGCAGCGCAACGCUACAAUGGGAGGGUUUAUAUCGAUUACCCAAAAGGGGAAACCAGUUCCGUUUUAAAGACCUAUUGAUCAAUCACUUAGCUUUCUUGUAUGCAUAACCUCCUCCAGUACUUGUGUUACCUUUAGUCCUGUACGAUAUUCUCCCUCUGCUAAACGUAGACGAGGAGAGGUUGCUUCUUACUUCAAAUAAAAUUUCUGUGAUUUAUAUAUCAUAAUUUUCUAUUUGGCUGGUCAAGUAUGCAUUGUCAUAAAUAUCUCUCUGCUUCCCUUCCCUGAUUAUCACUUUAUUCGCCUAUUACUUAGCAUGAAAAAUUGAAAGAUUAAUGCAGUUGGAAGCACAACAAUAUAGCUGCAAGUAGGGGUGUUCAAAAUAACCGAGAAAACCGAUAAAACCGAAGAAAAAUUAACCGAAAAAACCAAACCGAAAUGAAAAACCGAUUAAACCGAUUGUCAAAACCAUAAAUUUUAACAGGUCCGGUUCGGUUUCGGUUUUAAACCAAAAACCGGAACAAACCGAACCGGACCCAUUAAAAACCAAAAGUUACACAAAUCUCUGAGGUAUAAAUUGUAACCUAACCCUAACAGUUAAUAUAACAUUCAUGUCUCUCACAAAAAGCCGCCGCCCCCCCCCUCUCAAUUAAUUUCUAAUUUUCCUUUCCCGGUUUCCCAAUCUUCCUCUCAAUUAAUUUCUAAUCUUCCUUUCCCAUUUCCCAAUCUUCCUUUCCAGUGGGUUUGUUGAAUGAGCUUUCAAUGCAAAUGUCAAAAUUUUCAACUUCACAUACGACAAUUGAUGGCAAAGGGCAAUGGAAACCAUAAUCUUCCUCUUUUUCUUGUUUUUAUCUUUCCUCUCUUUUCAUUCUUAGCUGUUUUUUUGUGGUCAAUAUUGGUGGUAAUGGUUGAGAUCGAUGGGACUAAUGGCAAUGGAAACCAUGGAGGAGCUGUGUUUUCUCCUUCUUCUUUUUGUGCCUGUGAGAAACCAUGGAGGAACUGUCAUAAUCCUCCGAGAAACCAUGGAGGAACUGUCAUAAUCUAAAAUCCAUCUUCUUUCUGUGUGCCUGUGUUUUCUCCUUUCCAUAUAAAAAAUCUGGAUGAUGGGAUUAGGUUUCUUGGUUUUUUGUCAAAAAAACCGGAUUUAACCGAACCGGACUGGUUCGGUUUGAACCGGUUUUCGGUCCGGUUCGGUUAAUAUUUCACAAAAUUAAUGUGAUUCGGUUCAGUUGGUUUUUUUAGUCUAAACCGAACCGUGAACACCCCUAGCUGCAAGCAUGGAAAGACAGGAGAUAAACUGAAAUAAUGUUAAAACACAAAGAAUCCCAAAACCUUAUUUUAUUUCUAAAAUAUUAAUGUGAUUAAGUCUACCUCCUAAAGAGGUUUACAAUCCCUAUUAUAGGCUAGAAAAAUGGACUAAAAUUGGAAACAAAAUCAAAAUCCCAAUACAUAACAGGAAAUAACAUAAAAUCUGCAAAAAUUAAUAAAAAAAUAACAAAAUUAUCCCAAAUAAUAACUCAUGAGCCUUAUUUUUGGAGAUCCAAUGCUCCGAUAACUACUGAGUAGUUUUUAAUGGGAAAACAACUUGUAAAAAUUUAAAUCGAAUCCAACAGCUAGAUCUCCUGAUAUCGUCAUUUUAGGACAAUACUCUUGUCUUGCGCAAUCAUGCUUUUUCUUGGGCCAAAACAUGUCUCAUUAGUACAUGAAAAUAUGUGUUAGGCCAUAUAUAUAGUCUGUUUACGGAAAAUACAUAAUUAAUUUGCUGUUCAAAUGCUUUGAAGCUCUUCAAGGUGUGAUUUCACUGAAUAAUUUUGAGUUUAGAUUUAUCACCUCAUUUUGGAAUUGUCCUGAGCACAAGGAUAAAAUCAUGAGCCGAUAAAAUGGGAGCGUCUUGGAUUAAGAAAGAAUAAACAGAGUUCAAGGUAAAACAAUAGCUUAGGAAAAAAAAGUAGAAAUUUACAAUAUAUCUAAGAAUAUCAGCGAUCAUGACCAUGAUUGGAUCAUUUGUGAAUUCUAUAACCAAAAUUUCCUUCACAAAUCUUUAACAAAUCUUUAAAAGCAUGAUUCCCAAUCCGAGCUAUGUGAGCAACUGUAUCUAGUAUAAGUAUCUUAUCUCCUAUGAAAAUGAGAUAUCUUUUACAGAAAAAUGAGAUAUCAAAGGUAAGCCUCCCUUUGAAGCAUUGCUUUACACAUAUCUUUUACAGAAAAGGGGAAAAAAUGGGAAAUGCUCUGAGUAUAUACCUUUUCUUGAUCUUUCCCAAUCCUUCAUUAUAAACGGGACCCAUCAAAUAUGAGAUAUGCGUUAACCUCCUCCAUAUUUCAUCUUAGCCUAGAAGGAUAAACAAGAAUAUUAUUGCUUCUGAAACAUAAAUUGCAAGCAUCGCCUUUCGGUGAACUUUUGAUGACAUGAAACUGCCACAAAUUGGGUGCUAUCCGAGAGACUUUUCUUUUUCUGCUCUGUUAUCGGAUAUAUACAACUGAAAUCUUUAAGUCCUCUUUAGGGUACCCCUGAAAGAAAAUGGUCUGUCAUAGAAAGUCUUGAGGAAUCUGAGGCAUAUAAUAUGAGAUAUAUAUCGUCCCAAGAUCAUAAAAACUAUAAAUCUUAAUCUCAUCAAGUGUAGCCAUGAAGUGGGAUCAAAACCUAUUUUCCUAUUGUUAUUAACUAAAGGGAAAGCCACAAGUAAGUCUCUGUGCUAUGAUUGUGUCAAGAUCAAGGAGUUGCCACCUAGUAAUUUGAUUUAGGGUCACUAGGAAACCCGGGUAUACUGGUCUUAUAAGAGAUUCUAAGAGUAAGGGAUUGGUAGUGGCUAAGGAAGGCAUUAGCAUCCCUUGGGCACCCUACCUGAUAUAAGUUGCAUUGUGUGAUUUAAAUAUGGUUUAAAGAUUUUGAUGGGUUCUUAACCGGUAUCUUGUCUAUGUCUUAGGAUGGGGUUUGUUCAUGUGAAUAAAUCUAGCAUUUCAAAUUUAUUAUGGGUUUGUGUACCCAAAUGAAUUCUUAUAGAAAGGAUUCAUGUGCGCGCCCUAACAGGGUUUAUCUAUCCUAAAAAGUGGAAGGGUUUUUCAUAAUUCAUGCGUUGUGGUGAAAAAUACUCCCAAUUAAAAUUGAUGAAUAUUUAGAAUAAUUCUGAGAAUUUUCUAUUGAAUUCCUGAUAUUUAAUUACUAGUCUACUUGCAGGUCCAAUGUUUAUAUCACAAUAUUGAUUAUUAAUUAUCAUGAAUUAAAAUUUUAUAGGUUAUUGAAAUAUUGGACAAAUCAUGAAUUUAGUAAACUAGUUAUUAAAUUCCAAAUGCGUGCAAAUAUAUAUUUUGUAAAAAAUUGCUAAAACACAUGUAUAUAUAUAUAUGUAUAUAUGUAUAUGUAUAUAUAUGUAUAUAUGUAUAUGUAUAUAUAGACAUACUUUUUAAGCAAAAACAAGAAUUUUGUAUUUUAAAGCACUUGUUUGUAUGCAAUUAAAACAUUUGGAAAAAUUAAAUUUUUUUUUCUUUUUAUCUUUUCUAUCACAAAAUGAAAAUAAGUAAUAAAAAAAAUGCAACACACACAUACAUUCUCUUUUUUACUAUAUCUUACUUGCACAUCUACAAAUUACACAGGUUUACAAAACACCAAAAAAUAAAAUUUCUAAAAAUAAUUUGAAAAAAUUGCAAAAUAGACCUUCUAAAGGUCAAAAAUAAUUUAGAGAAGUUAGAGCUCGAGAAUAGUGCUAGAAGAUUUUAGGGUUGGAGGAAUAGUGGCGACGCAUAUAUCGAGGUGCCAUUUCCACUAACAACCAAUGGAACCAUGCGUUGCUGCUGCUGGAGAGAUGAAAAACAAGGUGGAUCUGAAGCAAAAUCUUCUUCUCUUCUAUCUUGUGUCAAUAGUGAGUGUCACCUGACCUACAAGCCAAAGAAAAAAAAACGCACAAACAAUAGCUUUUACUUUUAUUUCUUUUUUUAGAUAUCAUUCUCUCAUUCUUUCUUCGAUUCAGUUUGUUUUUUCUUUUCUUCUUCAAAUUGUUGCUGCUAUUAUCAUAGAUGAAGGAGGUUGGGUGUUUCCAUGAGGAGUUAAUAUCUUUUUUGGUGGUUUUAGGUGUACUUUUGUUUGAGAAAAACAAAAUGAAGAAGAGGUUGAAGGCUGUUGGUGUUGGAUUUUGACAGUGGUUUUAUGGUGGACAGGGAGUCUUGGAACUGGUUGUUAUUGGUUGGAGCUGGUGGUGUUCGUGAUGGCUGGUAGUGUAAAGACCGAGAGAGAUGAGGAAAUGAGUCUAUUUCUUUGAUUUGGUGAAGAGAAAAUUAUGGUUGGUUGUUUUUUUUAUUUAAUAGGUGGUGGUGGUUGAAAUGGGUUAAAUGGAGUAGGAUUUAAGGGAUAAUGGUCUAGUUGUGUAUUAUAGAAUGUACCUAUAUAGGAAAUAUUAUUGGCAUGCUCUUAUGUUGUAAUCUUCACAAUUACUAUUGUCUAUUGCUAUACAGAAAAGGUUAACUAACCAAUAGGUUAAGUGACACGACCAAAAGAUUCAUGUCUUCUCCCAAGUGCAGGAGUGUCAAAGUAAUAAAUAACCCGGCAAGACCGGGGUCGAACAUCAGAGAGGUUAAUUGUAUAAAUUAUAAAUAACAAGACAACAACAACAACAACAACAAUAAUAAUAAUAAUAAUAUUAAUAGUAGAAGUAGUGGUAGUAGUAGUAGUAGUAGUAGUAGUAAUACUCAGUACGUGGCGUUGUUAUACCUGAGAAUGAUCUAAAAGAUCGGGUCACAGGUUUCCAGCCUAUAUACUGAUUUUAUGAUAAUAAUAGUAGUAAUAAUAAUAAUAAUAAUAGUAUUAGCAGUAGUAGUAGUAGUAAUAAUAAAAAAAAAAAAAAAGAGGAGGAGGAAGAAAUUAAUGAGAACUUUGAGAUGGAAGAUUAAUGUAAGGAUUAAACAAUGAUAAAAACAAAUGUCAAGGUUAGAGGAUCCACUAAUGGUAUUUCAAACAAGUAUAGUAUAAACUCUUAUUACUUAAUUUGGAAACCACACACGAAGGAGGUUCCAAUCGGAUGAUUUGUCAUUAAUAGCUCAUUAUAAAUUAUUAACAUGAUCAUAUUAAUUAUCUUAUUUACAUAACAUCAAACUUUUAAAUAUUGUCAGGAAUUCAUGAUGUUAACUGAUGUGAACAACAAAUCAAGUUCCUUUCAUAGCCCAGGUGUAGGUAAUACCAUACGGUUGGGCUAUGAGAGUGCCAAUCAUUUGUUGUACCAAGUGUUAUACAACACAAAUCUAGAUUAACCAUUUAACAAGCAAGGUAUUAAGAAUUAGUAAGAUAAAAAGAUAAGACAUGUUAAUAUUACACAUUAAGGUCCAUGUUGAGUUUACACCAUACUUAUUCUUACACCAUUAGUGUAACCUUUUCACCUUGACAUAAUAAACUUAGCUAAACAUAAUGAAGAAGAUAAACAUACAUAAACAAAAUAAGAACAUAAACAAGAUACAAGUUAACUAAGUAAAGGAAAGGAAAUGAAAAGCAUAAACAAAAUAUUAAUGAAAGCAAAACUUACAAAUUACAAAAAAUAUAAAGAGAGAGAGGAAGAGUAAGGUCUUGAUCUGAACAACCAAGCCCUUAAAUACAUGGCAAAUGCCUCCUUUUAUAGGCUAAAAUUCGGAAUUAUUGAUUUGAUGACUAAUUGUUGAGUGGGUGGCUAACUUUUGACUUUGUGAAAAUCCUUAUCUUCUUGUCUGAAUAAAAAAAAAAUUGUUAGCAUCAGAACUGGGUCCAUUGAAAAACAUGAAAGUUGUAGGAAAUUGACUCAGCUUUCCAAGGAAAAAACAUGGAGGUGAUUUGGACUUCUAUAACUCCAGAUAUGGGUCAAACACUGAACAGUGUUUGGGCUGCAAGACAGAUUCGGACUUCUCCGUUGUUGCUAUGAUUUGGACUUGAAAACAGCCUUGUUAGAUUUUUAUGUUCACAUGAAAGUUGUAGGCCUAUGUCUCAUCAAUUUUGUGUAAAAUUUAAGAUCAUUUGGACAUUUAGAACUCGAGAUAUGACCCAAAUACCAAAUAGUGUUCCAGUUUGGACUGCACCAACAUCUCUUUUCUAAGCUUCACCCUUCUUUAUCUUCAAAAUUUCAGUAGUUGAAUUCAUCAAUCAAUCCUUUGAUUUAUGUGAUAAGCCUCCAUUUAAGAUGAACAUUUACCAUAUAUUAAGGCAUUUUAUAGUAUUAGACUUGUUAUUGUAAAACAUGCUUUAGUUAAGGAGUUAUUGAUACUUUAGGUGCAAAAUGAUGAUAUAAAAUCUUGUUAAAUAUGCACUUUUAAGUACUAAUUACAUCCCCCAACCAGCUUAUUGCUAGUCCCUAGUAAUCAAAGCGUUAAAAUAGAAAAACAAUUUGCAAAUUCCAUAAAGCAAGGCAUUCAUCAUUCAACUUCAUUAAUCUAUCCAGAUAAACAAACUCUCAUUAAAUUCAUAUAUCUGCUCAAUACCUCUUAAACAAGAUAUUACUAAACCUUUCUUUUGUGCUCAAAAUAUCAACAUAUAGUUAUGGGGCUUUACUUGGACUAAAAACAAAUUUUUGCUCUAAUGUUUAAGGUUAACUUUCUUAGGUUGGGAUUUUUUUCUUUUCUUUUUAUUUAUUUAUUUAUUUAUAUACACAUACAACUUGAAACACAAUGUAUCUUUAACCCAUGUAACGAGUUUUAGGCUAAUGACUCCCAGACCAAUUGGUCUUAGGGCAUUAGGUGUUGAUACACCCCUACGAGCUUAGCAACUCGGGUUACAGAUAUUGAUACGUAGAUAGUGCAAUAUUUGAUUCCCUUAAGCUUUUCUCCUCAACCCAUGCAACAAGCAUUGGGCCAAUAGCUCCCAAGUCAGUUGACUUUAGGGUAUUAAGUGUUAAAAAACUCCUUCGGGCUUAAUUGCUUAGGUUAGGGAGGCUACGAAACCAAACUUAUCUACCUUUUUAUUAUCAUUAAUUUAUUUUUUUUGCAAAUUAUAUACUAUCCCUUUCCCUUAGUUGUUACAUUUAACAAAAGAACAUAAAUAAUGUAAUGAUCCAAUGUGCAACCCAUAAUCAUAUGUUAAAGUGUGUGUGUGAAAAUGAAGAUUUAAAAAUACUUGUUAAAUUAACCAAUGAGCAUAAUCAAGUGCUACCAAUACGAGAGUUUGUAAACCUGAAUAUUUCAAGAAGUAUUCUGAUAGACCUUGUUAAGAAUGUUUACUAAGAUGUGUCUCAAGAGUCACUUUAACAAAAUAACUCCUUUUACUCUGCCAUCCUAGUAACAAUAGUUUUGCAAAUAGUUUAUAAAAUAGAAAACACAGUUGUUUUUUUUUUUAAAAUAUCAACAACCACAACCCUUUCCCCCUAACCAAAAUGAGACAUUGUCCUCAAUGUCUUAAAGUAGAAAGAUAGAGUAUAGAAGACAUCACCUGAAAUAACGAACACUGACAAACCUGAAACACACUUAAACAAAUAUAAGAAACAACAAAACACAAUAAUAAAACCAAAAGACACAAAGUUUUUACAAACUAAGGCUCAAAUCCAAUCUAAGCUUUUUACAGCUGUUGACACACUCCCCAUUAACCCAAGGUUGCCUCCUCCAUACACUAAAUGAAUCUUUCGCUCAGCUAGUACCUGACCAAGAUGAUUUGUUGAUUCUAAAAACUCUUUUUCUUUCCCAGGAGUGGAUCCACCGAAAACACAAAUAUUUUUUAUGUGAUGACUUAAGGAACCUGCCAUUUCUACACACUUCUGUAUUUGAUGAAUGCAUGGGUUGAGUAGAAAUGAAUGGAAGGAAGGGAAGAAUUUAUAGAUGAGAAAUUGAAAAUGCAAUCAUACCACCUAUAUGUAGGUCAGCCGUAGUCUCACUCUCUCUCUCUCUCUCUUUUUAUUUAUUUAUUUAUUUUGAAAAAACAUGUGUAUGUACAUGUAGUUGUGAUUGUGACUCACAUCUUUCCUUGGUUUUACGUCCAAGAACGGCUUAAACGUCCCCUAUGGGUCGGGGAUAGGCUUCUCAUCCAGUUUUCUUAAAAACUAGCAAAUAGGGUCUUUUUUAGUCAGAUUCCCAAGACUAAGUCGAGCAUGUUCUUUAUGGAAUUGUGGCAAUAAAUCAUGAAUUGCACGAUGCACAUCUCCACUAGGGUGCGUCUCAAGAGUCAAUAGAAGAUUAUCUAAAGACCCCUUACUCAGGCCAUCCUUAAUGAAUUGUAUUUUAUCUUCACGGUUUACAGAUAUCAUUCCUAAAGAAUAACAUGUGGCAUAAAAAGUCCAUCUAGCACAUCUGUGACAGACUUUCAGUCGUUUUGCACGGCGUUUCUUUGCAAAAGUGCUUUUACCUGUUCCAGGCAUGUAUGAAAUGAAAGAAUUGGAAUACUCACCUGAUAAUCGGACCUUUGCUUCAAUUAGCCAACAAAUAUCUUCAAGAAUUUCAUGGUUUAUUAACAACCUCAAUCUUUCACACCUAGCACAAUAAAUUUUUGUAAUCGCAUUCUGAGGUAGAGCGGGAAAAUAUUUUUUCAAUUUUUCAAGACUGGUGUCCAUUUUCAAAUGAGAAUUGGAGGAGAGAUUCAAAGAAAGAAGAAAGAGCAAAGAAUUGCACAAAUAUAUACAUAGAUGUCAGUUAUCAUGGGAAACUGAAAGAACCGACUUAAGAGUCAUGGAGUACCGUUAUCCGCCAUUUGACCGGGGUGAGAGACUAGCAAAACAAAAGUCACACAAAAACAAUGUGAGAAAAAGAAUCAAUCUUUAUAUACAGGAUCACCCAAUUCAAUAGAGUCAUUUUCAACUGAAAAAUUAUCAAAAUAAACUUUCAAACAAUGACCAUUUACCUUGAAAACAUUAUCAUUCUUUGGAUUUUCGAUAUCACAUGCCCCAUAUGGAUACACAUGUUUCACAAUAAAAGGACCACUACAUCUUGAUCUUAGUUUUCCAGGAAAUAAAUGGAGUCGAGAAUUAUAAAGCAAGACUUUUUGACCAACAUUGAAUGUUUUUCUCAGUACUUUUUUGUCAUGAAACUCUUUGAUUCUUGCUUUAUAAAUUCUUGAAUUGUCAUAUGCAUCAUUUCUUAUUUUCUCAAGCUCAUUUAUUUGCAAUUUUCGCAGCUGACUAGCAUCAUCAAGGUUUGAAUUGAAAGCUUUAAUAUCCCAAUAAGCUUUAUGUUCAAUUUCCACAGGCAAGUGACAAGGUUUUCCAUAGACUAGUAUAUAGGGCGACAUAACUAAUGAUGUUUUAUAAGCAGUUCGAUAAGCCCAAAGUGCAUCAUUAAGUCUUAAAGACUAGUCUUUCCGAUUAGGGUUCACUGUUUUCUCCAAGAUCUGUUUGAUCUCCCUAUUAGCAAGUUCUACCUGUCCACUCGUUUGAGGGUGAUAAGGGGUGGCAACUUUGUGUGUGAUUCCAUAUUUCUUCAUUAAAGACUCAAAUGGCUUGUUGCAGAAAUGUGUUCCACCAUCACUUAUCAUGGCUCGAGGGAUUCCAAAUCGACUUAAAAUGUUUUCUUUCAAAAACUUUAUCACUGUUUUGUGAUCAUUGUUUCGACUUGGAAUUGCCUCUAUCCAUUUUGAAACAUAAUCUACUGCGACCAAUAUGUACAAGAAACCAAAUAAUGGAGGAAAUUGACCCAUAAAAUCUAUACCCCAACAGUCAAAGAUCUCAAUGACAAGAAUAGGAUUUAAAGGCAUCAUGUGACAUUUUGAAAUAGAUCCCAACUUUUGACAAUUUUCACAAGUCUUGCAGAAUGAAGGAGUAUGCAUGAAAAUUUUAAGGUUUAAUUGGUUUAGGGAUUGACUUUGAGAAUAUGUCAUGUUGACUUUAUAGUGUUAUACCAAUGCAAGCUUUUGAGCCUUCAACAUUAUAUUCUUUGAGUGUGUAUUUUUUUUCAAUGAUAUGUAUCUCUAGAACUUGCUUCAUAUCUUAUUGAGAUUAUAUUCCAUUACAAAUAUACAUGGAGAUGAUAAAGGCAUUAGGAAUUUUAACCCCUCGAGCCAAAAAGCCAACCUAAAGCAUAUUAUCCUUAGUGAGCCCGUUUUGAGCUUGUUUAUCUUUUCUUUGCUUUAUCCAUGUAUAAGCCUUAACUUUAUAUAUGUUUUUCUUUUCCCCUGGCCAAGGAUUAGUAGAGCAUAUACUUGUAAUAUCUCAUGGAAUUAUGGUUGGAAAUUAUAUGAAAAGAAAGAAGUGAUGCUUGAUGAAAAGAUGGGCAAAGUUGACAAAAGAAAAAAAAAAGAGAAGAAUUAAAAAAAAAAACAAAUUCCUUUAUGUUCUUGAGGUUUUAUGUUGAAAGAGCUUGAAAUCAAAAGGAGUUAAACAUUGGUGCUUAAAGAUGAAAAAUUUAUGUGCUUUAAUGAAAUUAUCUUGUUUGAAAUAUUAUUUUUCAAAAUGCUCUACUUUAUUUGGUUUGAACCUUUCCUUUUACUUUCUUUUACCUCACCUUAACCUUAGCCCCAUUACAACCGGAAAAUAAGACCUUUUGAUUCAUGUAGUACUUGUAAUAAGUUGCUAAUGGAGAUGAGAUUGAAAAGCAAGCUUAUGAUAGAACAUACUCUUUGAUUGAACUUGAGAGAUUUAAACACAUAAACCCUAAACACAUGAGUGUUAGAGUGUAUAUCAAUGAGAGGACCUAUCACUUUGGCAUGGCAUAGAUUUCAUUUAAAUCCCGACGAUUGAUUAAGUUUUGAAGUUUGCAUGUAAAUAAAUUCAUGAGAAUUAUACUAUUUAUCCUUCAUGAUUGUAUUCUUGUUUAUAAUGCUUGUACUCUUGGACAUUGAUGGGAGAUUAAGAGAUUGAUCAUAGUUAUUUUCAAUUUAAUUUUAUUUAUCCUUUCUCGAGGACAAGCAAAAGCUAAGUGUGGGGGUAUUUGAUGUAACCAUAUUAUUCGAUAGUUUCACCCGCAUUUAACUAGUGUUUUGCGUAUGUUAUUUAUAUAAAAUGCCUUGAUAUUCUUUUUUUUAUGUUUUGAACGCAUUUUUGGAUGAAAGAUGCAAAACGGAGUAAAUUGGAGGUAAUUGGCAGAUUUGACGUUCAGUCGAUAUUUUGUGCAGAGAGUGAGUUCCAGAGAUUGAAAUGAAGUGAUUCCAGUGGCAUUAAAAAGCUAACAUCCAUACCUUUCUAGAAAUAUAAUGCAAGAAAAAUAAAAAGAGAAAGAUCAUGGAAAUCACAUCCUUCAAAGUCAAAUCACGCAGUCUGCCAAUGUUGACCUUUGCCCAUUCAAAAUUCAAUAUCUGGUGCUUCAGAAGUCCAAUUUAUGCAAACUCAAUUGUGUUGGAUUCCUUACUCAAAUAAAUAUAAACGCUCCAAAUUUCAGCCAAAAACGAUGUCAUAUGAGGGAGAUAUGAUUUUUCAAAGAUGACAGCUGAAUUCUGCCAGCAAGCAGGUUGCGUGAAGAAACGAAUCCAAAUUUCAUCCAGAAGCAUCCAAACCGACAUACAAGUGUUUCCAGCAAUUUAGCUCCUCUAGUAAAUAUUCUAGAAGGUCAAGGAAGGUAGCCACCAACCUCAAGGCAGCAGCCAGCCACUAGCAGCCAGCCGCCUUCACACUACCACCAUCUAUUGAUGUUCACACUUGAACUUUGAUUUUCUUACUUACAAUUUGUGUAUAAAUAGAGGGAGAGUGGAAGGAGGUGGAAGCAAGAAGAAGGGAGGAAACACAAACUCUCCUCUCUACAAAUCAGAAAUUAUGUAUUCUUUCACCUUUAGGAGUAGUUAUUCAAUACAUAUGCAAGGCUAAGCUCGUUUUCUUAGUUGCAAGGAUACAACAAACCUUCGGAUUUCAAGAACCGUGAGAUUUAUUCUUCCUUUUAUUUUCAGUUUAUGUUAUGAAUGAGUAUGAUUGUUUUCCUAUGCAUAUUUCCUAUGAUUGUUUAUCUUAAUUGCUAGAGCGGACUCUAAGUUAUUAUUGUGAACAAUCUAUUGCUAAGUUUGAUAUCAAAACCGGAGUUGUGGUAUAUAAACUUGUGAAGCAACUAAGCUUGAUAAUUGUAGCGGAACUACAUUAUUAAACUUAGGGAGAACAUUCGAUCAAAGCAACACAAACUGACAACUUGGUUGUUAAGAUUAAUGAAUUUAUCUGGAUCUUAAGGCUGCCAUUGGAUUAAAUCAUUAGUGCGGACACUGUGAUUGUUUGUUGGUUAGGGCUAGUUAUACGGCGGAUCCGUUAAUUAACCAAUAUUAAGAAAAGAUAAAAUUCAUAAUAUAAACUGGAGUUUCGUUUCAAGGAUCGGUUCUAAUUUCCGUUGGUGGUGUGUGCUUGCAACCAAGGUUUGUUUUCUUGAUAUAUUUUAGUUUCAAUUGAUUUUGUUUGCUAGUUUAAUUUCUGUCAUAGUUUAAAUCAUUGCAAAUCAAACCCCCCCAAUUACAUAACGUAUAGCAUAAAAAUCUGAACUAAACCUUCCUUGUGGGAUCGACCCCUUGCUUUCUCUAUACUAUCUUGUGUGUUGUGUUUUAAGCUAGGGUAAUUAAUUUGUGCGACCGCGACAUUGCAACACAGACAUUGUGGAGACCUGUAGUUCCUCUCCAAUUGUUUUUCCAAUGAUGUCCUCUUUUGCUAAAGCUUUGAGGAUAACCCCCAAAACUUGACUGCCUCCUAAGAAUGCAGUUGUUGACACACUCCCCAUUAACCUAAGGCUGCCUCCCCCAUAUACUAAAUGAAUCUUUCUCUCAGCUAGUAUCUGACAAAGAUGAUUUGCGGAUUCUAUAAACUCUUUUUUCUUUCCCAGGACUAGAUCCACAAAAAACUCAAAUAUUUUUUAUUUUAAGAGCUGAGGAUCCUGCCAUUUCAAGAACUGUCUAUACUUGUAGAAUGUAUGGGUUGAGUAGAAAUGAAGGGAAGAAGAAAAAGCAUUUAUAGAUGUGAAAAAGGAAAUGCAAUCAUAUCACCUAUAUGGAAGCUAGCUGGAGUCUCUCUCUCUUUCUUCUCUUUUUUUUCUUUGAAAAAAAAAUGUAUAUACAGGUAGUUGUGAUUGUGGCUCACAUAUUCCCUUGGUUUUACAUCCAAGAACGGCUUAAACGCCCUCUAUGGGUCGAGGAUAGGCUUCCCAUCCAGUUUUCUUAAAAACUAGCAAAAAGAGUCUUGUUUUUUUUUUUAGUCAGAUUCCCAAGACUAUGAUGAGCAUGUUCUUUAUAAAAAUGGGGCCAUAAAUCAUGAACUGCACGAUGCACAUCUCCACUAUGAUGAGACUUAAGAGUCAACAUAAGAUUAUCUAAAGACUCUCUAUGUUUUGAAAUAAAUCCCACCUUUUGAUAAUUUUCACAGGUUUUGCAGAAUGCAUAUGAGUGCUUGAACAUGGUGGGCCAGUAAAAUCCACUUUGUAAGAUUUUUGCAGUCAUCUUUUUUGACGAGAAAUGAUCCCCACGUGCCUUAGAGUGACAAAAUUUAAUGACACUACUUACCUCAUUGUCGGGAAUGCAUCUUUGAAAUAUUUGAUCAGGACAAUAUUUGAAUAAGUAAGGGUCAUCCCAAUAAAGGUUUUGCACGUUGCUCAAAAACUUUCUUUUAUCUUGGUUAUCCAACUGAACUGGCAAAAAUCCUGAAGCAAGAAAAUUGUUAUUUUUAGCAAACCAAGGCAUUGAACUAAGAGAAAGUAAAGAUUCAUCAAGAAAGUAAUCAUCGAUUGGUGUGAUGUCGGAUGUCGAAUCUAUUGUCAAUUUUGGCAAAUGAUUCGUGACAACAUUUUCGGUGCCUUUUUCAUCUUCGAUUGCUUCCUGUUUGGUCAUGGCAUGAGGAAAUGGAAGUGCGGGCAGGGAAUCAGCCUUUUCUUUACAAUGUUCGUAUUUAACCCCUUCCUUACCACUGCGAAGAGUGAUGUCUGAUUUAACUUGAUCCAUGUGUUGACUUCUGGAACUACUUGCAUUUACAUUGUAUUUCUCCUUUGGAUUUUGCUGUGGUUGAGAUGGAAACGUACCGUUCUCUUGAAAAUAGAGAGCAGAUGUUAACUUUGCAAGAGUAUCUUUAAAACCUGUCAUGCUUUGAUCAAGUUGAGUGUUGAUUAUCUCUUGCUUUUCAAUGAAUGAAUGCAAUGUUUCCUCAAGAUUUCUUGUAGAAGGUGGUGCAUAAGGAGGUGCAUAUCCAUGAAAAUUUUGGAAAUUAUGGUGUGCUUGAAACGAUGGCUUUGAAGUUUGUGCAUUAUUGUUAUCACUCUUCCAACUGAAAUUUGGGUGAUUUCUCCAACCAGGAUUGUAUGUUUGCGAGUAUGGGUUAUGAUUGGGCCUUUGGAAACUGUUUAAAGCAUAGCUUGUUCAUGGAGGCAUUCCUUGAAAGAAGGCAAAGUUGGACAUCAUUGGUUGCAUGUUCAUUUGUUUCACAGAUUUGACACACAAUGUCUUGAACAGAUUUUAAUUGACCACUCUUUUUCAAUUCUAGUGCCUCGACUUUUCUAGCUAAAGAUGUAAACUUGGCUUGGAGGUCAUGAUCUUCCCUAAGGUUAUACAUACCUCCACUAGAUGUAUGAGGUUGGGUUUUACUUGGUGCCUCAUAAGUGCCCUUAGUGUCCCAAUUUUGCGCAUUUUCAGCUAGCAAGUCUAGGUACUCCAUUGCUUCAUUAGGGUCUUUAUCUUCAAAAGUUCCAUUGCACAUCAAUUCAACCAUUUGCCUAUCUUUAGGUGUUAAUCCUUCAUAAAAUUGUGAAACCAAUCUCCAUGUUUCAAAACCAUGAUGAGGGCAAGUAUUAAGCAAGUCUCGAUACCUAUCCCAACAUUGGUAAAAUGUUUCUCCUGGUUUUUGAGUGAAAGUGGUGAUUUGUCUUUUGAAAGAGUUGGUUCUGUGAGAUGGAAAAAACUUCUUUAAAAAUUGUUGUUGCAUUUCAUCCCAAGCACGAAUGGAUCCUGACCUAAGAUUUUGUAGCCAUGUUUUAGCUUUAUCUUUUAAUGAAAAAGGAAAAAGCUUUAAUCUAAUGGUAUUCAUGCUACAAUUUAAGUCAUUAUAGGUGUUACAAACUUCUUCAAAUUCUCUCAAAUGCAAGUAUGGAUUUUCUAGAUCUAAGCCAUGAAAAGAAGGUAAAAGUUGAAUAAUGUCUGGCUUAAAAUUAAAAUGAGAUGCAUCAGGAGGAAAACUAUGCAUGAUGCGCACUUGUUCUUGUGGAUUCAUGUGGUCUCUAAGUGUCUAACCCAUUAUUCUCAUUAUAAAGGAUUGUUAUCUUCUUCGGCCAUUUUUCUGAAAAUGAUGAGGAUACCCUACAAAGUCUACCACUUAAUGUACGUGACCAAACACUCAUGCACGUGUAGAAAGAGAAAUAAAAGGAAGAAGAAAAGAAAAACAAAAAGAAACAAAAACAAAGAAACAAAGUAGAAAAAAAAAAUACUAUAAUUUGUACAAGAAUUUACCUCCCCGGCAACGGCGCCAAAAACUUGACACGAUCAAAAGAUUGAUGUCUUCUCCCAAGUGCAGGAGUGUCGAAGUAAUAAAUAACCCGGCAAGACCGGGGUCGAACCACAGAGAAGUUAAUUGUAUAAAUUAUAAAUAACAAGACAACAACAACAACAACAACAACAAUAAUAACAAUAACAACAACAACAACAAUAAUAACAAUAAAAAUAACAAUAACAAUAAUAAUAAUAAUAAUAAUAAUAAUAAUAAUACUCAGUACGUGGCGUUGUUAUACCUGAGAAUGAUCUAAAAGAUCGGGUCACAGGUUUCCAGCCUAUAUACUGAGUUUAUGAAAAGAUCAAAGAGAUAUAUUAUAUAAUAUAAACAGAUUUAUAAUAAAAAAAAACAAUAAUAAUAGAAUAGUAAUAUAAUAUAAAUAUAAUAAUAAAUAAUAAUAAUAAUAAUAAUAAUAAUAAUAAUAAUAAUAAUAAUAAUAUAGUAGUAUAGUAGUAGUAGUAAUAAUAAUAAUAAAUAAUAAAAAGAGGAGGGAAGAAAUUAAUGAGAACUUUGAGAUGGAAGAUUAAUGUAAGGAUUAAACAAUGAUAAAAACAAAUGUCAAGGUUAGAGGAUCCACCAAUGGUAUUUCAAACAAGUAUAGUAUAAACUCUUAUUACUCAAUUUGGAAACCACACACGAAGGAGGUUCCAUCGGAUGAUUUGUCAUUAAUAGCUCAUUAUAAAUUAUUAACAUGAUCAUAUUAAUUAUCUUAUUUACAUAACACCAAACUUUUAAAUAUUGUCAGGAAUUCAUGAUGUUAACUGAUGUUAACAACAAAUCAAGUACCUUUCAUAGCCCAGGUGUAGGUAAUACCAUACGGUUGGGCUAUGAGAGUGCCAAGCAUUUGUUGUACCAAGUAUUAUACAACACAAAUUAGAUUAACCAUUUAACAAGCAAGGUAUUAAGAAUUAGUAAGAUAAAAAGAUAAGACAUGUUAAUAUUAAACAUUAAGGUCCAUGUUGAGUUUACACAUACUUGUUCUUACACCAUUAGUGUAACCUUUUCACCUUGACAUAAUAAACUUAGCUAAACAUAAUGAAGAAGAGAAACAUAAAUAAACAAAACAAGAACAUAAAGAAAAUACAAGUUAACUAAGUAAAGGAAAGGAAAUGAAAAGCAUAAACAAGAUAUUAAUGAAAGCAAAACCUAAAAAUUACAAAAACAUAUAAAGAGAGAAAUAAAGAGCAUGAGCUUGAUCUGAACAACCAAGCCACCCAAAUACAUGGCAUAUUCCUCCUUUUAUAGGCCAAAAUUCGGAAUUAUUUUUUUUUUGAUCAAAUGUAAGUAUUGUAUAGAUCAAAAAAUUCAGAAUUAUUGAUUUGAUGACUAAUUGUUGAGUGGGUGGCCAACUUUUCACUUGGUGAAAAUCCUUAGCUUCUUGUCUGAAUAAAACAAAAAAUGCUACCAUCCGAACUGGGUCCUCUGGUAAACAUAAAGUUCUAGGAAAUUGACUCAGCUUUCCAGGAAAAAAAAAUCGAGGUCAUUUGGACUUCUAGAACUCCAGAUAUGGGCCAAACACUGAAUAGUAUUCGGGUUGUAAGACAAAUUCAGACUUCUCCGUUGUUGCUAUGAUUUGGACUUGAAAACGGCCUUGUUAGAUUUUUAUGUUCACAUGAAAGUUGUAGGCCUAUGUCUCACCAAGUUUGUGUAAAUAUUUGAGGUCAUUUGGAUAUCUAGAACUCGAGAUAUGACCCAAACACCAAACAGUGUUCCAGUUUGGACUGCACCAACAUCUCUUUUCUAAGUUCCACCCUCUCUUUAUCUUCACAAAUUUCAGUAGUUGAAUUCAUCAAUCAAUCCUUUAAUUUAUGUAUAGGCCUGCAUUUAAGAUGAACAUUUACCAUAUAUUAGGGCAUUUUAUAGUAUUAGACUUUUUAUUAUAAAACAUGCUUUAGUUAAAGAGUCAUUGAUACUUUAAGUGCAAAAUGAUGAUAUAAAACCUUGAUAAAUAUGCACUUUUAAGUACUAAUCAGAGAGAGAAGGGAGAACACAGAAGAGAGAAAGAAACAGGGGAGAAGCAAAAAGAAGAAAACGCAGCCUCUACCACCCUCCGAUCCCCAGCAGCACCGCCGACCACCGCUCCAGUUGGAAGCUCCGCCGCAUCAGCUGCUGCCAGCUUCACCACCGCUCCAGGUAACUUUCUCUGUUUCCCUAUCCCUGUCGUUCUUCGCUUCAUUUGCAUGCAAAACAUUUAUGUUCUGUAGCAAAUGAAGCUAAUUAAUUCACGGGUUACUGUGUGAACAGUAACCCCGGUUACUGUGCACAUGCACAGUAACUCGCUAAUUAAUUCACUGGUUACUGUGUGCACAGUAACAGGGUUACUGUGCACACUGUAACCGGUUCGGGCCCCAAUUUAUUUUGGGCUAAUUUUGGCCCAAUUUCAUUUUGGGCCGGGUCCGGCCCAUUAAAAAAUUAUUAUUAACAUUUGUUUUUUUUCAGAAUUUUACAAUUUCCCAGCACAUUUUCUUUUACCCAUUUUUGUUAAUAUCGGUCUGUAUUUUAUAUCGUAAAAAUACAAAUCCUGUAUUAAAAUACUCGGUUUUCGGCAAAAACUUCAAAAAAUACAAAAAACAAUUGAAAAAAAAAGAGAAAAAAUGUUUUUGUGCAUACGGCCAAAUGUCUCAAAGCUAAAAAAUCAUAUUGUAUUUUUCAUACAAAAAAAAAAAACAAUGUUUUAGCAUGCAUUUUGGCUUUAAUAACCAGUUUAUUAAAGUCAAGAGAAUAUUGGCCAAAAUUUCAAAAACAACAAAAAAUUUAUUUUGUUUGUCUCUUAGUAUCCGGGGUAUGACAUUACACAUAAUGCAUAUUCCGGAUAUUUAAUUCUUUUUUCGGACAAUAGAACCUGGGGUAUGACAUUACAUGUAAUGCGUAUUCCGAACAAUAAGAAACCACAACACGAUCUCAGAUUUUAUCAGACAUUAAAACAAUGUAGCCUACCUUAGGUAGGGCGUAGUUGGGGUGCUAAUACCUUCCCUUUACGCAACCAGUCUUCGUACCCGAUCUCUAAAGACUAGUUAGGGUUCCUAGUAACCAGAAUACUAGGUGGCGACUCCCAUUCAAAUUUUUCACUGAUAGGAGACAAGAAUUCCUUGUCUCUACAUCUUUGCCAGGAAUAAAUCCAUAUUCAACAUUUGUUUUCCUGGAGGGUGGACGAUCGCCGCACAUGUGCGACAAGUAAUAGGAGAAUGGGAGAAACGGUGGUUGGGUCAACUUCUAGUGCUAGCAACGUGCAUGAAGCGGAAAAUGACAACACUAAUCCUUACAGAAACAUGGUUAUGGAUGCAAUGAGAAUGAAUCAAGGUAAUGUCAGUCAAUGUCCAAUCGUAGAAGAAGAACCUAAUGCAGAGGCAGCUAGGUUUUUUGAUUUGUUGAAAGAUUCUAAUGAACCAUUAUGGGAUGGCUGCACAAACCACAGUAAAUUGUCGGUCGUGGCACAAGUGUUCACCAUCAAGUCAGAUCACGGGCUGAGUGAGGUCGGGUAUGACAAAAUUAUUGAUUGGGCAAGAAGCAUUUUACCUGAAGGGAACAGGCUCAAGAGAUCUUCUAUGCUGCGAAGUCCAUGAUGAAACCCCUCGGUUUAGGAUACCAGAAAAUUGACAUGUGCCCUAACUUCUGCAUGUUAUACUACCUUGAAAAUGCUGAGAUGACCGAGUGCAUGACAUGCGGGCAUUCCGUUACAAACCCAGAACUGGCAGGGGAAGACUCUAGUGGCGUAUAAAAAACUUAGAUAUUUCCCGAUCACACCUAGACUGCAGAGGUUAUUCAUGUCAUGAAGGACUGCUGAGCACAUGACAUGGCACCAAACACAUGAUGCAGUUGAUGGUGUGAUGGUGCAUCCUUUUGACGGCGAAGCGUGGAAACGUUUUAACAGUGUGCAUCCUGACUUUUCAGCUGAAUCAAGGAAUAUCUGUCUUAGGUUGUGUAUAGACGGAUUCAACCCAUUUGGGUCAUUUGUUGCUCCCUAUUCUUGUUGGCCGAUCAUACUCAUAGUUUAUAUCUUGCCACCGGGAAUGUGUAUGAGGCCGGAGUUCAUGUUUCUAUCUACUAUCAUACCCAGUCCAAGCAGCCCGGGGCGGAAUAUAGAUGUUUGUCUUCGAUCGUUGAUAGAUGAGCUGGAGCAGUUGUGGUCCUCUAGAGCUCUGACUUAUGAUAUAUCGAGGAAACAAAAUUUCCUUAUGAGGGCGGCUUUGAUGUGGACUAUCAAUGAUUUUCCAGCUUAUGGAAUGCUUUCUUGUUGGAGCACGCAUGGAAAACUCGCAUGUUCAUACUGCAUGGAAAACAACAAGGCAUUCACGCUAGCAAACGAAGGUAAAGCUUCUUUUUUUGACUGUCACCGUCGCUUCUUGCCACUUAAUCACAAGUUCAGAAAGAACAGAAAAGAUUUCUUUGUUGGCAGAGUUGAAAAAGAUGUUGCAUCCCCCGUCUUUCUGGUGAAGAAUUGCAUCAUGUUGUAUCAGAGUACGGUGACAUUGUGUUUGGCCUUCAAUCAGGUAAGCAAAAGUUUCCUAGUUUUGGUUUGACCCAUAAUUGGGUAAAGCGAAGUAUCUUUUAGGAGCUUCCUUAUUGGAAGACCAAUCUUCUCCGCCAUAACCUUGACGUCAUGCACAUCGAAAAGAACGUGUUUGAGAAUAUUUUCAACACCGUCAUGGAUGUGAAGGGGAAGACAAAGGACAACAUCAAGUCUAGAUUGGAUAUAGCUUUAUACUGUAACCGUAAAAAUAUGGAGUUGGUUUAUGAGAGUCACGGGUCAAAACCAAGGGCAAGCUUCGUGUUAGAGAAAAACGCACAACUGCUAGUCUACAAAUGGCUUAAGAGUCUGCGUUUUCCGGAUGGACAUGCAUCGAACAUAUCAAGGCUUGUUAACAUAGAGGACUGCAGAUUGUAUGGAAUGAAGAGUCAUGACUGCCACGUGUUUAUGCAAACACUCAUCCCAUUAGCUUUUCGUGAUUUGUUGCCAAAGGGAAUAUGGGAUGCACUGACGGAGAUCAGUCAUUUCUUCAGAGAUAUAUGCUCCAGCAAGUUGAAUGUUGAGCACAUUGAGAGGCUUCAAACGAAUAUCAUCGAGACACUAUGCAAACUUGAGAUGAUAUUCCCUCCUUCAUUUUUUGACUCAAUGGAGCAUCUCCCUAUACAUCUACCGUUCGAGGCAAAAGCUGGAGGACCGGUCCAGUAUAGAUGGAUGUACCCAUUCGAACGGUGAGAUAUUACAGUUGCAAUGGAAUUCAUAUCUUAAAAUUUUCUAUGUUUUUCUUAAUUGAAAUACUUGAAUUGUAAUUCAAUGCAGGUACUUGUUUAAUCUCAAAAAAAAGGUUAAGAACAAGGCGCAUGUUGAGGCUUCGAUAUGUGAGGCCUAUAUUGUUGAAGAGAUAUCAACAUUUAUCUCGUACUAUUUCGAACCUCAUAUGAGAACAAGAAUCAAUCGCGUUCCACGACAUGACGAUGGCGGUGAAGUGCCUUCUAGUGGGAACUUGUCAAUAUUCUCCAAUACUGGACGACCCACACCUAAAAAUGCCGUAAGAGGAAGAUAUUUGUCGAAAAUAGAAUUCAAACAAGCACACAACUAUGUUAUAUUUAACUGUGAUGAGCUGAGACCAUUUGUUCAGUAAGUUUAUAUAUGUAUAAUACUAAUUAAACUUUGUCAGUCAAAUAUUGGUAAUUAUAUAUUGUGAAAUCAUACACUCAUUAUCACUUGUAGGCAACAUCGACAAUAUUUGCUCUCCAAUAACUCGCAACUGACCGACUCCCAGAUCUUUCAAUACAAGAUGAACAAUUUGCCACAUGGUUCAGAACACAUGUAAGCACUAUCACAAACUCAUUCUAACUUGCAAAAUUAUUGUACGUAUGCAUGUCAUUACGAGAUUCUUGUUCAUUUACCGCUUAUUGACGUACAUUACAUGUAUCAAGGUUUAUCAAACGGGAAGAAGUGUGUCUAAGUCAUUGUCAAUGGAUAUGUUUUCCAUACUGAAGAAUACGAGUAAGGAAGAAAGACAUACAACUGCGGUGUUUGUGUUAAAGGAUUCACAAGUAGUGAGUUAGAAGUUGACUACUAUGGUAGAUUAGAAGAGGUUGUCGAACUACAAUAUCAUAGCGAGCAGAAUACAGUGUUUUUAUUCAAAUGCUAUUCGUAUGACACGACGAACAGAGGAAUCAGAGUUGAUACGCACCAUGUUCUGGUCGAAAUCAACUCAAAAGCUAGACUUCGCAACAUAAACGAUGUCUUUGUUUUCACAAAGCAAUGUCAACAAGUUUAUUACAUAUACACCCCUUCAUUUAGAAAGGAUCGAUCAAGAGUUGAUUGGUUGUUCGUUUUAAAAACGAAACCACGGGGUCGUGUCGAGGUUGUUCAGGAUGAGAACGAAGAAACAAGUGUGCGGGAUGAAGUAUUUCAAGUUAGUGAGUUGGUUGAACCAUAUCGAGUUGCUCCUUCGAUUGAAUUGGAAGAAAAUUCAGAUUUUCGUGUUCCGAUGAUAGUCUUGUUGAUGUGUGACGUAGAGGAGUUGAACGUUGUUUUGAGCUCUAACGGACAAGCAAAUGUCGAUGAAGAAGAUGAUAUCCAUAUUGAAGAUUGCGAUGAAGGUGAUGGCUAUUCAAUUGAUGACGAAGAAGAAGAAGAUAAUUCUGACUAAUUUUGUGUAAAACCCUUUUCUUAAUGUAAUUUACAUUAUGGAUGAUAUAUUUUGAAACAUGAAAUAUAUAUUUAUUGUUUAAGCAUUGUUGCUAUUCUUUUGUGCGAUGGACAGUUUGUCAUUGAAUUUUUUGCAGGAAGGUAAACAGAAAAUACAAACACAACACCUAAUGUACAUUGAACAAUCAUCGACGUCCAUACCGACGGAAAGUAGUCCGUCGGCAUCUCACAGAGAGUUCAAAAAUAAUUACACCGAAAUACCACAAUCACCGACGUCCAUACCAACGGAAAGUAGUCCGUCGACAACUCACAGAGAGUUCGAAAAUAAUUACACCGAAAUGCCACAAUCACCGACGUUCAUACCGACAGAAAGUAGUCCGUCGGCAUCUCACAGAGAAUUCGAAAAUAAUUACACCGAAAUGCCACCAUCACCGACGUCCAUACUGACGAAAAGUAGUCCGUCAGCAUCUCACAGAGAGUUCGAAAAUAAUUACACCGAAAUGCCACCAUCACCAACAUCCAUACCGACGAAUUUAUCGACGUUCAUACCAAUAUAAUUAAUCCGUCGGUAAGUUGUCGGUGGCAAAUUUUACCGAUAAAAAUACCGACGGAAUACGCGAAUUCCAAAGGGUGUGAAUUGAGUGUAGCUCUGACGUGUCGUAUUACCGACGGAAUCACCGACGGACCGCGAAAAAUUUGGAGGGCAAUUGAAAAAUUCGGUGUGAAAUUUAAAAAUUACCGACAGAUUGUUGACCUUUUACCGACGGAUUUAAAAAAUUAAUAAUAUUUUUUUAAUAUCCAUCGGUAAAUCUGCCAUAUAACCUAUAACUUCCAACGCCCGCAGCUUCCUCUCAUUUUUUCUUCUCCUCCAUUUUUCUUCUCCUCCGCUGCCCUAUAAUUUUUAGUUUUUUGCUCUCAAUCCUUCAAGGCUUUCACCUUGAAUCUCUUGCAAGAUUUGAAUAAAGGUAUGUGGUUUUUUCUAUUUUAUUUUAUUUUCUUUUAUUUUAGUUGUAGUUGUUUUUAUUUUUGUUAUUUUGUUGUUUUGGUGUAUUUUUUGUAAUGUAGAUAAAGUUUUGAAUUGGACAUAUUAUUAAGGUAUGUAUAUUUCGUUCCUUUUCUUGAUGUAGGUUUUUUUUUUGAAUUUUUUUAACAUUUUUUAUUGUUGUGUUGUUAUAAUUGGUAUUAGUUAAUUUAUUGGAUAUUUGUUGUUAAAGUUGAAUUUAACUUAGAAUUAGUAAUUGACUAUAUUAGAAUAAUUAGUAAUUUUACUCUAUUAUUGCAUGAUUUGUAUUUAAUUAUUUCCAUUGAUUUUAAUUGUUAGUCUAUAUAUUUUUUUUAAUUUAUUGAAUAUAAUUUAUUGUUGUAUUGCCAUAUAUAAUUAUUGAUUAAUUUGUUGAAUUAAUAUUGUUAAUGUUAAAUUUACCUUAGAAUUAAUAAUUGCAUUUAUUAAAAUAAUUACACCGAAGUAUGUAAACUAACUAAAAUAUGUCCUCUCGAAUCCAACACUCUUAUUCUAAAUGUAAGGAUUGGGCCUAGUUGUCAGGUUUAAAUCCAAAAUCAUUGUCUUAGAUUUUGCCGGUCCUUUUACCAUAAAUGUAUGUAUAUGUUUAGACAAAGACUUAGUAUAUAAGCAUCAUGAGUAUAUUUUGUCAUAAAAAUACAAACAUAAAAAUACAAUCAUGAAACAACUUAUAUCGAAGUAAGAUGCCUUAAAAUGAAUUUCAUCUUUCACCUAGCAUAAUCAAUUAUUUACUUAAUAAUCUCUAAUACACUAAUUACGGCUUUAUAAUUAUUAUAAAAUUAUAUGGUGGUUCAUUUUUUUUCUUUUUAGUUUAUCGAGAUAUCUCCUACAACAAUUACUAAUAAUUUAGUAUUGUUAGUGACUUCAUUGUUGAAGGUACAUAAUAGGAACUAAAAAGUAUAGUAAUUAUAUAUAACACUUUCUAUUUCAAAGUUACAUCCUGUUAUUUAAGAAAAUAUGUAUUUUUACCAAAAAUAAUAAAAGAGUUGAAUUUAAAUCACUUGCUUACACUGUGUAAAUGAACUUUGCAAGCACUCUUAAUUUUUUCUUUAAUUUUUUUUAAAUUUUAUUUUUUAAUAUUUGGUUAAUUUUAAAAUAUAUUCUUGAAAAAUCAAACACUAACCAAAUACUAAAAUAUUUAUUUAAGACCGCGAAAACCUCAUAAAAUAUAAACCAAAAUAAAGUUAUUAAAUCCAAUAAAAUUAAUAAUUAGGAUUGUGGGUUUGACAGGUUAAGUUGUGAAGCCCAGAUAAAUCCAUUAUGUUCUCAUCUUAAUAUUACAAAAAAAAAUAUAUUACAUUUGAACUCACCAAGUCAACUGGGUCAUAUUUAGGUAAUUCACACAUGAUUUAAUUUGAAAAUCAGGUAAGGAGGUUUGAAGAUUGACUCCAUACGUCAGAUUUAAUAAUAAUACCAAAAAGUUUCUUAUAAGAUGGAUAUUUUUUCAUGUAUAAUUUUUUUUUUAUUUAAACAACAACGUAGUGCAAUCUAGUAAACUAGUAAAGUACUAUGAAGUUUGGAGCAAAAAAAUUUAAAAUAAAAUCCUUCAAACAUAUGUUUUUUUAUAAUAAUUUUAUUAUUAUUGUUGUUGUUAUAUUUUUAAAGGAAUAUAUUAGUCAUAAUUAAAAAAAAGUAUUGAAGUAGAAAUAACACCAUUCUAUUAAAUUAGUCAAAGUAGUGGGUAUUUCUUUGUCAAGCAACCAUCAUCCGAACCGAUUUCAUUUGUUGUCACAUAAGAAUCAAGUGGAAGAACUCGUUGAUUUCUUGACUUUAUGGUAAUGAAAGAUAAUCACUAAGAAAAGUCGUCGCAAAUAUCACUCGUUUCAGCCGACCAAGGAAGGAUCCUCAAAGUUUUCAUGAUAUGAAAUAACCAUGAUUUUCCACCAACUAAUUAACUAAUACUUAAUAAUGUUGCAUGCCCACUCUCCCUCCUAAUUUCCUAUAUAUAUAGCCCAAGUUAUUAAAUUUAAAUUGGAUAAUAGAUUUAAAAAAAAAAACUUUUUAUUAAAAAAAUCAAAAUAGAUUUUUAUUUAAUUAAUUAAGUCACUCAUAUUCAAUUAAGUCUAGUGUAAGACAUCAGGUUUAAUAAUAUUAAGAUGGUAUUUGACACUUUAUAAUUGAACCGUGUUUUUUAAGAAUUUUGAUUUUUUAAAAUUAUAUUUUAUAUUGUUUUAAUAUAUUAAAAAUAAAAAUAAUUUUUUUAUAUAUUUUCAAAUAAAAAUAUCUUACCACCCUCCCUUGAACGAGAGCGACUCCGGAGACCGAAAAAAAGACGAAAUUGUGUCUUGGGAUUUGGUGGUGGGUGUCCACUAAUAAGACGUGUGAAGAGCGUCCAUGAAAAUGCAUUCAGCAUAACCAACACAAUAAUUCUGACUUGCUCCCUUGUGUGGACGAACAUACCUAAAAGGCUAAAAGCCCAAUGCUAAAGUUACGAAAGCGUGUGGACCUCUGUGGAUAAACAGGGAUGACGUGUUAUUUGCCUAUUGGUGUUGGACAUCUUGGAUCCCUAAACAACAAGGCAUUAAACUUUUGAAAAUACGGUUGUAUUCGAGUUUUCAAAAUAAUCAAUUUUUUUAUAUAUUUUAAAUUGUUUUGAUAUAUUAAUUUUAAAAAUAAUUUUUUAAAAAAUAAAAAAUAUUAUUUUAAUACAUUUUAAUAUGAAAAUACUCCUAAAUAAACUAAUACAUUUUCCUUGCUUCUUUUUAAACCAUACAUUCAUAUUAUAAUUCGAUUUUAAAUAGAUCAUUAACCAAAUUUAUAUCUACAUAUUUUAAAAAGUUGUACAUUUAACGUCUUGUUUGCUUUUAUAUUUCAAAAGUUAUUUUAAAAAAUAUUUUUUUUUUAUUUUAAAUUAAUAUUUUAUUGGUAUUUUUAGAUAUUUUGAUGUAUUGAUUUCAAAAUUAAUUUUAAAAAUAAAAAAAAAUUAUUUUAAUAUACUUUUAAGUGAAAAACAUUUUAAAAAACAACCAUAAUCAUAUUAUAAGACAUGCAAAAUAAAAAAGAUAAAAAAAAAAAAAAAUUAUGUCGUUAUCUUAAAGAAACCAUGCUAGAGAAACCCAUGAGUCUUCAUGUCAUCUUCAAUGACAUCAGCUAGAAUGAAACAUCGAGGAAAGGAGGAGAAGGCUUCCAAACGUAUUUUCCUCUUAAAGCUAUUUUAAAGCUCUGAAUGGGAUAAUUGCAAAUCAAACACUGUAUUAUUGGUGCCUGGGGCUGAGUGAAAGCGUGUAAACAACAGGAAAAAGACAUGGAAAAACAAAUCCUCUCCAGCACAGUACCAUCAAGGAAAAACACACACAGUGCUGUGAAAAUCCUUCAUAAAUCUUCCUUCUUCUGCCUGCGCCGUGAAAUGGACAUGAUCUUAAUCCGGUUUAUGGUGUUUGUAAUAAAUUAUUAAUAAAUUGUAAUCUGUUAUCUUUAAAAAACAAUUAUUAAUAAAUUUCAUCUAUUAGACUUCAAUGGAAAAUGUCAUUUUGAAGAGCCAAAUGAAGAAAAUAGCUUUUUGAAUAGUGUAAAUAUAGCUUUUUGUAUUAAAUGCAUUCCAAUGGUAAAAAGCUAUUUAGAAAAGCCAUUUAUAUUUUAAUAUAUUUCAUGUUAAAUUAAUUUUAAUAUAAUUAUAUAAAUAAUUUAGAUAUUUUAUAUAUAAUAUAAUUAUGAUGUUAUUAAUUAUAUAAUUAAUAUGAGUAAUUUAUAAAAGUAAUAUAAAAUUAAUAAUAAAUAAAAGUUAAAAAAUAUAAUUAAAAUUAAAUUUAAAAUUUAUUUAUAUGAAUAUUUUUAAUUUUAAGUUUUAUAUGUUAUUGUUAAAAAUUUAAUUUUUUAAAAGUCAAAUUCAAACUUAUAAAAGUAUUACGAAUUGAUAUCAAUUUCAUAACAAGAAGCUCACAUUUAAUGUUUAGCAAUUUUGUAGUUUUAUACAUGCGAAUUAAUAAUAAGCAUUGCCUUCUACUUGUUCUAACAUAACAAUUUGACCAUUUUUGAAAAAAAGAGAAUCGAUAUACUGGUUUAAUUGUAUUUCAAGAAGACAAAAUAAUUGACCUCAAAUUAAAACAGACAAUCAAAAAUAAAUUUUAAAUAUGCAACUCUAUCUUUUUAUCAAUAUCAACUACCAUUAUUAAUUUCUCUCAAUUUUAUCAAAGAUAACAACAUAAAUAAAAAUUGUCAUACUUAACCCAUAUUAAAAACAUAAAAUAAUAAAGAAAUAAAACUCAUCACAAAUAUUAAAUUAACAAAAAAAAUUCUAAAAAAUCAAGAGAUAUUAAAACGAAAAUAGAAAAAGCUUUUAAACAAGCAUACCUUUUAAUUUCAGCUAAUUAACACAACCGAUGUUAAUAAUUAACCGGAAAAUAAUCGAUUCUUGUUUUUUAAAAUUUAAGAGAAGGGUGAGGCACAAUACAAAAAUUUAAAACUACAAGUUUUUUUUUCAUGUAUUUAUAGAUAAAAUUUUCUAUGUUUAAAAAAAAAAAAAACUGUUGAUAGCCGUUGGUCAUUUUGGCCAUUUCUACAGUUAAAUGUAGAAAUGGCUCUUGACAAAGCAAAAAGCUAUUUUGACUAUUGCUUUGCCUCUGCCGUUGGAAUGUCUAUAAUAAAAAAAAUAAAAGGCAUCUGUACUAUGCCUCUUCAUUUGCCAGCUGCUGCCCUUAUAAUUGAAUUUUUAAGUUGAGUUAUUCCUGGACAAGAACAUCAAUCGGUCUGGUACAUAAGAUACUAAAAUAUAUUCAGUUUGGGUGAAAAACACAUGUCAGAAGCCGGCUUGAGCAAUUAAUUUAAUUAAAAGUCUGAGAAAUUUUUCAAUCGUGCACACAACAUCGUAGGAGUAUCGUUUUUUAUGAAAUUUAAUGGCAUCUUACCCUACAACGAUGCUUCGUUUGGUCCACUUGACACCUACUCCUCACCUUCAAGGCAGAGGCAAGUCAAAGACGUGUGUCAGCUAUAGUUCAGGUCAAAAUUUUAUUAAUAUUUUUUUAUUAAUUUUAUGUAAGAAAAUAUUUAUAAUUUUUAAUUGAAUUAUUAAAAAAAUUUAAAAAUUUGUAUGGAGUUUUCUAAUAUCAUAUUUUAGCUUCAGUUUAAAUUUUAGAAUUUUAAAAAAAUUCUUAAUGAAAAAUUAUAAUGUGACUAGUUUUAUGUUAUUAGGUGUAAUUUUUAAUCCAACCAUCAGAUUGAGUUAAAAUUUUACGAGGUAUCUUAAAAUAUAUUGAAUUAAAUAUGGUUAAAAUUUUAGAAUAAACAGAGCUUGGUAGUACUAAAAAAAAUCAUUAAAUAAAAGUAAAAUGACUCAUUAAAGGUAAAAUAAUUAUUUACUAUUAAAUAAUUAUUUAUUAUUAUUAUUAUAAAAGCAAAACGACUGGCAGAAGCAAAUUAAAAAAAGGAAAAAAACAAAAAAAAACGGCUCAUUAAGGUGAGUCACCUUGUAUUCUAUUUCGUCCCAAUUAUGCCAUUUUCCAGCACUUUUUUACAUGUAAAAUUAAAUUCAACUCUCGAAUUUGAUAAAACAAAGUAGUAUUUAUAUCAAAAUGAUGAGAUUUACGUGUAUCUAAAUUGUUAAAAUUUAUAAAUAUUAUAUUUUAGUGACUUAAUAUAAUGCGCAAUUAUUUCCGAUCUAUAACCUCAUCUUUGAGGUGUGAAAUUAAAGUUAUGUUAUAAUAAUAAUAAUAAUAAUAAUGAUAAUAAUAAUUUUAAGAGAAUGGUAGGAUAUGUUUUUUUUUUUUAAUUUUUGAAUUCAAAGUCGGCGGCAAUCAUUAAUUUUAUUCUUGAUGCCCUAGAUUGAUGCGAAGAAUGUGUACUUCAAAUAAUUAAAGAAAAAAACUCAGUAUUGAGUGGAAAAAAAAAUUAAUUGAAUAUAUAAAUCACAAAUUUAUCAUAUCAACUCUGACAUUUUAGGGUUUUCUUAGGAAAAACUAUUUUAAAUUUUUUUUUUAAAAUCUAAUACAUGCUCAAAAAAUUCACUUUCCAAUACAAAACGACCUUUGUCUAAAUCUCUGUAAAUUAAAAUCAUACUAGACAGAAUUAAGAAGGAGAAAAAAUAAUAAGAUAUUCAUUUCAUUAUAUACAAGUCAAAGCUAAACAUUUGAGCCCAAGGCGGCGUCCAACGAGUGCCCACACUCUGCCCCACUUAGAGCGUGUUUGGUAGUGUGGUAGUGGUUGCUUUUCAAAUAGCUUUUCGUGCCGAAAUGCAUGCUAAUGAUGUUUUUUUAUUUUUUAAAAAUCAUUUUUGACAUCAGCACAUCAAAACGAUCCAAAAAGUACAAACUGAACUCAAUUUUAGCAAAAAAAAAAUAAAAUUGAAAUUUGACGAAACGCAGUUUCGACCGCACUACCAAACGGUCCCUUAAGCGACUGAAAAUCGCCGCCUGUCUUCUCCAUGUGACAACCGCCACGUAGCUUUUUAAUCGUCCACCGUUGAUUUUAGCACCGAGUUUGCUGAGGCAUCGACUCAUCCUGCCCUCGUUCAAUAUCCAUCUCAGUCGUCCCUGACUCACCACCGCAACUCACAGAGCUAGCCACGUUAGGAGACGCAGCACCUCUUCUUUUCCUUCUUAGCAUCCUCUUAAAAGACAGCAUCCGACUCAUUGGCGAUCUAAACGCGUGACUCGCUGAUGGUGACUCAGUGUUUGACUCAUGCUCAAAAUUCCCAUUUCUCCUAGGCUCAAAAUUGUUAGUUUAUAUUUUUUAAAAAUUUAUUGAAUAUAUUUUACUGUUGUAUUGCCAUAAUGAAUAUUUAAUAAUUUGUUGAAUUAAUAUUGUUAAUGUUGAAUUUAUCUUAGAUUUAGUAAUUGAAUAUGUUGGAAGAAUUAUUAAUUUUACUCUAACUUGAUGAUUUGUGUUUAAUUGUUUUUAUUUAUUUUGAAUUUAUAGUUUUUUUGUAUUGACAUAAUUAUUGAAUAAUUUGUUGAAUUGUAAUUGUUAAUGUGAAUUUACCUUAGGAUUAGUAAUUGAAUAUGUUGGAAUAAUUAGUAUAGAUUGGGUCAAUUUGUUGUGGCUAUUGUUAAUAUUUGCAGGUUUGUGGAUUUGGGUAGUAUCCAAGUAUAGGGAAGGUGCUGCCAAUUUUUUUUUAACAUUUCAAUUGAAUUAUAUAAUUAUUAAUAUAAAAUUGGUUAGAUGCAGAGAAUGAAAACCAGAGCUACACAUACGCGUACGGUCGCAUCUAGUUCGUCUAGCAGCGACGAAGACAUUUCCUUAGGUGCCUCUCAAGAAGAGGCACCUACACCACUUGCGCCGUCAGCUGAUGCUGCCACUUCCAGCGAUGUUUCACGUCGCAGAAGCGGCAUGCCUUCGCAGCGGAAUCGAUGGACCCGCAAGUACGAGGCACAAUGGAAAGACGAUCUUUCAAUAUAAGUUUGUUAAGGUUUUAAUUUUUUUUUUUAAAAAAAAAAUUUAAAGCAAAUUUAUGAAGUCACUAUUUAAUUAAUUUCAAUUCUUUUCAGGUUCACAAACAUUGAGGCCGCCCGAGUAAUAUCAUCGGCGUUUAAAGCGUCGAUGGAGAUUCCAUUGUUUCAAUGGAGUCAGAUAUCCAGGCAUCCUGAAUAGAUGCCUCAAAUCAAUGCAUGGUUUUCCAGAUUUAAGGUUCGUGUUAAUAUAUAAUUUUCAGCUUAUUUCUAAUAAAUUCUUAAUAUAAUUGUAAAUAAAUUAUUAACAUUUUUAAAAAUUAUUUUUUAUACACAGAAUCGAUUCUGCUGGAACGACGAACAUAACAAUGUUAUGAGGAGGGUGUGGGAAAAUCACGCGGCAACUAGGUAACAUCGAAAACAAUACAACCUUUUUUUACAAAAAAAAUUAUGUUUCGAAAUGUAAUUUUUGAUUGCGUUAAGUAGGUUGCGUGAUUUUUGGUACGAAGCCCAAAAAAAGGUAAAAAAAAUUGUGAGGGAUAGGGGGUUCUAAGGCUGGAACGAUGUUGCGGUUUAGAGGGAUUUCAAACCGAUAUACAUCCCAGAGGAUAUAUGGCCGCACUAUCUUGAGCACGUGACGUCUGAGCGGUUCACACGACGCUCAUAGUCCGGUGCUGGCAACCAGAAUCGGCCAAUUCAUGGCUCGGUGACAACGCACACCGGCGGCUCCGUUCCGUUUGUUGCACAUGCGAAAUGGAUGGUAAGAUUAAUUUAAAUGAAAUAUAUCGUUCAAUUAAUUUGUUGUUAAUAUUUUUUUUUCAUUAUAGGCUACGUCUCUUGGACAUGAGCCAAGCCCUAUGGAGCUGUUUGUGGAGACGCACGUGCGGAGUCAAGACCGCCAAAAGGGGGUGCAACAGUUCGUUGACAGCCGCUCUCAACAUUUUGUGGUAUGUUUAUUCAACCAUUUUAUUUUGUAAGUUAUUAUUAUGUUUAUUGAAUUGAAUAUGAUGAUUACUUUUUUUUUAUUUUCAGGAGACCUAUAAUAAUCGGUUGAGGGAGACAUAUGGGGAUGAUCCUUCGACCCAUCCGGAAUUCGAUCCGGAUUUGUGGAUGGAGGCGGGAUCGUCAGGUGAACCAUAUAAGAAUCGGGUUUACAGGCUCUUCAACACUAGGGUCGACAACUUGCGGACGACCUGUAUUGCUUCAACCGUCAGGAGCUCCCAAUCAGUAUCGAGCUCCCAAUCUAAGGAGUUUGUGGCCUUGCAGCAAAGGUGCGACCAGAUAUCAGAGGCGUACACACAACUCAAAGAACAAUACAUAGCAGAUUUUGCACAACAAAGAGCGGCCUAUGAAGAGUUUCGUCAAAUGGUCAUAAACAUGUCACAAGGUGAAACAUGUGCACCCAAUCCAAGUUAGCCGCAUAACAGCCAGCCUCCUCCUCCUCCUGAUCCUCCUCAUCCUCCUUUAUAUUAAUUUUUGAUAAACAUUAUUUACAUUUAAAAUUUCAUUUAAUGUUUUUUUGAAACAUUUCAUUUUGUAAUGAAUAUUAUUUAUCUUUCAUUUUUUGUUUUUGAUGCUUAAUAUAAAUUUUAUUUGCAUAAUUGGUUUUUAUUACCAUUAAUUUAUAUCAUUUUAUAUUAUGUAUUCUAAAUAAUUAUAUAUAAAAAAAAAACAAAUUACAAAGGGAUUUACCGACAGAAUACAUCUGUCGGCAUUAGACGGUAGCCGCGACCAUCACCGACAAAUUUCCAGACGGAUAAAUUCGGUCGGUGUUUUCAUGACUCACCAACAGAUUUACCGACGGAUUAAUUCCGUCGGUAUUAUAUAUUACUGACGAAUUCACAGACGGUAUAUUCUGUCGGUGUUUCAACAAUUCACCGACUAAGUUACCGACGGAAAGUAACCGUCGGUGAAUUGUGAUAUCACCGACGAAAUAAAAAUCCGUCGGUAUUAUUGAAGUGGGAAAUUUUUUUUGUUUGGCGCACAAAUUCCGUCUGUAAAACCAUCGGUAAAUGGUUUUUUUGUUUUGCCGACCGAUAUAGCGACGGAAUGGGGAAUCACCGACGGACGUAUUCCGUCGGUCAUUUAGUCGGUAGAUAUUUUAUCGACGUCCUAUCAAUCACAGACCGACGGAAUAUUUCCGUCAGUAAAACUGUGAAUUCUUGUUGUGAUUGAAGAGAGCUUUCGUGUAAAAAUUCAUGUGUAGACAAGUGACUUGAAGCUUAGAAUACGCAAGAGGUUCAACAUUGGUCGACAGACUAGUAACCAAAUCUCGAAAUUCAUCACGAAAACCCCGAAAAACAUAGAGAUUGAAGUUAGUAAGGGAGAUAGGUCUAUCUGUUGCGGCUAGUUCGUCAAAUAAGCCCUUAGCUUUCUGCAAGUAUAGAGUGACAAUAUCAUCACCUUGACGAAGAUCCUGGAGAGAGCCAUGUAAUUGCAUUAUCCUAGAGUUGGAUGGAGAGGCAAGGGCAUGUUUUAAGAUGCUCCAAACACUUGCCGAAGUUGGGCAGUCCACCACAAGGUGAAGAACAUCAAUGGAGAGGGAUGAGAGCAAAGCAUUGAAUAUGAGUUCAUCUUGUUGUUUUCAUGUGAGAAACGCUUGAGAAGGACAAUAAUUAAUGUUGGCAGAGGCAGUAGUAUAGUGAGUGGACAGAUCAAGUGUAGAAGGGUAGGAAUGCAAGCCAUCAACAAAUGAGAACACCCCAUGGCCAAUCAGAUAUGGCUUCAUCUGCAUACAUCAAAAUAGAUAAUUGGAAUCGGUGAGUUUGGGGUUGAUGACCUGCUGUGUAUUUGAGAGGGGAAUAACAGUUACUGUCGCAGCAGAGGGAAGCAUGACUGCAUUGAUGUUGGGAGAAAAAGCGCUGACAUUGGUGUUGGGAGAAGGACUGCCAGUGGUUGCCAGCUGCAGCAAAAACCGAAGGAUCCAUAUUGUAGCAGAUGGUAGAAAAUAGAAGCUGACAGCAGAUAGUUGCAGGGAAGCCGAAAGAGUAGCAAAGAAAACAGCAGAAAACGUUGACUUCGGAGCAGAAACAGUAAUAAAAAAUCAGUAAUAACACGCUGAUGGCUGAAGCAGAGAAGCAUUAUCAAUCAAAAAAUCAACAGAAGAAGCAGAAUCAACGUUGCAGAUCGUGAGGCUAAAUUAAACAGUAGCACAAUGAAGCAAGUAAUUAGCUAAUUAGAGGGGCUGCCAUUUGAAGAAUAAUUAGCUGAUGAAGGAGUCGCAAUUAGAUUUUGUUGAAUAAAAACAAUAGAGGGGCUGCCAUUUGAAAAUAUAUCUGUUAAAGAUAAUUGGUUUUGAAUACAAGUUAAAAUAAUAUUUUGUGCUAAUUGAGAGGCUUAAUCUAAUAAGAUAGCCACCUCUUUUAUUUAUUAAAGAACUCUAAAACGCGUAGGGAAAGCACUUAGCUUUCCACGCCUUCUAUGCAUCAGUGAAUGAAAGUUUUUUUUUUUUUUCCUUUCACACCUCACUUUACUCAUUUUAAAUAUAUUAUUAUUAUAAUAUUAUAUUAUAUUAUUUAACUGUUUUAAUUUUUUUUGUUUUUUUAAUGAAUUGUUUUUGUUUGAUUUAGUUUGUUGAUGUUAAAUUUUUUCUAUUUAAUUAUCAGACUUUCACAAUAUAUAUCCUGUCUUGACGGGUUAACUUGGUUUGAUUGGUUAACCUAGUUAACUUUAGGUAAACCCGUUAAUUUUUUAUUAUUUAGUUAUCAAACUUUCAUGAUGCGAAUUCAAGAUUUGACAGGUUAAUCCAGUUAAUUCAUAUUUUUUUUCUUUUUUUUCAUUAGUUUUUUUUUCUAUUGUUUUUUUAUUUGUUUUUUUAUUUUUAAUCAAUCUAUUUUAUUAUCACACUUAUAUGACACGACCUUGCAGCCAGACCUACAUCCACUAUUGAAUCUGGUAUUGCAGCCACCCCACUUAAACUUGGGUCAUCUAAGUUUAAUGUUAUUAUUAAUAUUAUAAAUAUUACUCUUAGGUCAGGUGUUGCAGCCAAACCCAAGAUUCUUGGGUACAACUUUGCAGAAAGAUCUAACACUUUUAAAUAUUAAUUUUUUAUAUAUAUAUUUUUUAUACAAAAAAAUGACCCGCGACACUGUAGCAGCUUUGUUUUUUUUCCUUUUUUUUCAACUGUAGCAAUUUUGUUUUUUUGCUUUUUUUUUCUUUUUUUUUUUAUCCAAAAGUGACUUCUUUGCCUUUGUUUUUUUUUUCUUUUUUUAAUUUUUUUUUCAAAAAUUAUCUUUACUAAUUUUUUAAAUAUUGAGCUGGUUGAAAAUUUAACUAUUUAGUUUUUUUCUUUAAAACAUUGUGGAUUGCUAUAAUAUUAUCAUACAUUGUUUUUUCCUUUUUUUCAAAAUGGUCUUUGUAGACUUUUUUUUUUUUUUUUUAUUAAGUUGGUUGAGAAUUUAGCUUUAUAGUUUUUUAAAAAUAAUAUGGAUUGCUACAGUGUUUCCCUACAUAGUUUUUGUUUUGCUACAGUGUUUCCCCAUAUAUUUUUUAAAAACAUUAUAUUUAUCGAAUUUAUUUUUUUAAUAUUGAGCUAAAUGAUAAUCUAACUUUAGCUUUCCCCGCAUGUUUUUUUUUUGUUUGUUUUUCUUUUUUCCAAAAUUGUCAAAUUUUUACAUAUUUUUUUUUCAGAAUUAUUUUGUUGAUUUUAUUUUUUUACUAUUGAGCUGGUUGAAAAUUUUGUUUUUUUGUUUAUUUCUUUAAAACAUUGUAGCUUUCCCUACGUGUUUUUUUUUUUUCUGCUUUUGUUACCUUUUUUUACCCAAAAUUGACUUUUAUAAAUAUAUAAUAUUUUUUAUCGUUUUUUUUUUAUAUUGAUCUGGUUGAAAACUUAGCUUUGUAGCUUUUUUCAAAAACAAAAUAUAUAUGGAUUACUACAAUAUUAGCUAUUUUUUCUUUUUAAUUUUUUUUUAAUGAAUUUUUUUUGUCCGGUCGGGUCGGAAAAGUUAGAAACGGCUCCGUUGAGUGGCUCAAAGUGGCCACCUCGGGCAGUUCACAGCCUUGAGCUGCCAAAUUUGGCAGCUCGAGGUGCACACUUCGAGCCAACAGUUGAGAUGCUUCCCAACUGAAUCAAGGGCUGAAAUUUUUCCCCAAAGUAGACAAGAUUGCCCUCUUCCACAGCCUAUAAAUAGAGUCGGAUUUGAUGAUCUGAGGGAGGAGAAAUUCGGGUCCAAAAUCAGCCAAAAAUCAGCAUUUUCGCCCAAUUUCUGCAGAUUUUUCUUCUCUUCUUUCUUCCUUUGCAACAGGAACCCGACGCCGUCUUCCUCCAACUCUACAGCUGCAACCACCAGCUGAACCACCUCAUCACAGCAGCCACAACCCCUUCGGCCAAGUGAGCCCCUCUUCCUUUCCUCCUUUUCUUCUUCUUCUUCCUCCUCCUUACCUACUGUUCACUGCAUGAACAGUAGGCGUGAAAUAUAAUUCACGUCCUACUGUUCAUGCAGGACGUGAAUUAUAUAUAUAUAUAUAUAUAUAUAUAUAUGUGUGUGUGUGUGUGUGUGUGUAUUAUAAUUUUAUAAAAAAAAAAAAAAAAAAAAUUCCAAAAUCAUUUUAAAAAAUGUUUAUUAAAGAAAAAAUGUUUUGUUUUCAUACAUACGGCCAAUACUCUAACAUGUUUUGAAAUGUUCUUUUUAUAUAAAAAAAAAAUAUUGGAAGUUUUGAAAAAUGUGAUUUCGCAUAGAUUUCUUAAACAUAAAUUAUUUUCUUGCAUUUCUGGAUUUUACAACAUGUUUGUAAAACUCCAAAGGGUAUUGGCCAAUAUCCCAAAGAAUACAAAAAUCUUAUUUUGGGUAGGGGGAAUUCAUCUAUUAUUCACCGCUAAUGUUUGGAUAAAGAAAUCCUUAAAGGACGAAUAUCCAAAAUAUUAUUGGGAGUAAUAAAUCCGCACACAUCCUUGAAAGAAGCCUUGAUUAUAAUUGAGGAUAUUUCAACUUUUGUCUCCAUGGUUUACGAGCCGUGAAAGUAUGAAAUACUAAGGCAAAAAGAGGCUUUUAAAGCGCUCUGAAUUUCCUUAGAUUUCUAAAUCUUGGUCCCUUUUUCCUUGCGAUUUACGAGUCGCCAACUUUUGAAAUACUAAGGGAAAAAUGAGCUUUCAAAGCACAUGGAAUCUCCUUGGAUUUCUAUCCAAAUAAUUUUUAUUUGAAUCAAACCUAGGAAAAUUGAUUGGAUUAGAAAACACCAGCACCAUAGCAAUUAUAAAGCAAAUCAAACACCAAGCAGCUUACCUUAGGUAGGGCGUACUAGGGGUGCUAAUACCUUCCCUUUACGCAACCAGUCCCUUGCCUUAGAAUCUCUGAAAGACCAGUUAGGGUUCCUAGUGACCAAAAUACUAGGUGGCGACUCCAAAGAACCAAAUCAGUAAAACAAAACGAAAGUCGCCAGCCGAUGCCGCAUUCGGAUUUUUUUGGGGGUGCGACACUUUCCAUGGAAACCUUCAAAACUCUUUCCUUCUUAACCUCCACUCCUACAACAUUCACUCCUCCACUACUUGUAGCAUGAUUGGGCAAAGGGUUGGAUUUUACAUUCGGUGCAUCAUCAAAAGUUAUCCAUCUAGCUUUUAUCAAUUGCAAAAGCUUGUUUUUAAAUGCAUUACAGCUUUCAAUGUUAUGUGAUCUAGUAAACGUGAGAUACUGAAGAGCACCAAUAAUUUGUUGAAAGCGAGUGGGAUCCGAGAAUAAAAUAGUAGACGACAGAUCAAGCUUGGAAAUAAUGGUUGGUGUAUCGACAGGUUUACAUGAUGACAUACGAGCACGAUAGAGAAUAUAAAGAACAUACUUAUAUUGAUUCAGCAUGAGUCCCAUGCUGGUAAGAGAGACCUCAAACUCCAAAAAAAUGAUGAGCAUUACCCAAGUCGCGGAGCUUAAAUUAUGAACUCAGUAUGGUAAUAAGGUGAUGAAUUAAGGUAGAAUUGUUACCAGUAAGUAGGAUGUCAUCGACAUAGAUAAGCAGGUAGCAAAUAUCAUGAUUCCUCGCCAAAAUAAAAAAAGAGGUAUCAACCUUGGAAGCUCGAAAACCAAUAGUCUGAAGGAAGUACUCAGACGGGUGUACCAAGCCCAAGGGGCUUGUUUUAGACCAUACAGAGACCUGUGAAGAAGACAAACAUGAUUUGGCAGAGCAGAGUCUACAAAACCUGUGGGUUGUACCAUGUAACAACCUCUCAAAGUGAACCAUUGAGGAAGGCAUUGUGGAUAUCAAGUUGUUAAAUCUGCCAUCCUUGGAACGAUAAUAGUGAGAACUAACCGAACAUCAGUUGGUUUAACAACAUGACUAAAGUUUCUGAGUAAUCAAUGCCUUCUUGUUGAGUGAACCCACGCGCAACCAAACGAGCCUUAUAGCAGUUAAUAACACCAUCAACUUGGUGCUUUAUUUUAUACACCCAUUGGCAGCUAACUACAUUCAAGAAGGGAUCAAAAGGUACCAAGGACCAAGGACCAAGUACCAUUGGCAUGUGAAGAUGCAAUUUCAUACUUCAUGGCAGUAUGCGAGCACAUAAAACAGUCAGCCUUCUUAAAAGUAAGAGGUUUGAGAGUAGAUGGAGACAUUACUGGUGAAGAUGGAGGCAGUGAGGAAGAAACAAUGACUAAAGUGAUGUUGGCAAUCCUGUUAUAUCUAGGACGCAACACCAUUGGGUGUUGUCGUUGUUCUGGAGGAGCAGAGCUUUGAACAGGGGACAAUUGCCGUGGAAGAGUAUAACUUGACAAAUUAACAUAGAGGUCCAAACCUGGUGAAGACACAACAGAUUAUUUGGAUGGAGAGGAAGAGCUGGAUGACCGUGCUGGAGAGACACAACUGGGAGACGUGAACACAAAAAACGCCAAUGUUACCCUAUACCUGCAAAAUGAUCAACAAAUAUGGAGGCAGAUGGUGAUAAAGGGACAACGGGGUUAGAGGAAGUGGGUGGUGGGGCUGAUGGUUUAGUGGACGGAAAGAUGGUGAGCGAGGGAAGGUGUGUGACAGUGGUAAACAGAUGGGGUAUGGCUGGUAGGUGAAGGGAGAUGGACAGACUCGAGAAACGGAAACACAUGUUCAUUAAAUCAAACAUGACAUGAGAUAUAGAGACACUUAGAUGAUAAGUCAAGACAACGAUACCCUAAAUGAGAUGAACUAUAGCCUAAGAACACAUAUGGAGUAUAUCGAUAGUCUAACUUAUGAGCAUUAUAAGGUCGAAGGAAGGGAAAACAGAGACAUUCGAAAGUACAUAAAAAAUCAUAAUUAAGUGGUUGACGACACAGACAUUUAAAAGGAGAUUUGUUGCGCAAAAUUGGUGUGGGCAUACAAUUAAUGAGGUCAAUAGAGGUUUCAAAAGCCUAAGUCCAAAAUUUUAAAGGUGUCUUACACUGAUUAAGAAGGGUAAGACCAGUUUCAACAAUGUGACAAUGACGACACUUAACGAUACCAUUAUGUUCAUGCGUAUGUGAGCAUAUAAGGCGAUGAUGAACACUAAUGGUUUUGAAUAAUGAAUUUAAUUUACGAUAUUCACCACCCCUGUUAGUUUGAACAUAUUUAAUUUUUUGAGAGAAUUGUCAUUCGACAAAGACUUGAAAUUGAUGAAACACAUUAAAGACAUCAGAUUUGAGGACAAGAGGAUAAAACAAUAUAAAUUUUGUAUGCACAUCCACAAAAAUAACAAAUAGCGAAAACCAUCCGAAGAUAACAUAAGAGUAGAGCCCCACACAGCACUAAAAACAAGUUCAAGAAAAGUAGAUGUCUGAUGACCUAUAAGGCUUAAAGAUAGACGAGAUGAUUUUUCUAAUGCACAAGCUUGACAUUGAAAAUUUAAAGGAAGAGAAGUACAAAUAACCUUUUUAUUUGACGCUAAGAGAUUCAGAACACGAGAGCUAGGAUGACCGAGGCGACGAUGCCAAACAUUAGUAGAGGUGUACAGAAAAGCCUUGGGAAGACACGUGGUAGAGGACUCGGUAAGGAUAUAAAGGCCAUCUUUACUCUGUCCGGAAAGAAGAAUUGCCUUGGUUAUGAGAUCCUUGAAAUAGAAAAAAGAAGAGUGAAACUAAAAAAAGAAACAAUUUUCACGACAAAAUUGUUGAACAGAUAAGAGUCUUUUCUUAAUUUUUGGAACAUGUAGAAUAUUAGACAAAGUAAAGGUUUGUUUCGGAGUAUGCAAAAUUUUAUGAGUUGUAUUAGAUAUAAUAAGUCUCUUACCAUCACCAAUAUAUAAUUGAUCAUUACCAAGACAAGGGUCUUUAUGUAUCAUACCGGCAAUGUCUGGAGUAACAUGUUGAUUCACACAUGUAUCGAGCAACCAAGUGAUAGAAUUUGCCACUGAAGCGUCACUAAAGAAGAGGUUGGCCGAGGCUUGAUUCUCAUGAUGCACAAGUUGAGAGCAUUGCUGUGCAGAGUGUCUGAUGUUGCUGCAAAGUUGGCAUCUAAUAUGCCGAGGCCACUGGUGUUGCCCUUUUUGUUUUUGCUGCUGUCGUAGCUCUUGGUGUUCUGCCAGGAGGAGCUACCUUUAUUUCAAUGGUAAGGCUGGCCGGUACUGGUUAUAAUUGAUGCGAGAGUUGCCUCUCCAGCCUCCUCUUUUUCCUUUGCCCCGAUGAAAAGAGGAGCCAUUGCCAUCACAUCCAACGAAGGCAGCUGUGCAGCAUAUGCAGAGGGAGGGUGUGAGGGUGUGGGCAGCAACGGUGCAGUAACUGGAAUGGAUUGAAGAGAGCUUAUGUGUAAAAAUUCAUGUGUAGACAAGUGACUAUGGAGCUUAGAAUACGCAAGAGGCUCAACAUUGGUCGACAGACUAGUAACCAAAUCUCGAAAUUCAUCGCGAAGACCCCGAAAAACAUAGAGAUUGAAGUUAGUGAGGGAGAUAGGUCUAUCUGUUGCGGCUAGUUUGUCAAAGAAGCUCUUAGCUUUCUGCAGGUAUAGAGUGAAAGUAUCAUCACCUUGAUGAGGAUCCUGGAAAGAGCCAUGUAAUUGCAUAAUCCUAGAGUUGGAUGGAGAGGCAAGGGUAUGUUUUAAGGUGCUCCAAACACUUGUCGAAGUUUAGCAGUCCACCACAAGGUGAAGAACAUCAAUGGAGAGGCAAGGGUAUGUUUUAAGGUGCUCCAAACACUUGUCGAAGUUUGGCAGUCCACCACAAGGUGAAGAACAUCAAUGGAGAGGGAUGAGAGCAAAGCAUUGAAUAUUAGUUCAUCUUGUUGUUUCCAUGUGAGGAACGCUUGAGAAGGACAAUAAUUAAUGUUGGCAGAGGCAGUAGUAUAGUGAGUGGACAGAUCAAGUGGAGAAGGGUAGGAAUGCAAGCCAUCAACAAAUGAGAACACCCCUUGGCCAAUCAGAUAUGGCGUCAUCUGCAUACAUCAAAAUAGAUAAUUGGAAUCGGUGAGUUUGGGGUUGAUGACCUGCUGUGUAUUUGAGAGGGGAAUAACAGUUACUGUCGCAGCAGAGAAAAAGCAUGACUGCAUUGAUGUUGGGAGAAAAAGCGCUGACUUUGGUGUUGGGAGAAGGACUGCCAGUGGUGCCAGCUGCAGCAAAAACCGAAGGAUCCAUAUUGUAGCAGAUGAGUAGAAAAUAGAAGCUGACAGCAGAUAGUUGCAGGGAAGCCGAAAGAGUAGCAAAGAAAACAGCAGAAAACGUUGACUUCGGAGCAGAAACAGUAAUAAAAAAUCAGUAAUAACACGCUGAUGGCUGAAGCAGAGAAGCAUUAUCAAUCAAAAAUCAACAGAAGAAGCAGAAUCAACGUUGCAGAUCGUGAGGCUAAUUAACAGUAGCACAAUGAAGCAAGUAAUUAGCUAAUUAGAGGGGCUGCCAUUUGAAGAAUAAUUAGCUGAUGAAGGAGUCGCAAUUAGAUUUUGUUGAAUAAAAACAAUAGAGGGGCUGCCAUUUGAAAAUAUAUCUGUUAAAGAUAAAUUGGUUUUGAUACAAGUUAAAAUAAUAUUUGUGCUAAUUGAGAGGCUUAAUCUAAUAAGAUAGCCACCUCUUUUAUUUAUUAAAGAACUCUAAAACGUGUAGGGAAAGCACUUAGCUUUCCCCACGCCUCCUAUGCAUCAGUGAAUGAAAGUUUUUUUUUUUUUUCCUUUCACACCUCACUUUACUCAUUUUAAAUAUAUUAUUAUUAUAAUAUUAUAUUAUAUUAUUUAACUGUUUUAUUUUUUUUGUUUUUUUAAUGAAUUUGUUUUGUUUGAUUUAGUUUGUUGAUGUUAAAUUUUUUUCUAUUUAAUUAUCAGACUUUCACAAUAUAUAUCCUGGCUUGACGGGUUAACUUGGUUUGAUUGGUUAACCUAGUUAACUUUAGGUAAACCCGUUAAUUUUUUUAUUUAUUUAGUUAUCAAACUUUCAUGAUGCGAAUUCAAGAUUUGACAGGUUAAUCCAGUUAAUUCAUAUUUUUUUUCUUUUUUUUCAUUAGUUUUUUUUUCUAUUGGUUUUUUUAUUUGUUUUUUUAUUUUUAAUCAAUCUAUUUUAUUAUCACACUUAUAUGACACGACCUUGCAGCCAGACCUACAUCCACUAUUGAAUCUGGUAUUGCAGCCACCCCCACUUAAACUUGGGUCAUCUAAGUUUAAUGUUAUUAUUAAUAUUAUAAACAUUACUCUUAGGUCAGGUGUUGCAGCCAAACCCAAAAUUCUUGGGUAUAGCUUUGCAGAAAGAUCUAACACUUUUAAAUAUUAAUUUUUUUUAUAUAUAUUUUUUAUACAAAAAAAUGACCCGCGGCACUGUAGCAGCUUUGUUUUUUUUUCCUUUUUUCACUAUAGCAAUUUUGUUUUUUGCUUUUUUUUCUUUUUUUUUUAUCCAAAAUUGACUUCUUUGCCUUUGUUUUUUUUUUUUUUUUUAAUUUUUUUUCAAAAUUAUCUUUACUAAUUUUUUUAAAUAUUGAGCUGGUUGAAAAUUUAACUAUUUAGUUUUUUUCUUUAAAACAUUGUGGAUUGCUAUAAUAUUAUCAUACAUUGUUUUUUAUUCUUUUUUUUCAAAAUGGUCUUUGUAGACUUUAUUUUUUUUUUCAUAUUAAGUUGGUUGAGAAUUUAGCUUUAUAGUUUUUUUAAAAAAUAAUAUGGAUUGCUACAGUGUUUCCCCUACAUAGUUUUUGUUUUGCUACAGUGUUUCCCCAUAUAUUUUUUUAAAACAUUAUAUUUAUCGAAUUUAUUUUUUUAAUAUUGAGCUAAAUGAUAAUCUAACUUUAGCUUUCCCCGCAUGUUUUUUUUUAUUUGUUUUUCUUUUUUCCAAAAUUGUCAAUUUUUACAUUUUUUUUUUCAGAAUUAUUUUUGUUGAUUUUAUUUUUUAUUAUUGAGCUGGUUGAAAAUUUUGUUUUUUUGUUUAUUUCUUUAAAACAUUGUAGCUUUCCCUACGUGUUUUUUUUUCUGCUUUUGUUACCUUUUUUUACAUUUUGUUUUCAUUUAUUUUACCCAAAAUUGACUUUUAUAAAUAUAUAAUAAUUUUUAUCUUUUUUUUUUAUAUUGAUCUGGUUGAAAACUUAGCUUUGUAGCUUUUUUCAAAAACAAAAUAUAUAUGGAUUACUACAAUAUUAUCUAUUUUUUCUUUUUAAUUUUUUUUAAUGAAUUGUUUUUGUUAAUAUUAAAAAAAAUUUAUUUAGUUAUCAGAUUUUCAUGAUACGGAUCUCGGGUUUCUUUGAUACCUGCGCGAUGCCGCGGGUUAAUUUUUUUUGUAUAAAAAAUAUUUAAAAAAAUAAAAAUUUAAAAAUCUUGGGUUUUUCUGCAAAGUUAUAUCCAAGAAUCUUGGGUUUGGCUGCAAUACCUGACCUAAGAGUAAUAUUUAUAAUAUUAAUAAUAAAAUUAAACUUGCAUGACCCAAGUUUAAGUAAGCUUGACUGUAACACCGAACACAAGAAUAUUGGAUGUGGGUCUGGCUAUAAGGUCGUAUCAUAAAAGUGUGAUAAUUAAAUAGAUUAAUUAAAAAAAGAAAAAAAUCAACAGAAAGGAAAAAACUAAUGAAAAAAAGAAAAAGAAAUUGAAUUAAUUGGGUUGAGUUAUUUUUUUCAUUUAGUUUAGUUUGUUAAACUUAAUUUUCUUUCUAUUUAAUUAUCAAACUUUCAUACCUUCACGACAAGUAUCCUAGACUUGACGGGUUAACUUGAUUUGAUGGAUUAACCCAGAUAAUUCUGGGUAAACCCGUUAUUUUUUUUCUAUUUAGUUAUCAAACUUUCAUGACGCGAAUCUCAGGUUUUACGGGAUAACCUGGUUUGAAGGGUUAACCCAAUUAAUUCAUUUUUUUUCUUUUUCUUCAUUAGUUUUUUCCUUCAUGUUUAUUUUUUUUCUUUGUUUUUUUUUAAUUAGUUUAUUUAAUUAUCACACUUUUAUGACACAACCUUAUAGUCAGACCCACAUCCAAUAUUCUUGAGUCCGGUGUUGCAGGCAGGCUCACUUAAACUUAAGUCAUGCAAGUUUAAUUUUAUUAUUAAUAUUAUAAAUAUUAUUUUUAGGUCAGAUAUUGCAGCCAAACCCAAGAUUCUUGGGUAUGGUCUUGCAAAAAGACCCAAGAUUUUUAAAUUUUUGUUUUUUUUAAUAUUUUUAUAUAAAAAAAAAGACCCGCGACAUCAAGUGGGUCAUGUGUCUAGUAUAAUUACAGUAGUGUAUAUGUUAUGGUGUAGCAUACUAUACACGAUAAAUCAAUAUAUUAAUAAUAUAAUAUUUUGUAUAUUAACCCAUUCCAUAAUAAAUGUGCACUGCCACGUCUUCAUUUUUUUUCUUCUAUUUUUUAAUGCAGCAAGUUGUUAAAAUUGAUAAUGACAUGAUUUAAAAGAAAACAUAUAUAUGUAUAUAUAAGUCAUCAUUUGAGUCAACGUAUUUUGAUGGGGAAGCAGGUGUUGGCCAGCCAGUUGCUUUCUAGGAGUGGAUCAACUGCUUUAGCAGAUGGGCCCAUCACUGCAGAGUAAUUUUAUAUUCUCACUCCCAUUGUGGGAUUUUUCUUUAUAUUUAUUGUACCGUCAAUCUUUCUAAUUUCAUUUCAUUUCAUCUUCAUUCAAGAACUUUAAAACCACUUUCUCUCUUCUUCACUGUCUCCAAAACAAAAUGGCUACAGAGUUUUUUCUUACAGUUAGUUUCAUUUUCAUGUUCUGAGGGUAAUAUUCCUUAAUUAGUUGACUGGCUGACUUGCUAAGAAUUUGCACGAAAGCAUAUCCCUUAGUUGAUUCUUCAGCUAACCUUUCUCUCCGAGAACUGCAAUUUCAUAGGUAUAACUAACUCUUCUUUGCUUUUUUCUUGUUUUGAUUUCAUGAAUUUACUGAUAGCAAUAAUUUGAAAGUUUUAUGUUCAGAUAGAUCAUUGAUCAGUUUAUGUCUUCUAGUACGAGAUUAUUGUCGAAUCAUCCCAUCACAGUUAGUUCCUUUCCAUUAUCUUUUUCAUGUUCGUAGACUUUCUGCCUGUGAUGUGUUGCUAGUUAGCCAAAGAUUAAUAACUUUCAAUUGUCGGUAUCACUUAAACUUAAUUAUAGAUGAAACUAUUUGUCAGUUGCUAUUUUUUUGCUCUCUCGUUAUUUAGCUUAAGCUAUUGUAUUAUCUUUGAUGAUCACUUCACAUGCACCCCUUGCUAGUAUUUGCAAGAGAGUAGAUACCUUCUGCAAUUGCUCCAUUGCUAAUUAAUUGUGCCUUAAUUUCUGCAGCUGCCAUGACAGAGACAGAGUCUUCUAAAUCUAGAACAGAAGGGGCCUAUGAUGUCUUUUUGAGUUUUAGAGGAGAAGAUACUCGCAAGACAUUUACAGAUCAUUUAUAUACAGCCUUAGUCCAAGCAGGAAUCCACACUUUUCGAGAUGAUAAUGAACUUCCUAGAGGAGAAGAAAUCUCCGAUCAUCUCCUCAAGGCAAUUCAAGAAUCAAAGAUAUCUAUAGUUGUCUUUUCAAAGGGAUAUGCUUCUUCUAGAUGGUGUCUUAAUGAGCUUGUAGAGAUUCUUGAGUGCAAAAAUAGGAAAACCGGUCAGAUUGCUCUUCCUAUAUUCUAUGACAUUGAUCCUUCAGAUGUGAGAAAGCAGACUGGCAGUUUUUUAGAAGCAUUUGAUAAACAUGAAGAACGUUAUAAAGAAAAGGUGAAGGAGUGGAGAAAAGCUCUCGAGGAUGCGGGAAAUCUAUCUGGAUGGAAUCUCAAUAUUAUGAAAAAUGGGUAUGCCUUUUCUCUCUAAGAUUCACUUGCUGCCAUUUAUGGAGCCAUUAUACAUUUGAUUUUUCAAAGUUAAACAAUAAAAUAUUGUUUUGAGCAUAUUUAAUUAACUUGCUAUCAAAUGACUUGCCUUUGUCUAUGAACAGGCAUGAAGCAAAAUUUAUCCAAGAGAUUAUCAAGGAUGUGUUGAAUAAAUUAGAUCCCAAGCACUUAAAUAUUCCUAAGCUCCUAGUACGUAUCGAUCCGCUUGCUCACAAUAUUUUUGACUUUCUAAGUACUGCAACAGAUGAUGUACGCAUUGUGGGCAUACAUGGGAUGCCAGGAAUAGGAAAGACAACUAUAGCAAAAGUUUAUUUAAUCAUCUCUGCUAUGGAUUCGAGGGAAGCUGUUUUCUUUCGAAUAAUCAAUGAAACAUCAAGACAAUUUAAUGGUCUCGCUCUUUUACAAAAGCAACUUCUUCAUGAUAUUUUAAAACAAGAUGCUGCUAACAUCAGCAAUGUUGAUAGAGGAAUGGUUCUGAUCAAAGAACGGCUUUGUCGCAAAAGAGUUCUUGUUGUUGCUGAUGAUGUGUCUCAUCUUGACCAGCUAAAUGCUUUGAUGGGAGAGCGAAGUUGGUUUGGUCCCGGAAGUAGAGUAAUCAUUACAACAAGAGAUUCAAGUUUUCUACUUAAAGCAGAUCAAACAUAUCGGAUCGAAGAAUUGAAACCAGACGAGUCCCUUCAGCUUUUCAGCUGGCAUGCCUUUAAGGACACCAAGCCAGUAGAAGACUAUAUUGAGCUUUCGAAGGAUGCAGUUGAUUACUGUGGAGGACUUCCUUUAGCUCUUGAGGUUAUAGGAGCUUGUCUGUCCGGGAAAAACAAAGACAGAUGGAAAUCUGUAAUUGACAAGUUGAGAAGAAUUCCAAACCGCGAUAUUCAAGGAAAGCUUAGAAUAAGUUUUGAUGGACUGGACGAUGAUGAACUGCAAAAUGCCUUCCUUGAUAUUGCAUGCUUCUUUAUUGGUAGAAAGAAAGAAUACGUUGAAAAAGUGCUAGAAGCCCGUUGUGGUUACGAUCCAGAAGUUGAUUUGGGAACUCUCCGUGAAAGGUCUCUGAUUAAAGUUACUGCCAUUGGAAAGAUAACCAUGCAUGAUCUAUUACGAGACAUGGGAAGGGAGAUCAUUCGUGAAAAGUCACCGAAACAACCUGGAGAAAGGAACAGAAUUUGGAAUCAAGAGGAUGCAUGGAAUGUACUUGACCAGCAAAAGGUAAGAGCUCAAUGCAUACACGAAAGCAUAGUCAUGCAUAUUUUCUUGUCAAGCUUAUUAAAAAUAAUGAUAUGAAAGUUGUAUUGUUUUUUUUUCUAGGGUACGGAAGUUGUAGAGGGUCUUGCACUGGAUGUGAGAGCAUCAGAAGCUAAAUCAUUAAACACAGGAUCAUUUGCAAAAAUGAGAUGCUUAAAUUUACUACAGAUCAAUGGGGUACAUCUCACCGGAUCCUUCAAACUGCUUUCUAAAGUGUUGAUGUGGAUUUGUUGGUUUGAAUGUCCUUUGCAAUAUUUGCCAUUUGAUUUUACUUUGGACAAUCUUGUUGUUCUUGAUAUGCAAUACAGUAACCUCAGAGAAUUAUGGAAAGGGGAAAAGGUGCGAAACAAACUACAAUCCACCAAAUUUCUCCAGUAUAUAAUUUAUAUUUACAUGUUAUGACUUUAUAUGAUUACUUUUCAUUGUUUUUCUCUCUAUUUUGACAGAUUCUCAACAAGCUGAAAAUCCUUAAUCUCAGUCAUUCUCAGUUCCUAGUUAAAACACCAAACUUACACAGUUCAAGUCUACAGAAACUAAGGUUGGAAGGUUGCUCGAGUUUAGUUGAGGUGCAUCAAUCUGUUGGAAAUUUGAAGAGCCUCAUUUUCUUGAAUCUAAAGAGAUGUCGGAGCCUAAAGAUUCUUCCCGAAAGCAUUGGUGAUGUAAAGUCUCUUAAACGUUUGAAUAUUUCUGGAUGUUCACAACUUGAGAAGUUGCCAGAAUGCAUGGGUGAUAUGGAAUCCUUAACUGAGCUGCUAGCAGAUGGAAUUAAAAAUGAACUCCUACCUUCAUUUGUACAUUUAAAGUAUGUUAGAAAGUUAUCAUUGCGUGGAUACAUUUUUUGUCGGGACUCACCAUCACCUACAUCCUGGGUUUCCCAAAUUUCAUCAUGGCUUUCACCGUCGUCUACAUCCUGGCCUCUACCAGUUUCAUCUUCGAUCAUAGCAAGUACUCUUUUAAAUCGGAAACGUUUGCUGCCAACAACUUUCGAAUGGAGAUCAAUGAAAUGUCUUAAGUUAUCUAAUAGUGGUUUGUCUGAUCGCACAACUAACUGUGUUGAUUUCAGGGGUUUGUCCUCUCUAGAAGAAUUGGAUCUAUCACAAAACAAUUUCUCUAGCCUGCCUUCCGGGAUCGGCUUCCUUUCCAAGCUUUUGAUUUUGAGUGUUCAGGAAUGCAUCAAGCUUGUAUCAAUCUCAGAUCUUCCCUCAGAUUUACACUGUUUGGAUGCCUAUGGUUGCAGUUCAAUGAAAAGUGUAAGAAUUCCAAUCCAGUCAAAAAUCACCAUCUAUGGUUCUCAGAAAUGUUAUAUGUUAGAAGAGAUUCAGGGCAUCGAAGGUCCAAGUAAUAAUUACUGGUCUAUUGACGUUGAUUUCCGAGUGCAUCAAUAAUUUCCUGAAGAGUCUUGCUGAGGUACUAUCUCUGUCUCUCCAGCACACAAAUAUACACAUUAAUCAAUUAGUUUCUAAAAUUUCAGCAUUUCUUGAAAUCAAUAUAUAUAUAUACAGGCAUCGUGCAAUGGUGAUUAUGGGUAUUAUUGACUCCUCCUGUUAACAUGCCAAAUUGGUUAAGCUACCGUGGAGAAGGAUGUUCAUUAUCAUUUCAUAUACCUCCAGUUUUCCAAGGCUUGGUUGUCUGGGUUGUUUCUCCAUUUGAGGUUAUAGUAGUGGGAAUGACGCCAUCGAUUACAGGUUAUUAUAAAAAAUAAAAACAACGGUGUUCAAUUGUUUGAAGAUACUAACAGUAGAAGGAUGCCUGAAUGGGUAAGAUACAUAAGUAUAAGUGAUAUGGCAAUGGAAUACUGUGGAGAUGAGGAAUUGGAACUGUAUCUGGGGAGCCAGUCCAUUGAUGGAAGCAAAGUGGUACAGUGUGGGAUUCAUGUGAUAGUAGAAGAGACAGAUUCAUUUGAAGGGUCAGAGUGGGAUCGGGAGAUUAACAACAUAGAGUCAAGAGAUGAGGAGUUGGAACUGCACUUGAAUUCGGGGAGAAAAGACAUUAAUGUGACAGAAUGUGAAGUUCAUGUGAUCAAAGAGUUAGAAGCGGGAAGAGAUAGAGUGAUGCCUGCAUCACGGCCAUAUUGUCUGCUUCCUCAUCAUCCCAAUUAUGGUCUUAUAAGAGCGUCUACAACUGCGCAGUGGAAAGCUUAUUUCAUGCAAAAAAAACCUCGCCGAGUAAUAAUUUAUGGUAAGAAUAAAUAUUCCUUUUAGUUUUAUUUAAUUCUAUUUAAUUUAUGAAAUUAAAUAUUAUCUUUAAUGAUUUUUUUUUUCUUAUUUAAUUUUAAAAACAUCAAUUAAUUAUUAGCUAUAAAAAUCCCCCAAAAUGCAUUAGUUGAAUCACUUAAGCUGAUAUCAAACAAUCCAUCGAAUCGCACUUAAUUAAACCAUUAUUUUUAUUGGUAGCAACUCGUGUGUCUUUUAAGGCAAAAGAAUAGCAGGAAGAGCUAAAAUUAGAAAUAUUUAGAGACGGUUUGAUUUAUUUUUUUAUGAUAAUAUUUUUAAAUUUCUUAAAACAUGAAUUGAAAACUUGUAUGUUUUGAUAUUCUUGUGUAAAAAAGAAAAGCCAACAAUGACUAACAUAAAUUUAUAAAAUCACUUUAGUUGAUUUGGAAAUUUUUUAAUAUUGAUUUUUUUAUAUAUUUUAUUUCAAAUUUGAUAUUUUAAAACAAAAAAAAAACGAUGUGAAAAUAACCUUUUUAAUUAUAAAAUAAGUUUCUUAACUAAAAGUAAAACGGAGUUGUUUUUUGUAUUGAAUUUUGUUGGUUUGUAGGGAAUGGAAGAGGACAACGGCCUCGAAGACAUGGACAACCUAGUGUUGGAUUGGACGUGAGAGCAUUAAAAGAUAAAUCAUGGAGCACAAGAUCAUUUAUAGAGAGAGAUGCUUCAAUAUUGGGGUUUAAUGCAAGCAACUUGUUUACUCAAUAUAGAUAGAUUUUUUGUUAGGAUGAGGUGGUCAGGUUGCGUCACAUUGAUUAUGUCAUGAAGUUAACUAGAGUAAGAUAUAAAGAUAUCAAGCUUCGGAGAGAAUCAAGAUCAGUUAAAGCAAAAAAAAAAACAUUAAUUAUGAAUAUAAAUUGGAAAGGAAAAGUUUAGUUAUGAGGAAUCAGAUUCACAAAGAAAUUUGAGUCUCAUCGAUUCUAGGAAACAAGUUGGAAGGAAUCAAUUUUACAAUAAUUGAACUUGGCACUAGCUAGAGAGAACCUUCGUGCCACUAAGUACUGAAUCGUUAUUCAAAUGUACUGAAGGCCAUUUGUUUGCCAUUUGUGCUAAUUAAGAACAUAAUUCUAUUCUUUUAUAGUUUAUUGGAAGAUGAAAAAACUGGAGUGAGUUAAUAUUCUGUAAAAUAAGCUUAUUGCCAUUAAUUAAACUGAGAUUUUUCUGAUUAGAGAACAGAAGGAAUCUUCUUUCAUAAUUGGCUUUUGCGAAGGUUUAGUGUUUUUGCUACCUCUGCUUUUGGACCUGACAUGAUUCCUGACCGGUAGAAAGUAAAAACAGCAUUAGUCCAAAAGAAGGGAAGCUUUUGUUUUCUUUAAUCACAUGGUCUGAUAUUCUCAUUUAUGCCCAACACAAAUUCAUAAAAGUGGCUCUAAUGAUUGGCUGACAACAGUUGUUAAUGAGCAAUGUUUGCGUCCCUUAUUUUUCAGUUUACCAAGUAUUUAGAACAUUCAAUUCUAAUCCAAAGUCAAUACUAAUAAACUCUUUGGUGAUGGUUUUGUCAUCGAUGGUGAUCGGAAGACAGAAAAACCAGUAAAGUUUCUUAUAUAUAAAGUUUAUUAAGUAAUGAAAACAUCCAAAUCUAACAGUUUUUUUUAUUUUUUUUGUGUUAUGAUGUCUUGAUAUUAAUAAACUUUUGAUGAUAAUUAUUUUUUUCAUUUUAUGAUGCUUUUAUUGUCAGUAGUGAUAAGAUGAAGAAAAGCUAUUGAUUUUUCUCUCUGCAAUGGUUAGUUUUAUCGUACACAAAUGUUGGGUGCUUUUAUUUACAGAAAGGAGUACUGUCUAACAUUAUUCAUUUGACAACUGUUGUGAACCAAACAUUUCCUAUCUAUCUAUAUAAAGGUUGGCUUGGCCUCCUACAUAUUAGCCAUAGCAAGAAACCAACAAAACCUAUACACAGCUACUUGUCUUAGUGUGUUGAUUAAUUGUAGUUAACAUGGCACGUCAGGCAGACCGUCUUGCUAAGAUUGGGCAGGAGGGUUUUGCAGCCAUUGAUGAGCACUUCGGCCGGGCCAAGAGGCGGCCACCAGUUAUGAAGGUUCCCUAUGCCCAUCAGAAAAACUUGUCGACAGCAACGAGGCAGCGCAACUCUACAAAGGGAGGGUUUAUAUCGAUUACCCUAAGGGGAAACCAGUUCCGUUUUAAAGACCUAUUGAUCAAUCACUUACGUUUCUUGUAUGCAUAACCUCCUCCAGUACUUGUGUUACCUUUAGUCCUGUACGAUAUUCUCCCUCUGCUAAACGUAGACGAGGAGAGGUUGCUAGAACUCGAGUCAGGAGCUUCUUCUUACUUAUUCAAAUAAACUUUCUGUGAUUUAUAUAUCAUAAUUUUCUAUUUGGCUGGUCAAGUAUGUAUUGUCAUAAUUAUCUUUCUGACUUCCUAAUUAUCACCUGAUUCACCUCUGAUUGUUGCACUGUAUGCAAGAGUACUGUACGUAUGAAUAUAAACAUCAGAUCUGCUCUGUUAUUGCC
RNAcentral lists this long non-coding RNA (89877 nucleotides) under Populus tremula. Its description in RNAcentral is "long non-coding RNA (PTRE_LNC000544)". The stretch from base 23096 to 23185 matches the Rfam family "MIR478 microRNA precursor family". The record is from RNAcentral. Lineage: Eukaryota; Viridiplantae; Streptophyta; Magnoliopsida; Malpighiales; Salicaceae.